GGUUGCCACUUGCUGCAAAGACUAUGGGAAGCUUGUUACGGUUCAAAGAUACUGAACAACAGUGGCAGAAUGUUUUGGAUAGUGAGAUAUGGCAAUUGGAGGAAGCAGCUGUGGACCUUUUCCCUCAUUUGUAUUUAAGCUAACGAGUUGUCCCCGGAGCUGAAACGUUGCUUCUCAUAUUGUGCUGUCUUUCCCAAAGAUCAUGAGAUAGAUGUAGAAGAAGAGCUUAUUAGGCUGUGGAUAGCGCAAGGUUAUGUUCGCCCAAAUCGAAGAGGGGAGCACUUGGAGCUGGUGGGCCUUGAAUACUUCAACAAUUUGGCAAUGCGUUCCUUUUUUCAAGAAAUACAAAAUGUUGAAGAUUACGAUGGGUUUCAUGAAUAUCUGAAGUGCAAGAUGCAUGACAUAGUGCAUGAUUUUGCACAAUUUCUCACAAAAAAUGAAUGUCGUGCACUUGGUGGAGUUGGAAGGAAUUCAUCGAGUGAAAGAGCCCGUCAUCUAACAAUUUUGAAAGGCACUGAGGAGGAGAUGUUUAGCUCUCGAGUCGUUGAUUUUGGAAGGCUCAGGAGCUUUUUAGCUUUUCUAUUUGAAAGAGUAGUAGUUCCCCAAAAUCUGUUCUGCAGUUUGAAGUGCGCGAGGACUCUGGUUUUAUGUAAUUGUGAGCUAGUUGAAAUCCCAGCCGAAAUCGGAAGAUUGAUUCAUCUUCGGCACUUGGACUUAAGUAUGAAUCCUUUCGUGACACUGCCAGAAGCUAUAUGUGAUCUAUAUUAUUUGGAAACUUUGGAUAUCAAUCAUUGUAAAAAGCUUUCGUGCCUUCCUCAAAGGAUUAAAGGCCUUGUGCACCUGAGGCACCUUUUCAACCAUGUGGCCGAUGAAUUACGUCAAAUUCCACAAGGACUCUGGAAGCUGACGUCACUUUGUAGUUUGACUCGGUUCAUUGUCAGGAGCAACUCUGAUGAUUUGGCAAUUUUAAAGGAUCUGAACCAACUGGAAAGAUUGCACAUUGUAAUUGAAGGAGAAGUAGAUUUUGGGAGUGCGGAGCUCGGAAAGAAAAUCAACAUACGUAAAAUGUCUUUGUUCUUUAGCUUCGAGGCCCACUUUAUAGAAACUCCAAGUUGCAUUGAAAGCGUGGAACCACCUCCACACUUGGAACGACUUGCACUAAUUGGCUAUCCAGGAACUCAGUUACCAAGUUGGCUUGUGACGAAAUCUCACGCCAAUAACUUGACGAAGCUAAUUAUCGACAGGCCCCGCAAUAUCUCAUCCUUGCUUGCCUUGUGGAAGCUAUCAUCCCUAGAAAAGCUUAUCCUCUACAGAGUGGAAGAGCUGGAAUAUUUGGGUAAGGAAUUCUUCGGAGUUACAAAAGCACUGCAUGAGAAUAGUCGUGAUGCUCUUGACACGUUGUCAAACUCCGAGUCAUCAUUCUCAUCUGAAGCAGUGGCAUUUCCGAAUUUGAGAAAAUUACAUUUUCGUCACGUCCUAAAUUGGACAAAUUGGGAAGACUUAAGUGAAGAUGAUGAAAAAGUUGCUGUAUCUAUCAUGCCAUGCCUGGAGGAGCUAAAAAUUUGGAACAGUGAAAAGCUUAAAAUGCUGCCACAUCGCAUCCUCAGAAAGAUACCAUCUCUCAAAAUUUUGGAUAUUCGACGUUGCUCCAAGUUGAGGGAUCGUUAUUCUGACAAAACAGGAGAUGACUGGAUAAAGAUAUCAUACAUUCCUCGAGUUCACAUAUCUGAUAAAUGUUAAUAUGCUCAGGUAUGGUUAUUCACACAUUUUUUUAUGUAUCUACUCAUCUUUGAAGUCAAAUAAUUUACUACUUAUAGAAUUACAACAAACAAAGGCCUGCUUUGUAGAAUAUGACAUGUGCUUAAUAAUGAAUCAAGUGUUAACAGAGCCAUACGUAUAAUGAAAAUAUGAAAUAUUCAUUAAUAAUUUAGAAUGGUUUUUUUUAUUGAGAAGAUGCGAGUCAUUAACUAGUAAAUAUAACACUAAAUUUCUAACAAUAUCUAAUCGUAAACUCUUGAGUUUGGAAUUCCAUUUAUGUCUUGUCUUUUUAUCCUUUUUUUUUUUGCUUUUGUCCUUUGUUUUCCAGAUAAUGCUCAUUGAUGGCUCAAAAUGAAGCUACAGCAGAAGGCAUUGGGGAUCAACCUCUACGUCAACGUUUCACUUGAGUUCAUGUAAAAUUUCAAAUAAUUGUAAAUAUGGUUGAAGAGGCACACCCACUUGCCUUGUUCAAAAUCAUUUGUUGAAAGCAUCUGUAACCUUACCAAAUUUCCAGAUUGAAUUUCAAGUGGUUACACAACUAGUCUUUACUUCGUCAAAUUAUUAUUGUCCUAUUGUAUGUAAGUUUGUAUAGAUUUAAUAAAGAAGAAUGCUUGUACAUUGUGCUUAUCUAUAUAGUGUAUUAUUGACAAUCUAUUAUUAGCAUACUUAUUUUAUGGAAUUAUUCUAAGAAUAACAUGAAUUCAAAUUUUAAAUUCAAAUAAUACACAUGUGGCAUACAUCCAAAACUGUUAGUAAUAAAAGAAAUCACUACACUGUGAGUGCAUAAAAAGUUAAUCUUUAUUCUAAUGGUUAAAAGUUAACAAGUUGACAAAUUAUUCUUUAUCCUGUUUCCUUUCUUUAAAAAAAAUGUUUACAUAGAUAAUUGGAGAAACUCGGACUACAAAAAUGCAUGUGCACUUAAAGGCACCAAAACUCAUGAUACUUUUAUAGUAGUAGUAGCAGUGGUAGUUCUAGUAGUAGUAAUGACAAUUAUUUGUUAAUAAUACUUUCUUCUAAAAGUGAAUGGACUAAUUACCUUCCUUUUCACUUUUUUUAAGAAGGGAAGGAAUGAGAUUUAAGAAACAGGGAGGGAAUAAGGUGACUAGAACAAAAUAUCAUAAUAAAUCUUGACAAUUUCAUUCAAAAGACAAAAGUUACUACUAGCAGAAUUUUGAACUUGAAAGUUUGUAAGACAUAUCACAGGAAAUCAAUUAUUUGCAUACUUCACGUAUGUGAACCAGUUUAACAAACUAUCCAUAUUCCAGAAUUGAAUAUAUCAUCCUUUGUUUAUUCACUAUUAUACGUGUUCAAUACUUAGUUGAAAAUAUGCCCUCCCCAUCCCUGCUUCCUAAUCAUAGCCCUUCCUAAUAGAAACAAUUUUUAAAAAAUAAUUGAAAAUUUUAGACAUGCAAUUAGUUAUCUUCAAGUUGAUUGAAGAUAAAAUAGAUUUUGACACAUCAAAGUUCAUUGUAUUUAUAUUCAACUCCAACAGUUAGUUAUGUUUUAAUUCUUUCUAUAAAGGCUGUUAAAUUUUUUAAUCCAUAAAACUCACAUUUUAACUAUGAAAUUGGGCAGUCCUAGCCCAAUGACUUUCAUAAUUGAAGUCACAUCUCUCAAGUAGACAUUACCUGAUCAAAAAUUCAUCUCUGAAGAAGCAAAAUUGGUACUUCCUGUUCAGCUUCUAGAAAAUCGAAAUAUGAAAGAAUUCCCAAAGAAACAACAGAACCUUGCCCAAUGCUACUAGAUUGCUACUUAAAUUACCACGCUUGACAAGAAACUGGCACUAAUUUCACCCACAAGUUUGUUUACAAAUUAACAAAAAAAUCCCCACAAACAUCAAAUUAGAAACCAAAGUAGAGCAUAAGAGUAUAGAAGAAAUGUUUAUAAGGUUUAUAAAAACCGAACAAAUACUCCAUGUAACCCAAUGUUGCAAGGAAUCAAUCAUUACAAUUGUUAUAGGAUGGACCUAUUCUGCCUGCUAGUGGCUGUCAAACUUCCAAAAAUAAAAUUUAUAUCAAGACCUACUCCCAAAACUGAUCGAGUAUAGUGUUGAGUAGGGUCAUCUUCUCAGGGAACUAGUAGAUUUAUUACACACAAAGAAUUUGAGGGAUUUUUGGAAGGGAGAUAAAAAGAAUAAAUUAACAAUGUAAGGUUACUGAAUUUUCAAACGCAAGAAGUGCAGUAGAAUAUAAUAAACAAUUAAUUGACACCACGUAGUAAAGGAGAUAAUAUCGGCACCGGCUCACGCAAUUGAUCAUAGAUACCUGGAGUAAUUCACACGUCGCAAAUAAUUUGGUUCUAACAAUUUAACAAUCGCCAAACUACCAAUCUCUGCUUAAUUAUAUGGUAGUCUAGAGACGCUCUUAAACUACCCCUUUGUAAAAUAAAUAACCUAGAGACGCUCGAAGGAUUUAAUCUAUUCACAACUUUAAGAAUUAGAGAGACCCAAUUCUAGUUAACAAACACACAUGCGGGCUCAUUUAAACCAAUUAGAGAGACCCAACACAGAUUAAAUUACUUGCGAGGUAAUUAAAUUGUGCCGUUUAUCACUAAUUUUAAGACAAUCAAGUGAUACGCACCCCUGUCCUAAUUGGCAGUAUACUAUUCGGACAAUUGAACAACUGGCCACAUUAAUCCAAUAAAUCCAAACAAUAAUAGCCUAUUGAAACAAAGAAUAAUUAAAUACCCACGAAUGCAGAAUUUAGAAUAGAGUAGAACACUUAAAAAGAUCUCACAAUUAUCCGUGCACCGGGUCUUGAUUAUUUCUCAACUAGAUAAAAGAAUCUAGCCUUACCUCAUAACGAUGAUGCAAACAGAAAGCUUUUUGAAAUUUUGUUGAUUUGAAAAGAAGUAAAAAGCGGUAUAGUCACUAGUCUCUAAUUCACGUUAAGAAGGGAAGAAAGAGAUCAAAGAUCAAAGAUAAAAACUCCUAGUCUAUUGCUGUCCUCUUUAAAGUGUUUGCGCCGCCACCCCUUUAGCCAAUCGAGUCUUUGUUUCUAUAAAGGAUAGCUUCCCUUAUUUUUCUCCUUGACUUGUUGCCAAAAGAUUCUCUGAAAAUGUCUCCUAAUCCAACGCAACUUCAGAACAUGUCUCCAAAAAAUAGUGGUGGCUUCUAGGAUAAGUCCUGCGGUCCGUCUUUUGGAUGUAACUCUGUGUUUUCUGAUGUGGGCAUGCUCUAGAAUGAACGGUCUUCUGGAAUUUAGUUUCUUUUCACACUUUCGACACCAAUCGCUUGCAACUGACACAAUACCAAUUAUGAGCAGAAACCCAUUACUUUGCAUAAUAAGUGGCCAAAAUUGAGACCAAAUACCAUUAAAUAAAAUGCACAAUUAUCUCACUAUCAAAUCCACUCACACCAAGACAAUGCUUGUCCUCAAGCAUCUCACAGCUCAGAGAUACAAUUACAGCUACACACACGAAGCAGUUCAGUCAUGUGAGCUCAAGUGUCCCAUCUUCCUAAUAAUGUCAUCAAAUUCAGAAAUUUCAAGACUUAACCAUCUCUUAUAGAAUGGAAUAUGAUUACUUCUCACUCCGACAUGAAGCACAAAGGGUCACUCUCACUACACAAUAAAUAUGCUUGCUAAUAUAUCACAUCGCCACCACUGAAACCAAAUAUAAUGCAAAAAUCAAAGGAUUUUGAUGCGGGUUGUAAUGGAGCUCAGGCACAGGUUGGAUCAAACAGGUAAUUUAGGCUCAUUAUAUCAAAGAAAAUACCGUUGACCCACUGCAUGAAUUCCAAUUCCCUUCUUCAUUCCAAUGAUCAUUCCAAAGCAUACCCAUAAAUUUUCCCAAAAUUAGCAAAUACAAGCACAACCAAGGACUUCACCCAAUUAUCUCAACAGAAACACAUAUGGACAAAAGCACUUCAUACCUCUUUUUUAGUUUUCUUUUCUUUGAUUUUUUUUCUUUGUGUGCUCCUUUUCUUCUCUUUCUCCCAUCUCUCUCUCUCUUUCUCUUCUUUUUUUCUUGUUUUGUUUUGUUUCAAAUACGCCCAACUACAUGGGGAUAUAGACACACUCGCUAACUUCAAUCAUUCCCAUAUCUCCAAUUCGAAAUCAUCAUGCACUGAAAUCAAGGCAUUCCUUUGACACUGGAUAGAAACAAAGAGGGUUCGAAUACAAGGGGUUUGGGGUGACAAAAUGAGCUAUUAAACAAAGAAAAUGUCUAAACUCAACCAUGGUCAACUAGGGAAGAUCUGAUUAGGGUCGGCCUUUAGAAAGCCAAAAUUGGUUAACCUGAGUGCCCUUGUCAUUUUAAUACAUCAAAUUCAGGAAUGUGGUCUUGACAUACAUAACAGCAAGUUCUAGAACAAUUAAAUCAUAUGUGAUAUCACUCAAUGGAAGAAAAUAGAGUAGUUAUCAAUGCAACAUUCAUUGGCUCGACAGCUCACAACAGGUUAAUAGCCAAGUCUUGCAAAUUUCAUCAUUCAAUUCCAUUGUCAAGAGACAAGACAUUUAACCACAUAAUAUCACUGCUCAUGCUUGUAGAGUAAUUGCAUCAUCAUAAAUAGCAUCAAGUUCUAGACAUUUUCAACUGUAGCAAAUGAAUUCAUCACAUACAUAUUUUUGGAUUUUCUUUUUCCUCUGUUCUUUUUCCUAUCAAACAAAAAGAGCUAGAACUAAAGAGCUAUCAAACAAAAAGAAAAAACUAGGAACUAUGCCUCCUCACACCAGAAACCUACAUUAUCCUCAAUGGAGCAAAGAAAAAUAGAAAUAAAAAAGAGAGGAACUAGAGUUCCCUGAAAGCCAAACGAGUACAUGAAAGCACUAUGAGGAGGAGAAUGAGGCAGCUGAAAGCCAAUGUGUGCAAAAAAAGCUACCAGAUUUUCUGUCUGAAUGGCAGAAUGGACCUGUAAGACUGUGAAGCGGUCAUCCAGACGCUCAACUCGACCGCCCAACUCAUGAAUGGAGUCCGGUAGAGUACAGAAUUGGGUGUCCCAAGAAGAUAGAACCGCGGAGAAGGAAGGACUCGCCUGAUCUGCCUCUGAGGUGGGUGUAGUAGAGGGAACUCGAGGUUGGGGCACACCCUCUCCAGAAGGUGUGAACUGAUAGGCAUCCCUCACCUUGAGAAUGACGCCCAUCCGUUCUAAACUGCGCAGGUCCAAAGGCUCAAGCUCGCGAGCCAUGGUGAGCUUAUGCUCAUUAUCAAGGUCAAGCACUCCCAAGCAGAUGGCUAAGUGUGUGAUAAGUAAGCCCAUACUCAAGGGCUUAUAGCGCUUGCGGAGGACGGACUGCAACUGAGAGGCUACCGCAGCUAAAGUUGACCUGCAUCUUAUUACGCAUACACCAGAGGAAAUAGAAUUCAGUUUUGGCGAGAAUGCCGCAGAAAUCCUUCCGGCCUGAGAAGUUAUAGGCUAGAAAUCGGUGAAUGACUUUUAGCACUAGAUCCUUAAGGAACGAGACCCUAGAUUGACUCGGAUCGUAGAGUUGAGUGUCCAUGGAUCACUCCCUCCAUAUCUCGAUAUAAUUGCUCGCAAAGGGUUGGGUGAAGUCACAAGCACUAUUGAUAUACGUGUCGGAGGAGAUGGUGUCCUCACUCACAAACCCAACAUCAGGUUGAACUCAUUAAUGAAAUGUGCAUGUGGGUACCCCGCAGCCUAUACUUGAUUACCCCCGGUGAGUCUAAGGCUAGAGAAUCAGAUUUCUCAAACUGGAAGGUGGCGUAGAAUUCAUAGCAGAGCUUCUUGUACGAAAGAUAGUCAAUAACUAGAUAUUGACCCCACCCAAUGGCAGAAAACAACUGCUCUACUUCCCUAACAAUAUUCAACUGGUCGAGAGUCAGAGGAUGAAAACACUUGCACAGGACGAAUGGGUGCAACAUCAAGGAGCUCAACCAUUCCUUUUGCUCAGGUGUGAGGUCCUUUAUAGGUUCCUCCCAUACCCCAAGAGACAGAGUACUCCUAGAAAGACCUAAUCGAGACCUAGUGGGGGGUUGAAUCGGGGCCCGCCUCUUACGAGGUUGGAACCUGAUGCCUCAGAUGGAGUGGUCUUUUUCAGAGCCAUAUAGGGUCAAAGAUGUCAAUUCCAAAGGCACAGAGCCGACAAGAAAACUCAAAAUGGAGACAAGGGACCACAAAUAACAACACCCACAGUCAACAGUCAACAAACAAUUGAUGGUGCAAAAACAAAGAUACCCCACUGGCGUCACUAAGGCAAAUAAAAGUAAUAAAAGGCAGACACGGGACCUCCCGAAACGCAGUCAACAAUCAAAUGCACCCAAGCACAACCAACAAAUAUCCCAAGCCCAACAAAAGAAUGAAAUUAAAUAGGAGAAACUCGAAAUUCGAGUCACCAAUUGGUAAAAAGGAGAGUAGAUAGGGGUACCACUGUUCGACUCUGCGGGGGCAGCCAAGGUGAGUGGAAUCCAAGAAGGGAGGUGACGAUGCGAGGGUCUGUAGUGGCGGACGGCCGCGGGUGGGCUGUAGAUGGCGAGGCGACAGCAGUGGUGGUGGUGAUAGGCGUGAGAGAGAAAGAGAGAGAGAGAGAGACGAGCAGAUAGUAACGGCAGCGGCAACGACCUUAACCAGGACUGCAACCUAGGUCACGUUGAAUGCGACUGUCGUGGCGGUGCGCGUCAAGGAGGAAGCGAAGCAGAAGGCGCGACGGCUGGUACUGGCGGAUGGCUGUGGCUGAGCAUCGCGGGCUUGGAGGCAGCGGUGGCGACAGUGGUGUGCAUGGAGGGGGCAGUUGAGCAGUGGCGACGAUGGAAUUGCGACCGAGAGGGAUGAAGAUGAAAAGAGAAAAGACAAGAAAAAGGAAAAGUAGAAAAGUAGGGUUAGAGUGGGUCCGGUCACUUUUUACUUUUGGUGCCGCAAUGGUAGGAAAGCGCGGGCAAGCCUUGGAAGCUGAAGUCAUCUGCCUCCCUCGUUGUAACAGGACUGAUGCGAUUCGCUGUGCGGCCUAGGCACGCCUUGAAAGCAUAAGUCUUCUGUUCAUUAUUCUUUAAAAAUGCCCAUGUGCAUUUAACAGAAGACGCGGACACGCCUAUAACCCUGGUCGUCUGUUCACGAUCGGAUCUGACCGUUUUUGUAUAGCUCUCCUGGGGCAUCCCUGUAAAGCGUAGGUACACCUUGUAACGGAAAGUCUCUUGCCCCAAAAUUAUGCCUCUAAUCCCAAAAUAAAACUGCACAAAAUACAUCCAUGACCGCAAUAAAGAAUUUCUGUCAAUAGGAACCAAACACCCUGAUCAUGAACACACAAAUAUGAAAUAAAAACAUAAAAUGACUAAAAUUGAAACUCUUGAAUUGCCUUCCAAGUAGCUCCUCUAUUUAACAUCUAUGGCCAGACCAAAAGUAAUUUAACCAUAGUUAUUAAAAACCAACCGGCAAGAGGACCGGGUUGACGGGUCAGUGGUUCAACCGGUGGAUCACGGGUUGAACCGUCGGAUCACAAUAUAUAAUAAAAAAUAUAUAAUAUAAUUAAAUAAACAUAUAAAUUAUAAUAUAAGUACAAAAAAUUCUUAAAUCUUAACAAGUGUUGUUCUGUACUAGGUGUUUGAGAUGGUGUUUCUCCAAUAGAAUCCAUUACAAAUAUCUAAAAAGUAAUAAAACAUACCUUUUAUUUAAAAAAAGACAUUUGUAGCUAGGAAAAUGACACUUAUAUCUGCUUUCUAAUUCAAAACGAAAAAGAGCAUUUUUUGGGUCAUUUGAAAAUCUUUCUACCCUCUAGAUCUUCAUAUCCUAACAGAUCUUUUAUUCCUUUAGCUCCUAUUUUCAGUUACCGAAUUCAACCUGCUAGGCUACUAAGAGGUUCAAUUUACUUUCUUGAAUAAGCUAAUAAAUACAGAUCCACAGUGCAACUAUAAUUCAUGCUUCUAUUAUAAGUUUCUUACUUAAAUACAUCCCAAUCUGAAAAGCUUUACGGAAAUUGAACUAGAUGUCUUAAAAAAUACAUGGAAAAUAUGAAAAUAAAGAUAUUGUUUAAAUUAAAAUAUCCACUUAAAUCCCGGCGUGACUUCGUAUACAAUCAUAUCAUUUUUUAUAUACUACAUGGCAGUAAAUACUAUGUAGUUUACCCUAUUUUAAAAGAUGGGCAAUUGGGGACUCAUUAAUAUUUUUAAAUCAUACCUAAAUUACUAAUAUUUAAAUACACACACUCACGUUUACUGUACUCCUAUAUUGCUAGACUUUUUCGAAUUAAUAUACACACUCACUUUUUCGAAUUAUCAGUCAGAAUCUUUCAAUCAGGUGAUUAGUUUCAUCACGUGGUGGAAAAGUUACCAAAGAAGCCAUCGAAUUAUUGGUCACUUGAUGUUACUGCUGGACAAUCAUUUUGCAAGCAUUAAUUUUCGGCCGUGUAAAAAAGCUCCAAUGAAUCACUUUGAAAAUGCUCAACUUGAUAACUUCAUCAAUUUAGACCACACAUAACUCAUUAUUGGCCUUUUACAUCAUCUAGAUUUAUUAUGCUGCUCUACACUAGAUAAUUUACUGAUUUCAAAAAACUCCCAAUUCUCUUGCUUUUCUGGUUAUUAUAGAAGACAUCAAAUUGGAGUUUAUUUGAACAAAGCUUCACUGGCUUACCAACAACAAAGCUUCAACUUCAAGCCUUCAAUGGCAGCUUCGGUGGUAGCGGCAACUUCCUGGAAGAAUUCUGGCAACGGCUGCGGCAACUUCGAACUUCGAACUCCCAAGGUGCCGUGGUGUGUGCCUAGCUGCAAGGCUUCACUGGCUUACCGGCAACAAAGCUUCAACUUCAAGCCUUCAACGGCAGCUUCAGUGGCAGUGGCAUCUUCCUGGAAGAAUUCUGGCAGCGGCUACGGCAGCUUCGAACUUCCAAUUGCUUGCCUCAGACUCUCAGAGCAACUAGCAAAGCACAGGAAAUAAAAAUUGAAAGCCGAAUCCGUGAAAAAUUGAAAGGCGAAAAUUGAAAAAUUGCUUGCCGAAUCCCUAAAUGCUCACUGGGUUUAUCAAUUCGUUCUCACUUCUCACUUUCUCAGAGAAACAAAGAAGAAAAGAAUCCCUAAAUACCCAAUGACGGUCGAAUGCCUGAAUGACCGAAUCCCUCUUCAAUUUUUUGAUUUUCUCUUCUGAUUGGCUAAAAAUGUAGCGAAAAGACGAUAAUGCCCAUGUAAUAUGAAUGGUCAAAAAUGACUCAAAAUAAAAGAAUUGGGUAAAACGGUAACUUCAAAAAAAUUGCCAAAACCCACCGGGUUUAUCAAUAACCGCCGAUUCUAGCGGUUUCCUGAUUAAACCGUCCGGGUCGAGCGGGUCCAAGCAGGUUCUUUGCAACUCCGAUCUAACUAGUAACCUGGCCGGUUUCAUGCCCGGGCCACCGGUUUGACCGGUUCAACCGUCGGGCCGGGCCGGGCCGGGUUUAAUAACUAUGAAUUUAACAAAUUAAUUAAAACCGGGGUCGAGCAAAUGGACCUCCUCCACAGUCUAAAAACGGCUUGAGACGAUGACCAUUAACCUUAAAACUUUUGUGAGUCUCUAAACUUCUAAUUUCAGCUACACCAUUUGGAAAAACGUUGACAAUAACAUAUGAUCCAAUUCAUUGAGACCGCAACUUACCUGACAUGAAUGUCAACUGAGAGUUGAACAGAAGUAUCUUUUGACCUAUAGAAAAUUACUUAUUACGCAAUAGUUUGUCAUGGAUGGAUUUUGUGCGUUCUUUGUAAAGUCGUGCAUUGUCGUAAGCCUCCAAGCGAAUUUCUUCCAACUCUUGAAGUUGGAGCUUCCUUUCCUUGUCAUUUCUAUCCGCAUUCAAAUUGCACUGCUUAACUGUCAAAAACGCGCGAUACUCAAUUGCAACAGAUGAAUUACACAUCUUACCAUAAAUCAACCUGUAUGGAGACAUUUUGGUUGACGUUUUAUACGCCGUGCGAUAUGCCUACAAUGCAUCAUCCAAUCGGAUAUGCCAAUCCUUACGAUUUGGAUUGACCGUUUUCUCCAAAAUACUCUUAAUCUCGCGAUUAGAGACCUCAACUUGCCCGUUGGUCUGCGGAUAGUAGGUAGUAUCCACUCGCUGGUGAACUCCAUACUUACGUACCAGUGCUUCAAUGGUGUGAUUGCAGAAAUGAGUACUUUGGUCACUAACGAUUGUUCUUGGCACAUCAAACCUACUAAAAAUGUUGGACUUAAGAAAUCUUGCAACAACUCGUGAAUUAUUAGUUUGGGUAGCUUUUGCUUCUACUCAUUUUGACACAUAGUCUACGGCUAAAAGAAUAUAAAGACAACCAAAAGAAUUACAAAACAGUCCCAUGAAAUCUAUACCCCAGAUAUCAAAGAUUUCACAGAAUAACAUAGAAACCUGAGGCAUUUCAUUCCGGUGAGAUAAAUUCCCAAACUUUUGACAUUUGUCACAUUUUUACAGAACAAGUAAGCAUCAUGAAACAAGGUUUGCCAAUAAAAGCCACAAUCAAAUAUUUUUCGAGCAAUUCUCUUAGGACCAAAGUGACCACCACAGGCAUAACAUGACAAUGAACAAGUAUAGAGGGAAUUUCUUCAUUGGGAACACAUCGACGAAUGAUUUGGUCAGGGUCUAUUUUUCACAAAUAGAGCUCAUCCCAAAGUAAUAUCGAGAGUCCUGUAUUAUUUUAUCCUUCUUAUUCUUACUCAUAUCACUUAGAAAUUGUGACUGACCAGAAAGUUAAUAAUAUCAGCAUACCAGGAUUCAUCACCUUUAAGCUGAAAAAAUUAUUCGUCUGAAAAUACCUCGGAUAUGGGCAUUCCUCUUUUCUUCUCGAAUCAAUCGGCUCAAAUGGUCUGCCACUGAAUUGUCCACCCCUUUUCGAUCUUUGAUCUUCCAAUUAUAUUCUUGCAGCAGGAGUAUCCAUGAAUAGUCUUGUUUGGACUCCUUCUUUGCCAAAAUGUAUUUCAAGGCUGCAUGAUCAGAGAAAAUCGUUAUUUUCGAUCCCAAUAAAUACGAUCUAAAUUUCUCAAAAGCAAAAAUAAUUGCUAAAACCUCCUUUUCGAUAGUGGUGUAGUUGCAUUGAGCCGGCGACAACGUUUUUGAUGCAUAGUAAAUGACAUGGCUACACUUUCCGCUUUUCUGACCGAGCACAGCUCCUACCGCAUACUGACUGGCAUCACACAUAAGAUCGAACGACAGGCUUCAAUUCGGAGGUUGAAUGAUCGGUGCCGUGGCCAACAUACUCUUUAGUAUAUCGAAGGACACUUUACACACAUCUCCAAAAUCGAAUGGUACCUCCUUUUGAAGUAGCCGGGAUAAUAGCAGUGCAAUUCAAGAGAAAUUCUUGAUGAAUCAUCUGUAGAAACCUGCAUGGCCAAGAUAAUUACGAAUCUCCUUGACAUUAGUGGGGUAAGACAAGCUAGUAAUCAAAUCAAUUUUUACUUUAUCGACUUCGAUACCCCUAGAUGAAACAACAUGAUCCAAAACAAUACCCUCCUUCAUCAUAAAAUGACACUUUUCAUAAUUAAGGACCAAAUUAGUUUCAAUGCACCGCUGCAAAACUUUUGUUAGAUGAUACAAAAAUUAAUCAAAAGAAUCACCGUAAACUGUGAAAUCGUCAAUGCAUAUUUCAAUGCAGUUUUCAAUCACAUCAGAAAACAUUCUCAUCAUGCAUCUUCGAAACAUUCCUGGGACAUUACACAACCCAAAAGGCAUACGGUAGUAAGCAAACGUGCCAAACGAACAAGUGAAAGUGAUUUUGAGCUGGUCCUCUUGGGUAACAGUAAUUUGGUAAUACUCAGAGUAGACAUCAAGAAAGCAAACGAAACGCUUACCUGCCAAUCGCUCAAGCAUCUCAUCAAUGAACGGUAAUGGAAAAUGAUCUUUUCUUGUGGCCACAUUCAACUUCCUGAACUCGAUACACAUUCUCCACCCAUUUUGGAGUCUCAUUGGCACCAACUCAUUCUUCUCAUUCCGCACAAGUGUAAUUCCAGUCUUUUUAGGUACGACAUGCACGAGACCUGCCCACUUACUAUUAGAAAUAGGAAAAAUUAUUCUUAAUUCCAAUAGUUUAAGAAUCUCCUUCAUUACCACUAUUUUCAUGGCUGGGUUAAGCUUUCUCUGACGUUCCCUCAGGGGCCUUGCAUCUGGCUCAAGUAGAAUAUGAUGCAUGCAAAUGGAUGGAUUUAUACCUUUGAUAUCUACCAAUGUCUAUCCAAUUCCAGGUUUAAACUCUCGCAAUACUGGUAAGAGUUUUCUUCUUAUACUAGGGUCAAAUCACUUGUAAUGAUGAUCGGCAGAGUCCCAUGAUCUCCCAGGAAAGCAUAUUUUAAAUGCUUUGACAAUUCUUUCAAUUUGAACUCCGGUGCCUGUUCAACAAAGGGCAAAAUUCUCUCAUUAGAAGCAGGCAAUGGUAAAAAUAAGUCUACUGACCUAUCAGGAAAUGCAAACAGUGAAUGAAGUGACAUAAUUGCUUCUACAAUAUCCUCAUCAUCCACACUUUCCACUUCCUCAUUCGUUUUACUCUGUUGUAACACAAAUUUCAUCUUGUUUUCCAUAAGAUUCUGCUCAAAAUGAUCUUGCACAAUGAAAUUAAUGACACAAACAUAAUUAACAGAUUCAGUAUCAUCCGGGUAUUUUAUCGCAUUAAAAAUGUUAAAAGUAAAUGUCUCCCCGUCAAAUUCUACAGAUAGGGUACCUUCAUGCACAUAUAUCUUGGUCCUAGCCGUACUUAUGAAUGGUCUACCCAGUAGAAGUAUAGCUGAAUUAGCUGAGUUAUUAUCAUUCAUGCCAACAGUAUAGAAAUCAGCAUAAAAGAUAAACUCAUUAACUUUCACUAGGACAUCUUCAACUCCACCCUCUGGGUAAACAUUUGACCUAUUGGUUAGUUGAAUUAUUACCCUUGUGUCCUUUAGAGGUCCUAAGUUUAAGGCCCUAAAUAUGGACAAAGGCAUAAUAUUAAUAGAUGCCCCUAAAUCAAGCAUAUCUCUGUCUAUCCUCUUCUGGCCUAUGAUGCAUGGUAUCAUGAACAUACUUGGAUUCUUGCAUUUGUGACAACUUCUUUUGUAGGACUGCUGACACAUUCUGGCCAACCUUUAUUUUAUCUUGAACAUUCAACUUGUUCCGGUUAGUGCACAGCCCCUUCAGAAACUUAGUAUAUUUUGGUAAUUGCCGAAUCAUAUCAAGCAAAGGGAUGUUGAUUUUCACUUUCCGAAAGGUGUCCAAAAUCUCCUUCUCUGACUCCUCUUUCUUGGCUUUAGCUAACUUGCCAGGAAAAGAUAGGUUAAUUUCAACGGUCUUAGGAACAUCUGAUAGGGUGCUUACUUUUUCCUUCUCAAUCUCCCCAUACACUUGUUCAUCUUCCACACCAGCUGCUACUUCUGAUUUUGAGGACUACACCUCCUUGCCACUUCGUAAAAGUAUUGCACUUGCAUUCUCCUUGGGAUUGGGAAUUACCUGAGAAGGUAGCUUCCCUUCACCAUUCUCAAAGUUGCUCAUUGACGAUGCCAGUUGUGACAUUUGCGCCUCCAAAUUUCGAAUACUGGCGCGAGUCUCUUGUUGAAAUCUCUGCGAGUCCUGUUGAAUUUGAUAAGUGCUAUUAGCUAGAGAUUUGACCAUAUCUUCAAGGGACAUCCCCGAAUUAUAUGCGGAUGGUUGCUGUACUGGUGAUCUCUGUUGGAAUGAUUGUUGAAAACCGAGGGUUUUGGAGCAUAGCUGAAGUUGGGGUGGUUCCGCCACCCUGGAUUGUAUGUGGGCUUAUAUGGGUCAUUUCUCCUUUGGGGUAGUCUAGAUAGACCUCUCGUGAUGUUGGCUUGCUCGUGAGAGUCUUCUUGAAGGGUUGGGCAUGUAACGGUCACAUGCUCAGAAGCAGCACAUAUCCCACAUGCUUUAGCUGCCUAUACUUGCCCUAUAGCCAUUUGACGAACCAAUGUAGUCAGCUCCGUUAAUCUAUUUGCAAGGUACGAAUGAUUUACCUCAUUGACCCUUCUAGUCACUCCCUCAGAUCUGACUCCAAACUAUUGAGAGUUCUCAGCCAUGUUCGAGAUAAGCCAUUUGGCUUCAUUUGUUAUCUUAUUUACUAAAGCACCGCCACUCGCUGCAUCUACCAUGCUUCUAUCCAUGGGUAACAAUCCCUCAUAAAAAUACUGGAUCAACAGUUGGUCAGGGAUCUAAUGGUGUGGGUAACUAGCACACAACUGUUUGAAUUGCUCCCGGUAUUCGUAAAGAAUUUCUCCAUUGGCCUGCCGAACUCCACAUAUUUCCUUUCUUAUGUUGGCGGCCUAGAGGCUGGAAAAACUUCUCAAGGAAUUGCCGUUUCAAUCCUUCCCAUGUAGCGAUGGAUCCUGAUGGCAAGUAUAACAACUAGUCCUUAGCCCUGUCUGCUAAGGAAAAAGCAAAUGCACGUAGCUUGAUUUGUUCUUCAGUAACUCCCUGAGGUUUCAUGGUUGAAUAUAUUACAUGAAAUUUCUUUAAGUGCUUGUGUAGAUUCUCACCUGCAAUAUCACGAAAAGUAGGCAAUAAGUGAAUCAACCUAGAUUUUAAUUCAAAAGCCUCCUCAGUGUCAGGUAGGGCUGCAAACAAAUUGAGCCGAGCAGCUCGAGUCAAACUCGAUUCGAGCUCGAUCAAUAUUGAGCUCAAGUCGCGUUCGAGCUGGCUCGAGUCAAAAUCGAGCUCGAACUCGAGCUCAAAAUAUUAAGCUCGUUAGCUCGCGAGCGGCUCGUGAGCUCGAGUAUAUAUAAUAUAUAUAUAUAUUUUUAAUUUUUUAUUUUAAGUAUAUAUAUUUUAUAUUUUUUUAAUUUUAAUAGUAAAAUUACAUAUAUAUCCUUAAUAUUUUAUUAUUUAUUAAGAAAAAAAUAUUAUUUUAUUUAUUUUUUUAAAAAUAAAAAAUUAUUUUUUAUUUUUUUCGAGCUCGAGCUCGGCUCGAAUCAAGUCGAGCUCGAGCUCGAGUUUGAAAUUGUCAGCUCAUCUUGAGUUCAAUGCAAUUAUGUCGAGACUCGGCUCGAUUAGACCAAAACUCGACUCGACUCGGCUCGUUUGCAGCCCUAGUGUCAGGAUACGUAAUGCACAGAGGCUGUUGGUUAACAUUCGAGAUUGCAAACUCCCUCAAAAUCCUUUGGGCUGCCAUUAAUUCGUUAGGUCCAGGCAACUUUAUUUCCAGUUCAAUUGAUGAAUCACUUAAGUCAGAAUUUUGUUCCAGUCCGGGGUAUUGCCGCUGAAGCUUGUUGCUUUUGCAACUUAGUCUCCUUCGUCAACCUCCUUGCUAUUUUCUCAAUCUCUUGAUCAAAUUCGAGUCUUUCUAUACGGGACAAUCGACGCAUAAAACGUAGGCUAAACAAAGCUUGUGCAAUCAAUAACUUCAAACACUAGGUCCCCGGUAACGGCGUCAAAAUUUGGCGACUGUCAAACUACCAAAAAAAAAUUUAUAUCAAGACCUACUCCCAAAAUUGAACGAGUAUAGUGGUGAGUAGGGUCGUCUUCUCAGAGAACUGGUAGAUUUAUUACACACAGAGAAUUUGGGAGAUUUUUGGAAGGGAGAUAAAAAGAAUAAAUUAACAAUGUAAGGUUACUGAAUUUUCAAUCUCAAGAAGUCCAGUAGCUAAAGAAUAUAAUAAAUAAUUAAUUGACACCAUGUAGUAAAGGAGAUAAUAUCGGCACCGGCUCACGCAAUUGAUCAUAGAUACCUAUAGUAAUUCAUGCGUUGCAAAUAAAUUGGUUCUAGCAAUUUGAUAACCUCCAAACUAUCAAUCUUUCCUUAAUUAUAUGGUAGUCCAUAGACGCUCUUAAACUACCCCCUUGUAAAAUAGAUAACUUUAGAGACGCUCUAAUGAUUUAAUCUAUUCACAGUUUUAAAAAUUAGAAAGACCCAAUUUUAGUUAACAAACACACAUGCGAGCUCAUUUAAACCAGAUUAACUAUUCGUACAACACAAAUUAAAUUACUUGCGAGGCAAUUAAUUGUGCCGUUUGUCACUAAUUUUAAGACAAUCAAGUGAUACGCACUCCUAUCCUAAUUGGUAGUAUACUAUUUGGACAAUUGAACAACUGGUCACAUUAAUCUAAUAAAUCUAAACAAUAAUAGUCUAUUGAAAUAAAGAAUAAUUAAAUAUCCACAAAUGCAGAAUUUAGAAUAGAGCAGAACAAUUAAAAAUAGAACAAUUAAAAACAUCUCACAAUUAUCCGUGCACCGGGUCUUGAUUAUUCCUCAACUAGAUAAAAAAAUCUAGCUUUCCCUCAUAACGAUGAUGCAAAUUGAAAGCUUUCUGGAAAUUUGUUGAUUUGAAAAGAAGUAAAAAACGGUACAACUGCUAGUCUCUAAUUCACGUUAAGAAGGGAAGAAAGAGAUCAAAGAUCAAUGAUGAAAACUCCUAGUCUAUUGCUGUCCUCUUUAAAGUGUUUGCGCCGCCCCUUUAGCCAAUCGAGUCUUUGUUUCUAUAAAGGAUAGCUUUCCUUAUUUUUCUCCUUGACUUGUUGCCAAAAGAUUCUCUGAAAAUGUCUCCUGAUCCCACGUAACUUCAGAACAUGUCUGCCAAAAAUAGUGGCGGCUUCUAGGGAUAAAUCCUGCAGUCCGUCUUUUGGACAUAACUCUGUGUUUUCUGAGGUGGGCAUGCUCUGAAAUAAAUAGUCUUCUGGAAUUUAGCCUCUUUUCACCACUUUCGACACCAAUCGCCUGCAACUGACACAAAUACCAAUUAUGAGCAGAAGCCCAUUACUUUGCAUAAUAAGUGGUCAAAAUUGAGAUCAAAUACCAUCAAAUAAAAUGCACAAUUGUCUCACUAUUACCUGCUGAGAAUUACAACAGUACAAAGCUCUAGUGUUGGCGGACAGCGUCUGCUUCCUAGAAUUUCAGAUGGUGUUCAAACAAAGAAGCCAUUUCAAUCUGCAAUACAACUCAAACAAGGAAACAAAUUCAUCAUUGGUACCGGAUCAUGAAUAGACAUUAUUAGAGAGGAAAAUGCAGAUCAUGAACAUUUAUUUCUAAAAUAUAGUACAACUCAUUAUUUUGUCAGAGCUAGGACACAUAAUGAACAGCAUACCAUUAGAUAUGUUAUGAAAGCAAAAACAGACUCUUCCCACGAGAUUUUCUUACUCAUAAGAUCAUGACCUAAAGAAGGACAAUAUUAUGAGCAACGAUGAAUCAGAAUUUGAUUUAGAAACCUACCGAUAACUACAUGCACUGUCAUAAACUAGAUACAAUUCGGAACUAAUAAAAGUUAGAUAUUUCACAGAGAGAGACUCUGGUUGGGAAACCACCACCAUCGCAGAGAGACUCACCAAUGGUCGUUAUGGAGUUCAACCCCUUAUUUGCCUUCUAACUAGGAUUGUCAAUGAGGUUGGGCCAACUCGAGUUCGGAUCAUUCGACCCGAUAAAAAGCCUGAGGAGCCCGACAUUGUAGUGAGCCGAUCUGAAUUUAAGCCUAAAAAUUAAGCCCGAAUUAAAUAUGAGCCGAACUUGGACCCUAUUAGGCUCAAACUCGAUAUAGGCUCAGCCCUUUAAUUAUAUAUAUAUAUUUAUAUUUUGAUAUUAAGUAUAAUUAUAUAUCCAAAUAUAUUAUUAUUAAAUACUAAAUAUAUAUAUAUUACAAAAUAUAAAAAUACAUCUAAAGACUCUUUCAUGAGAUUUCUUGAAAGCCAAUAUUAGUUACGCAUAACUGAAUCUCUAACUUUUCUUAUUGGUUGAAUAAAUUUUGUGUUAACAUAAUAUUGAUUGAUUUCUUUUUGAUUUACAAACACAACUCAUCAAGCAUGUUUGGAUUCAAAUCACAAGAUUAUAAAAAAAAUUCAACUUUUAAAGAUUUAUUGGCUUAUGAUCGCAUAUUUUAUUACUAUUUUUCAUAUAUUUUGAACGAAUUAAAUAUAAAUAUUGUUGAAAAAGUUUUGGUUUAUAUACUUUUUAAGAACUAUUAUUUCAUGUUUAGUUUUAAUAUUAUAGUUUUGUAAAUGUUAAAUUAGUUUUACAACUUAAUAGUUAUAAUAAUUAUAUUAAGAAAAUUAAGAAGUAAUAAAUGAGUUUGAACUAAACCCGAUUAAGGCUCACAAUCCGAAAAUUAUAUGAGUUGAGUAUGAGUUUCACAUUUAUAAACCUGAAACUCAUAACUCGAAACCCGAAAACGUUCCAAAUUAAAUGAGCUGAGCUUGAGUUUAUGAAAGCCCAGUUCAUUAGGCCCAAUUGACAAGCCUACUUCUAACUCCCAUUUUUAACUCAAAAAGUAAUUUAUUUUGGAUGAUCGAUACCUCACUGCUUAAGUAAGAAGGCCCUUUCCAAGCAUACCUAUUGGCUGCAUAAUACUAAAUUAUAUUGAGAGAAGGCCAAUUACAAGGGCAAAACCAAGCAGAGAUGGAGAAAUUCAUCAAAUCACCCCUUUCCAAUGUAACCAAACCAAAAGGAAAAACAGAAAAGAUUCUUUAUUGAUGACAUUUGAUUUAAACGGAACACAAACCAGAUACUAUUCACAAAGCAAACAAUUUGCCAGACAGCAAAUAAAUACUCCAUGGAGUAAAAAGAGAAGAAAAUGAAGAGACAAGAAAGCAACUCAACAAAAUGAAAUUGACUUACAGCUGUCAGCGCUGCUUCAGCACCUUUAUUUCCGGACUUACCACCAGCUCGAUUGAAAACCUGCAUUUAUCAUAAUGUAACUUCAAGAAAUGGGGUACCAAUGGGGAAACUUGUAGAAUACUGAUAAAGAUCAGGGCGGCAAUUUCCAUCAGCAAAGACAUUUUACGAAAAAUUAGCAAUAGGAUGAUAAUCAUACAACAACAUGACAAUUAUAUGAUGAACUAUUUUAUGAUUUUCGAUGCAAUAACGCCCCUAAAAAAAAAGUAUAGGAGAUCAGAAAGGUCAACCACGAGUUUUCAAUGAGUUGUAUUAAGAAAAAGAGAAAUUUCAUGAAUUUACCUACUCCAUGUCAUCACAGGUCAAAACACCACAUAUGCAUGGAACACCUGGAGUUCUUUUUUUUUUUUUUCCAAAUGAUAACAUGAACACCUGGAGUUCAUUGAAAGGAAAAUUAAAUGUUUCACCAUCAAGCCACUGUAAAUGUUUUGAGACUGCAUUCCAUUCCAUGGAUAGAAUUGUCUGCAUUUGAAACACAAAAAUGAAGUAAUAGGUGUGCACAAAACAAAGCAAGUUGAUGAUUCCUAUACAUCUCAAGUAUCUUUUAUGGGGAAUGUAUCCGUAAGCUCCUACCCUAAACGAUUUCUCAUCUUCUGACAUUUGAGAACAUAAGAACCUCUGCUUCUGUGUCUAUGAGCAGAAAAUGGAAAAAACAGGUACACCCACUAUGCAGUGUACUUAUUACGAGUCAGACAAUUUCAAAGUGGUUCUAAGUAGCAAUAAACCACGAACAUCUUUCAACAACAAAAGAUGUGUGCUUUUAACACAAAAGCCAUCUGUCAACUAGGCAAAAAUUUCCAUCAUAGCUACCAUCUACGGAUCAGUAGUAUACACAGCAACCAAUCUUUUGAUUCCUUUCUUAACAAAACUUGUUUAACUAAGCUAUUCAAUAUCUCGUUAGUACAAUCAAAUCUACCAUAGCUCUGUAACAACUAUUUUCCCUAGGGCUGAAUUCAUGCAUUUAGUAUUUCAAGUUAGUAAGAAUUGGUUCUCCAGAUCAUACAGUGGUUUAGAUAGAAGUCAUUAACUAGUAAGAUUGGUGGAAAUAUUCAUUAAUAGUUUAGAGUGGGUAUUUUUUUGUCGAGAAAAUGUAAGUCAUUAACUAGUAAAUACAGCAUCAAAUUUCUAACAAUACCCAACUGUAAAUUCUUGAGUUUGGAAUCCCAUUUAUAUCUUGUCUUUUUUUCCCGCUUUUUCCUUUGUUUCCCAGGCAAUACUCAUUGAUGACUCAAAUUGAAGCUAUGGCAAAAGGCAUUGAGGGAUCAAUCUCUAGGUCAAUUUUUCACUUAGGUGCAUGUAAAAUUUCAAAUAAUUGUGAAUAAGGUUGAAGAGCCACAUCCACAUGCUUUGUUUAGAAUCAUUUAUUAAAAAUGUUUGUAACUUUAACAAUUACCAAACUGACUUUCAAGUGGUUAGUGGUUACACAACCACCCCUUAUUUCUUCAGGUUAUUAUUGUCCUGUUGUCUAUAAGUUAGUGUAGAUUUAAUAAAGAAGAAUUGUGUACAUCGUGUUUAUCUUUAUGGUGUAUUAUUGACAAUCUAUUAAUGGCGCACCAAAUAUACGGUACUAUUCUAAUGAUUAAAAGUUAACAAAGUGACAAAUUACCGCCUAUUGUACCUGCUAGCUAAAUUAAGAUUUGAGGACAUCCUUUUUUUAAAACUUUUUUCGACCAAAAAAGGAAUAGGAUUCAAUAAGUGGGGAGGUCUCAAUCUCAACUACUAGAAUUUGAGGUUAUAUAUAUGUGCACGCGCGCGUGUGUAUAUAUAUAUAUAUAUAUAUAUAUGUAUAUAUACUUCUCUAACCUAAUAUCUGAUCUUUUUAGACAUGUGGGUUCCGCAUGCCAAUGUGGCCGGUGGCUUCGGCCGUAUGGGAAAAUAGACUAGUGUCCCGUGUAUCAACAGGCACACGGGAAGACAAGUGGAGUGUGGAGAAUCAAAUUCAAAUUUUAAAUUUAAAUUUCAUUAUAUAUAUAUAUAUGUGUGUGUGUGGAUAUGGAUAAUAUCAAAAACUUCCCUUAAUGUUCCUCUUAAGAGCGCUUAGUACUUCUAAGAUUUUAAAAAUAUCAUUUCCCUCCCUUGAUAGCUUCAAAAUGACUAUAUCACUUCAUAUAUAACAGAUAUACCAAAUAAAUGGAACUUAAAAAAUUAAAGAAAAAGAAAUAAAAGUCACUUUUAUCUCUUUCCCCUUUAUUCAACUUUCUAUCUUGUCUAUUUUUGGGUGACUAUGCGAUUUUUUCCGUAAAUUACGGUAAAGUGAAUUUUGCUUAUCUUUUUUUCUUGUGUGAUUGUAUUAGUGUUAGGUACAAUUUCUUUGGUUAUUUUGAUUUCAUUUUUAUAACGAUUUACUACAACUUAAAGGCUUGGGUCAUGAGUUGAGAAGAUAUUGGAAAAAAAAUGGAGUUCAUAAAAAAUUGGUUUUUGAUCAUAUAAAUUUGAAUUGGUGCUAAUGUAUUUAUUUACAAGUAUCUUUUUUAUUUUUGAAAUUUAUAUUUUUAGGAGUUAUGCUUUUGUAAUGUGGUGGUAGUACUUAAGAUUGUUUUAAGGUGACGGUUUUUAAUGAAGUAAAUAAAGUGGUUUAAGUGUAUUUUUGUUUAAUAAAAGGAGCAAAUAAUAUUUCUGUUAGAAUGAAUUUUCUUCAAAUGUCUAGAAUACUCUCAAUCAAUCAACUACAUAUAUUCUUCUUGAUUUUCGUAUGUUCAUUAACCACUAAUUAUUCCUCUUCUUCUCUCUUCGACUAAAGGUUUUUUUUCUACUCUCUUACUUUCCUAGGAACAGUAGGUUUCCGACUCUAGUGGAGUAGGAGGCAGUGGAAGAAGAGUAAAAGAAAAGGCAGAGGAAGGCAAUGGGAAAAAUUACAAAGACAUGGUAGAUUUGGCAUGCUAUUGGUAUCAAUCAAGAAGGAGAGUGGUUAGACAUUUCUUUUUUCAUAUGUCAUUUUUCAAUAAUUAAUUUACCAAUUUAAUCUUUUAACUAUAAUUGAAAAUUUAAUGUUUCACUUUAAUUCAAAACCGUAAGGGCUAAAUUGCAAGUUUGCAACCUAUAGAGAGUUAACACAUCCAAUCACCCAAGCAUAAGAGAGUUUUUUUUUUUUUUAAACCAAUAUAUUGAUUAACGAGAAAAUUGUUUCAAUCUAUAAAUAAAUAUUAAGAAAAUAAUCCUGACAUUCUUCUCUUUAAGAGAGAAUCUAACGAGUGGUCAAAAGUUUGCUCUUCAAUUAAAAAAGCGUUCUCUUCAAUUCGAGCAUUAAAAACAUUUAGUCUGAUGACGUCACCUCAAACAGUUAAUCUUCAAUCUUUAAGAUUCAACUUGAAACUUGAAUUUAGUCCAGUGGCCAGAAUCCCUUGCCAAGGUAUCUAGUGUCUUUGGCAAACCAUCUAAAAGUGCAAAAAUACAGAAUCACCAAGAGAUCUGGCUUCUUUGGCAAACCAUCCCGAAGUGCAAAAAUGUGAAAUAUGUUGGGUUUCAAAGAAAUUCUUUAGAUUUUCCUGUUCAACUCGAGCAGUUUGUAACUCAAGAAAUCCACUUAAAAACAAACUUCAACAAAUGUGCUAGUCCAAAUAAUUCAUUAUGAGUCGAUCAAUUAAUCCAUUUUUAAAUAAAUGGGCAUUGCACCUUUAAUAUGAUUUAAGACCCACAUAAAAUUGGCGCAACUUGUAGGCCGAAAUGUUAGUUGAUUUUUCAUUAUUUAAUUUAAGUUAAUCAAUACCAAUUUAUUUUUAUUUCAAUAUUGACUAAAUAAAUUUAUUUUUUCCUAACAGGAGAAGGGUGAAAGUUAAGGGGCUCAGAUUGAACUUAAUACCUAGAGGUCCUGAGGCCUUUUUUUAACUCACAGAAAAAGGACAAAUAGAAUAUAAACAAGAAUUACUAUAAUAUAGGAUAAGUUAUUAUAAAGUAACAUGACAUCAAAAUUCGGGAAUAAAAUAUGUGGUCAUUGUUCAGUAAGCAUAAUAUAGCUCAUUGCUGACCACUGAGAUUUGAUAUACACAAACAAGGGCAUACCAAUUCUGCAUUUCGACACCACAUGCAAAUGCAAAAUUUCUAUUGUACACAACUAUACAACUGCACCACAUUGAAAGAAAGCUAUACAGCAAUUGUACAGCAAUUAGUUCUGUUUCAGUGUACAGCAAUUGAACAGCUUGUAAAGGUUUUAGUGUAUUAAUACGGUGAAUUAUCAAUAUGGCUCUUACCCAAGCACUUAUAAACUGAACCAAUUUAAAACUUGUAUUCAUCGUCAGCACAGAACCCACAAGCGUCAUCAGGGUUUGAAUCCUGGAGAGCCCCUCCAAAAGCGCCACCAGGGUUUCAAGGGCUCACCCUUAACCCGAGGACGGUGCCGAAGUGGGAAAAAAAGGAAAAAAGAAAGAGAGGGGAACCUUACUUUCCAUUUCUGCUCUCGGUCUUAACCCUCCUGAGAAGAGUGGAAGCUUUUACGGCAAACAUGCGUCCCACAAUCACGUGAAUUUUCACCAGAAGAAGAAGAAGAAGCAGCAGCAGCAGCAGCAGCUUCUGAUUUCAAGCUUCAAAUUUGACAAUGAUGAUGACGACGUUGAAGACUAGGUUGUGGGUUUUUAGGAGAAAAGAUGAGUUUUUGAUGCAAAAUAAACUGGUGAAUUUGGUGGCUUUGUUUAAUAGGUAUGUUGGGAAAGGAUUUCGGGCUUUGGGCUUUGGAGCCUGGAAUUUGGGAAUUUUAACAAGUUUUAAAUCCUAUUUGAUAACUCAAUUCAUCAAUUAAAUUUAUUGGAUUCAGAUUUUAACAUAUUCAAAUCAUUGAUAACAAAAAAAUUGAAUGUCUGAAUUAAUUAAAUAACAUUGAAUUUUCUGAACAAAACUUACUCCCAAAAUUAAAUAAUAAGUUAUUCACUUAUCGCUAAAUAUGAUAUAAACUCAAAUGUAUUAAAUUUAAUAUUUUAAUAAUUCAAUAAAUUAAUGGAUUCAGAUUUCAUAUUUCAAAUUUCAAAUUUCAAAUUUUUUAAUUUUAUCAAACGCACCAUUAAUCUACUUAUCUAAUAAAAGUCAAUCACUAAACAAACAAUAUAAUAAAUACCUAAUUAGUACAUUUUAUCAUCUAAUUUUCUCUUUCCUUUAGCUUUUUUUUUUUUUUGGUUCCUUUUUUUUACUAGCAAGAACUGCAAGAAAUAUUUUCAUCCGUUUGUACAAAAAUUUGGUCAUUUUGUCAUCUGUCUUUCGGAUUACCAAGAAAAGUCUGGUUAUAACUCUUUUGUAUUUUGAAGCUGGAAACCUUGAGCACAAAAAACUUGUUUGUUUCAGUUUAAGGGGAAAAAUGGGUUAGAAAAAUAAAACAUCAAAUAUAUUCUGAUUAACUUGAAGUUAUCUUUGGAAAGGGUUAGCCCACGUUUUGAUAAAACUUGACGUCCUUAAUGACUUCAUUAGCAAAUGAAAGAUUAAUUGUUAAACAUGUAUAAGUGGUUUUUCUACAGACUCCAUGUUGAACAAUUUAGAAUGAAUCGAUAGAUUAGGUCGAACAAUUUAUUAUUCUAAUUACUCGAAGAGUAAUCGGACCAAAAAAAAUAAAAAUAAAAAUAAAAAGGCAUCAAAUCCUCUGUGGCACACUUCUCAGGCAGGUAAUUUUGAAAUGAAAUAUCAGGUCUAUUGCUAAAAAACCACAAUGGAAUUAUUAGAUUUGUUGCUUAAAUUUCUGAUUAAAUUGGAAAUUGGAAUUUGGGUGCAGGUAAUUUUGAAAAGAUACCUUAAACCUUGCUGGACUUCUAAUCAGAUUCUUUUAAAGAAUUUUCUCUAAAAAAAUAAGUACUUUUUUUUUUGGGUAAUUAGGCACUGGUAAGUAUUGGCUGUAGUGAGUCAAGAAGAUGAAAUUUAAAUAAGUUGUGGUGGACUUGCCGGCUGCGGGGGUAAAUUAGUGAUACCACAUAAGUGUCCUGCAAUUUGAGCCUUGCUAGGCGACGAAUAUCCCUAAGUAUGAUAUGAACCAUAUGAUCAGUAGGAGGAUACAGUAGUUUAUUAAACACCUUCCGGUUCCUGCUCCACCACGGAUGCAAAAGCAACCCUGCACACAUGAGAAACAAAACUCUGCUGAGAGCAAUACAUGUUCAUCUACUACAAUUCUCUAUUCCAUUGAAGAGCCUGUCUGUAAAUCAAAUAAAUAAAUUAGUAUUCAAUUAAUUCAUCAAUUUUUGUCUCAACAAAUUAUUAUCGUUAAAAUAAUGCAAUUAUUUGGAUUACAACAAUCAUUAAAAAAUGUACUUUAAUAUUUUCUAAGGUAUUGGCUAUUGAAACUUGUACUUUCACUUUUUAUAUUUUCAUUUACAUUUUGUUUGAACCGUGGAAUUGACACCUACCAACCAAAGCUUUUUAACAAACCUUAAUUGUAUACUACAUUAAAAUUACAUUGCCUACUAUAGAUCCAAAAUUUUAAUUGUUUUGUUUUGUUAAUCAUAUCAGUAGAAGCCAAGAGCCAACCUUUUUUUUUUCCCUUGACACAAAGAAUUCAUCUGCUUAGCCACUACCUAACUUUUUUUCCAUUUCUUUAUUUUUUCUGUAAAGAAACAAUGAACGGUUGCCAGGUUUACUGGUCACACUAGUGUGAAUACCCGUGCUACGCACGGUGCUGGCAUUAUUGAAAAAGUAAAAAUAAAAUGGUGAAUAAAAAAGGUUUAAAAAUUGUACCAACACAAUUAAAAUGUAAUAUUUGUCUAACAAUAGUUUGAAAUAUGAUAGAAUAUGCAUAUCAUUCAAGAACUGCCUUUUUUCAGAAGAUAGGUCCUAAAAAAAUAAUAAAAAUUUAUUUUAGAAAAUGAAUGAUAUAUUAACAAAAAUGAAUGUAAUUGAAUGUUGUUAAAAUGAAAUACUUACAAAUAUUAUGCAUUCGAUUUGAUAAUCUUGCAUGAAGGUGCGAACAUUCUUCACACAAAUUAACUUUUAGUACAAAAGCCAAAAUUGGUGAUUUAAUUAAUUCAGUUGAAUUUUGUGGAGUGCGUACUACAAAUGAAAAUACACGAUCUUUGCAUGAAUUGAUUUGUUGGUUGAACAACCUAUCACCAUUUUUCUGAGAAUUAAGUACGUACGAAAUUCAAAAUUAGUGUAUUUUUUUACAUAGUUUAUAAAUAGCAUUAUAAAAAACAAAUAUAUAUCAAGAAAUUCUACCUACCUUCUUUGAGAUAAGAAGCAUCACGACCAAAUACGAAUCGUGCAUGUCUGUCUUGUAGAUUAAGAUGCAUGUUACCAUUGGAAUCUCUGAUUUGUAUGUCAACAUUGUACCUGUUUGACAAAUAAAAUGUUAUAUACAAUACAGAAAAAUAUGUUGAAAUUAAAAGUACAUGAAAUUAAUUACCUAACAACAGUGUCGAUCAUGUUAUUACAAUGCAGACCAAAGUGACAAAGAAUCAGAUAAUGACUAUCUUUUUGUGAUAAGAAACAUUAACUCUUUUGGCCUAAAGAUACAGAAACCAUCAUCAUGACAAUAUCAAAUACUAUACAUAGUUAUCGAAAUCCAAGAAUCCAAACUAAGUUGCAAACAAACUAAGUCGAAUUUGAUGUGAGAUUUUCCUUUCGUCAACGCAAAGUUGCUGAAACUUUUUGAGCUGUUGUGUGAAAUCGUUGCGGUGUACGUUUCAUUUUCUAAACAAAUGUUUCCUCCUUUGUAAUCUUGCGAGUUUGAAAUUUAGUUGCCGUUGAAAUGCUUGUAGGCAGGCAUGUUUCAUAGUUAAAUUAUGUUAAGGGUUAAGAUGGAUACCAUAAAAAAAUUAAAUGAGAUAAUAAGUUCUUGGGAAAAUGCAAGAAAGUUCUUUUAAUUGGAAUGAGCACACAAGAAAGUUGAAUGAGAAUUCUAUGUUUUGGAGGAAUUUUAAUUGGAGUGGAAUUCUUAAAUUGGAAGACCCUUAAUUGGAGUGGAAAAAUAGGGGAAAUGCAGGGACUCUCAAUUUGUGAUUUUUGAAACAUGAUUGUAAUUUGCAAAACUCAUUUGAAGGGGUGGUUAUAGGGUUAGUUUGGGGAUAAAUAUUUUUUUAAUUAUAAAAAUGUAACAUUGUAUUAAAAUAGCAUACGAAAUGAGCAUUUGUUUUUAAUUAAGGAGUAAAAAUGAUUUAAAAUAUAAAUAACAAAGUAUAAACGGUUUAUGAAGUAGAUAGUGGGAAUGUUUUAAAUUUUAAAUUUGAUUGGUGAUAGGGUUGGUUAUAACCCACUACUUUUUAUGUAUUAAAAUAAAUACAAAAAUCUAGACAAAAAUCUAUAACUCAUUACUUGUUCCGUUCUUGAAAUUUUUUUUAGGGUUAAAUAUAGUAAACCCCUUAACUUUAUAUUUAGCUGCACUUUACCCCUCAACUUUACAUUUAGUUACACAUUUGUGAUUUUUUUGAAAUGUGAUUGUAAUUUGCAAAACUCAUUUGUAGGGGUGGUUAUAGGGUUAGUUUGGGGAAAACAUUUCUUAAUUACAAAAAUGUAACAUCGUAUUAAAAUAGCAUACGAAUGAACAUUUGUCUUUAAUUAAGGAGUAAAAAGAAUUUAAAGUAUAAAUAACAAAGUAUAAACCGUUUAUGAAGUAGAUAGUGGAAUGUUUUAAAUUUUAAAUUUAAUUGGUGAUAGGGUUGGUUAUAACCCACUACUUUUUAUGUAUUAAAAUAAAUACAAAAAUCUAUUGUGAGAACCCCGAAAAUAUAAAUACAAAUAUCAUAUCAUAUUUCAUUUGCACUCUUAAUUCAUUAGUAAAUACUAGUACUACUUCACUUGUUUCAAAAUAAGUGCGUAAAAUCACUUUUCAUGAAAGGAAUAAUAUAAUUUUUCUAAGACGUGAAAUUUCUCGGUUUUGCUAGACUAGAUUAAUACUUUUAGAGAUAGAAUAAUUUUUAGCACCUCAACAUAAAAAUACUAAAGUACUUAGUUUUAUUUUGCUAGAGUAAUAUCACCUGAGUGGAUUAAUUUUACUAUCUUAAAAUAAAUCCUUAAAUUUCGAUAGCUAGCUUUAUUUCCGAAUAAGGUUAAGAGUAAAUAGAACCCUUGGAAUGAAUGUGCAAUUGAUAAAAUUUCAGACAAAAAUGAUAUAAGUACCCUAAGUAUUCUGAGGACGUAAGAAUGUCAAUAACCAAAAUCCUUGCAAGAUUAGUGCAACAUUAGGAAUUUAAUUUACGUUCGGAAUAAUUUUUGGAGUUAUAUUGGAAUUGGGGUCUUAAGUGGUCAUUAGUAGGGCAAUGUGAAAUGUCCAAACUACCCUUUACAAUAUCACAAAACCACCAUGCAAACCCAAAACAUUUCCGGACAUCAUAAUAGCCAACCUCUCCAUUCGGCCAACCCGCACCUUCACUACCACCACACUCAAUCACCUCAUACACUCAACCUCCCUCAAAACCACAACACCACUCCACAACUCCAUUCUGUUUCGGUCCAAGAACAAACGAGAGAGAGAGACUUACCUCGUGAGUAUCGAUUGAGUAGAGAGAGUGAGCUGCAUCCGAGAGCAAGGGAGGAGAAAACCGCGAGCUGCAACUCUUCCAAAUUUCUGUCUGCGAGCUAGAGUGAAACCAGGGAGAAGCCGUGAGCGAGCUCCAUCCAGUUCCGCAUCAUCAACCAGCUGCAAUCCAGCUUCAACCUCCAUCCAGUUCCGCAUCAUCAACCAGCUGCAAUCCAGCUUCAACCUCCACCAGUCGCAACCACUGAAAUCCAAACCAAUCUCCAGUCACGAGCGAGCUGAGAGCCGAGAGGGAGAAUAGAAAUUUUCUUCCAGAUUUCCUGUACGUGAGCUGAGCUAUUCUGAGGUAAUUUUCUGGACUAUUUUAGGUUGAUCAGAGGUAGAUUGAGCCAUCUAGGGGCAUGCAUGUAUUGGUUGUGCAGUCGGAUGAGGAAAUCAAAGUUUCAGAAAAAUCUGUUUUGAUUAAAUGUCUCUGCCGAGAAACUGAAUUGGAAAUGCAGCCUUAAUCUCGCCCAUUUGUGGUAAUUUGAGCUCAGACAUAUGAUUACUUAUCUCAGGACUAGAGGAUUAAGCUUUGCAUGUUGAAUUUUAAACCAUCGGAUGAGACAUUAGAAAAAGAAAAUCUGACUGGAUGGCUAAAUGGUUCGGCCGAGAGGUUAAUAAAGUAAUGCAGUUUCUAAUCCGUCCAGUUCUAAUGAUCCGAGGUUGAGGUCAUGAUUAGUUAAAUAAAAAGUGAAUGAUUAAGUUGAUUAGGGUGUUGCAUGUGGAAGCUAGAUUCGGAUGAUGGUGUUAAGGCUUAAGAAAAUUCUGUUUUGAUAAGAAAAUGGUCGGCCGAAAAUUGAUUUAAGAAUUGCAUGAGGUAAUCUGCUUUGUUGUGAUGAUCAGCAACCGAGAUUAUGAUUAGUUAAUUGAAACUUGGAUGAUUUAUACAAUUAAGGCCUUGCAUGUUGAGUUGUGCGUUUGAAUGAUUAAAUUAGAAGCAUAAGAAACCUUGAUUUGGAAGGAAUUGGACUGCCGAGUAGCUGAGUUGAAAUGCAGCACUAAACUGUUCACUUGGUAACAAAUUUGAUCUGAUGAAGGUGAUUACCUCACUAAUAAGAAAGUAAUUAAGUCUUGCAUGAGGCUAAGUAACCCGGCUAACCAAGAAAAUAAUAUGAAAACAGAAAAUUUCUUCAUGCAUGCUCAUCAGUGACUAGCUGGACAAAUUUCUGGAUUUUUGGGAUGUAUGUAGUUGUUAUUCGAAGCUGAUUAUGAACCAGAAAUAUUAAUUAGCUAGCUAAGUGAUGGCAUAUUGAAUUUGAGCCCUUAACACGCUGUUUUAGCCAAGGAAAAAGCUGGUUUAAGAACAUCUUAUUACUGGAAAAUUUUGUGAACUGCCGCAAGGUUUGAACCUGGAAAUUAUGAAGUUUAUGACUGUUGUUUGAACUCCAUUUUGAACUGGGAAAUGUUAAUUGGUCGGAUAAGUUGAUGUAUGGAAAAUUUAAGGACUUAGAACCAUGUUUUAACCGAGGAAAAAAAAUGGAUUUCUAAACACCUAAGUGUUGGAAAAAAAUUCUGGAUAGCCGAGAGGCUUGAACAGAAAUUCCAGUUUGCUCUUUUUGGAAUUUUAAUUUGUUUCUGGAUUUUUCCUUAGAGUGUCAUGGUUUUGAAAUGCACCAGAAAUAUGUGUUUUGAGCUGCAUAAGUCGUUUAACCAUGAAUCAUUUGAUAUGAUGGAAGUUUGAACUAAGAAUGUGGAAGAGUAAACCUGGAAAAUUUCCAAGUUGAAUUGAUAGAAGUAGUAAAGGAAUUUUCCAGAUUUCUUGUGGCGAAUGUUGAGUCCAAAAAUGAUAGCUUUAAUUACUAUGAGAAAUAAUUGUUGGAUGCUAAGGGCUAAUGAUUGAUGAAGCCCUUGGCCAUUUGAAUGAUUUUAUACAAGUGUUAAAGCGUGAUGAAAUCAAUUGCUAGAAUUACUUGAAUUUUUUUAUAUGUAUUUUGCUUCAACUGUGAGGUGAUAUGAAUUGCCAAAACCAAGAGCUAAUGAUUGACGAAGCCUUGGUCAUUUAUUCCAUUUUGAGCAGAAGUGAAUCUAUUGAAAACCCAGGGCUAAUGAUUGACGAAGCCCUAGGGAUUUUCUACUAAAAUGUGAAUUUGAUUUGCUGGCAAAUUUGAACCAUAAUGGGAUUUCGAGAUGGGAUCGAAUUUGGGAAUUCGUUUCGACUCUGCGAACUCGCAAAGGCUUAAGCAACCUAUUCAAAAACUUUGGUGCUUAACAUUAAUCGAUAAAACUUAGUAUUGAACGAUUAAGUUAGAAAUUUUGGUGUGGGAUUUUCUAAAAUCUUGCCGACUCGACGCUUUCAACUUGAGCUUAUAUUAGCCUUACUAUUUUUAGGAAAUGAUUUCACCUGGUUCAAAAAACUCAAGUCUCGCUUAAAUUCCUUUUCUUUCGUCAAAAAAAAAAAAGAAAAAUUUUGUCCUUGAUUAGUUUUCUAGAGGAAAUUUCUAAAAUACGAGACUUUAGUGACUAUAGCUAAAAGCGUAGAAAACUUGUUCGGCAAGAAACAUUAUGUCACGCAAAACUAGUUUUAGUAACACUUUUACAAGAAAAGUAAGAUUAAAGAAAUUCUACAAAGUAUUUCUCUAGUUUUAAUACUCCAUGGUUUGUGACUUAUUACAAACAAAUAAACUAGCUAUAAUGCAAAUAAUUUUUCUACAUAAUCCUAGAACCAGUAUAGCCAACUUAUAGUUUCAAAAUGUUGGAUUUCUAGGAUUUAGCGAGGACGCUGAUUUCGACUCCCAACUUGAUAUCUGAACAUCACCCUUGGUGAGUGUCCCUGCUUGUUCUAUGCUUACUUGGUUAAAGUGCUUUCUUGACUCAAUAGGUGAUAAAUUGCAAAACAAGUUUAGAUCCAUCGAAGUGAGCAGUGUGUACUUUACCACACUAGCCGUUCAAGUGGUGACCUGUGUGAAACAUUUUUCUCCUGAAUCCGUGAAUCAAAAUGUAGUUGCGUCGUUGGGUGAAUCCCUCGACUUCUGAAUCCAACUACGGAAACGUCGCUGGGUGAAUCCCUCGACCAAUCUCCUGAGGAUAUACACGAGUAUACUGCUCCCAAUUAUCUAAGGGUAUACGCAAGUAUACUGCUUCCAAUUAUCUAAGGUAUGCGCAAGUAUACUGCUUCCAAUUAUCUAAGGGUAUACGCGAGUAUACUGCUUCCUUAGUCGGUGUUCGGGCCCGGACAGGGGUAAGAACGGUGACGGGUUAGGAGUAAAAAAUAAGAGGAUCUACAUGGACUAUAAGUAGUGAGAGUUGACGGAGGGUCAACUACGAGGAAUGGUGAUCAAGCGAGGAAAAUGGCUCCUGAGAGCCCCUGUAUCCUACCUUGUGCUGUUGUCUGCUUUUAUUAAGUGUGAAAUUGAAAUAUUCGUUACUUGCCUUAUGUGAUUGCAUGUUUUGGGGCACCACUGAGUUUUAACUCACCCCACGUUCAUUUGUUUUCCUUACAGGUCUUGAAGUUUGAAGGAUUUUAAGCUGCUUAUAUUUCCUAUGAAUGUACUUGAACAAAUUGAAUUUAAAUUUCGGUUUGUAAUGAAUUCUAAGUUAAGCACUGUACCUUUUAUUUUUGGUUGCCACUUGAACCUGGAAAAGUGUAAUCCCUAAUUCUAAUAUUCGGUAUGUAUGUUUGUAUUGGUAUAGUAUGUCUUUUAACCCUUGUGGGUAACGCGUGAAGUGUUUAAGAGCCGUCGAUUGGCUAAGUUGUGUGCUGUUAUCUCUGAAGUUAAUGUGGUGAUAGAAAUUGAUUUAUUUCGGAAGAAUUAUUCUGUAGAAGUUUAGGUUAAUCUCUGGAAGAUUUUGAGUUCGAAUGCUUGCGUGAGUCCUGGCGAGAGCUGGGCAGACGGCCCGCCAACCUUUGGUUCGCCUUAGGAGGAAGUGGGUCGCCACAGGUGGUAUCAGAGCCUAGGUUAGAAAAGUUAUUUGAGAGAUAUACUAUACGAGUUAGGAAUCCCGAUCCUUUUAGAAGUAAGAAUUGAGACCAUUAGAUAUAUCUUAAGUAAUGCCGAUUCAAUUAGCUAUUUAAGUUCUAACCUCUAAGUUUUUAAUUCUUUUGCAGGUAUGGAGAAUGGUAAUGGACAUGCUAAUGGUAAUGGGGCGUCUAAUGGACAUAUAGAGCCUCUUAGGUCCGUCUCCUAUAGGCCACGAGGCGGAGGAGCUCAUAUACGUUACUCCCCUGCUGAUAGGCAUCCUCGGUGUCAGUGUAGGGCCACUCAUGCCUACCCCAAUGAGCUAGUACUAUCCCUGGAUGAUGAGCGUCGCUAGCUGAGGGACGCUAACUUUACUUUGACUCAGGACGUAGAGGAGCUGAGUAUCAUGGUGGACACUCAGUUCGACCGUAUAGCUGAGUUAGAGUAGAGGGUAGCAGCGGAGCAUGCUAGGCUGGAGGCUGCUCGCGUAGAGAUAGCGCGUCAGAGAUCGAGGUGACUCGAUUGGCCGAAAGGAUACGUGAUAGGAGUGCCGGUAUCAGGGCUGAUGCCGCGAUGAUGAUAGAUGAGGCCACGAGUAUCCUUCAGGGUGUCGAGCAGGAGGACCCGGAGGAGGAUCCGGAUGAGGAUCCGGAGGAGGAUCCGGAGGAGGACGUAGCUCCUGAUAGCCCUGCUGAGGGUUAGGCUGGGAUCGAUUUGACCAUACUAGAUAUGUAGGGUUAGAAUAGGGGGACCUUAGCUAGGUCAUCAAGUUUUGUCUAGGUGGAUGACUUGCUUUCAAGGCACCAUAUCCCUAAUUUUUGUUUAAGGGAUUACUUGUAUUUGCUAGCCUUUGUGCCUUAUUUUUGGAAAAUGUCCCAACCUGCUAUCUGUAUGACUUUCACGUAUGAAUAUAUGCUAACUGUUUUAUUUCCUUAUCCCUCCAUUCCUAAGUUGAUUACUAGUUACAAAGAGAAUAAUAACAGCUUUAAAUAAACAAUCAACUUCCCUAAUUGCCUUACUUUUCAUAAUAGGCAUAACUAAACUAUGGAUCGCCAAGUGAUAGGAAGGAGCCGUGGGAGACCCACUAGACAACACUCGGAAGCGGGUGGUGAUAGGGAACCCGAGGUCAACCAAGACCAAGGGCAAGAGGGUGUGGCCGGAGAUCAAGUGGCCACUGCAAUUAACCGUAUCACUGACGUCCUAGAGCGCUUGACUGAGCAUCAAGCCUCUGGACGAGUGCAUCACCAAGGAGGUCCAGCCGAUUCCGAUGAUCGCGGGCACUGGAGAGAUUUCUAAAGUUCGGACCUCUCAAAUUCUAUGGAGGACCUGAACCGAAGGUAGCUGAGGGCUGGUGGGAGAGAAUCUCCGAUAUCUUUGUAGCUUUAAACUAUUCAGAAGAGCGACAAGUGACGUUUGCCACAUUCCAGUUUGAGGGAGCUGCUCGCUCCUGGUGGAACCUGGUAAGGGGAACUUGGGACAGGAACCAUACUCCAAGGACCUGGGCAAACUUCACAAGGGAGUUCAAUGCCAAAUUUCUUCCACCUCUCACUCAAGAGAAAAGAGAGGACGACUUCAUAAAAUGUAAGUAAGGGGCGAUGAGUGUCGCCGAAUAUGAGGUCCAAUUUACGAAACUGUCCCGAUUUGCUCCUGAAUUGAUAGCCACGGAGCAAAGGCGUGUCAGAAGGUUCGUGCAGGGGCUGAAUGUGGAAAUACAGGAAGGUUUAGCUGCCGUGAAGAUAGACACUUUCGCAGAUGCCGUCGAGAGAGCCCAGAGAGUUGAAGUAGCUAGGGCUCAAGUGAAAUCCUUUCAGGCCAAGAAAAGAUUUGCUCCUAGCAGUAGUCGGGAGCCGGCAUAUGGAAAUGCUCCACCGGCCAAAGUGGGCCGAGGAACCAGUGGAGUGACUAAUCCUGGAGCACCACGAGGCGCACAAGCAAGAGGAACCAGGGCAAGGAAUGCCGGGGAAGAAAUAAUGGAGCUAGAGGAGGAUCGAAUGGAAGGGGACAACCUAGGAAUACCUCACUAGGAGGCCGAGCAAUGAUUCCCCAAAUGACUUGCGCCUACUGUAAGAAACCUGGUCAUACUAUAGACGGUUGCUGGAAGCAGUAAGGAAAGUGCUUGAGGGCGGCAGUAGUGAGCACCAAAUUUCUGGAUGUCCAAAAGUGCAGGAAGGGACUACUCCGAACGCUAGACCCAACACUUCUGGAGGGAGCCGGCCGACAGUUCCUGCCAGAGUGUAUGCUAUAGAUGAUCAACCUGUACCUGAUUCCUCGGAAGUUGUGGAAGGUACACUUCCGAUUUUUCAUCGAUUAGCUAAAGUGUUAAUUGACCCUAGUGCAACUCAUUCAUUCGUAAAUCCAUCUUUUAUGUCUGGAAUUGACGUGAAACCUGUUAGACUACCCUUCGAUCUUGAAGUUAGGACACCAAUGGGUAAUAAGAAUGUAAUCACUGGUUUGGCCUAUAAGAAUUGUGAAUUCUGGAUUGGAGAGCGUAAAAUGCUAGUGGAUCUGAUCAGUUUGGACAUAAAAGGUUACGAUGUUAUAAUAGGAAUGGAUUUUCUAGGCCAUUAUCAUGCUAAACUUGAUUGCCGAGCAAAAGUGGUGAAAUUUGGUAUAUCUGGAGAAGCAACCCUGAGGUUAGAUGUUAAGGGUAGGUUAGCAUCGUCUGCUAUGAUCUCAUGAAUUAGGGCAAGGAAAAUGUUGUCCAAAGGAGCGCAAGGUUUCUUAGCCUUCUUGAUUAAUGCUCCCAGUGAUCAAGUGAAGUUGGAGGAUGUACCAGUAGUACGGGAAUUUCCGGACGUCUUUCCCGAAGAGCUAAAAACUCUACCGCCGGAAAGAGAAGUGGAAUUUAAGAUUGACUUGAUGUUUGGAACGGCUCCAAUUUCUAAAACUCCGUACUGAAUGGCUCCUGCCGAGCUAAAGGAGUUGAAAAUCCAACUGCAAGAUCUCUUGGAGAAAGGUUUUGUGAAGGAAAGUGAUUCACCGUGGGGAGCACCCGUUCUAUUUGUUAAGAAAAGGACGGAAGCUUGAGGUUAUGUAUCGAUUACGAGGGUUAAAUGAGAUUACAAUUAAGAAUAAAUACCCUCUACCGUUGAUAGAUAGUUUGUUCGACCAACUGCAAGGGUCAGUAGUUUUCUCUAAGCUGGACUUGAGGCAAGGGUAUUACCAGUUAAAGAUUAAGAAGGAGGAUAUACCCAAGACUGCUUUUAGUACGAGAUAUGGACAUUUUGAGUUCGCAGUCAUGCCUUUUGGUUUAACUAAUGCACCAGCGGCAUUCAUGGAUUUAAUGCAGAGAGUCUUUAAGAAGUAUCUGGAUCAGUUUGUAGUGGUUUUCAUCGAUGAUAUCUUGAUAUACUCUAAGACUCGAGAGGAACAUGUUAAGCACUUGAAGAUAGUUUUGCAGAUAUUAAGGGCGCAUAAGUUGUAUGCCAAAUUCAGCAAGUGCGAGUUUUGAUUGGAUGAAAUAUCUUUUCUAGGGCACAAGGUUUCCAAAGAUGGAAUUGCCGUGGAUCCGGCAAAAGUUGAGGCCGUUAUGAAUUGGAAGCAGCCAGAAACUCCAACGGAAAUUAGAAGUUUCUUGGGAUUAGCAGGUUAUUAUAGGCGAUUUAUCAAGAAUUUUUCGAAAAUUGUUGGACCCAUGACCGAGCUAACCAAGAAAGGGAAUAGGUUCAUUUGGACUCCGAAGUGCGAGUCAAGUUUUCAAGAAUUAAAGAAGCGUUUAACAUCCGCUCCUGUUUUGGUGUUACCUGACGGGGAAAAAGGUUAUGCCGUAUACUCCGAUGCUUCUGGAGAAGAUCUAGGAUGUGUUUUAAUGCAAAAUGGUAAAGUGAUUGCCUACGCUUCUAGGAAACUGAAGUCUCACGAACAAAACUACCCAACUCAUGACCUAGAGUUAGCAGCAGUGAUUUUCGCCUUAAAGAAAUGGAGACAUUACUUGUAUGGCGUGACUUUUGAGGUUUAUACGGACCAUAAGAGCCUCAAGUAUUUGUUCUCCCGAAAGGAACUAAAUUUGAGACAAAGGCGAUGGGUAGAAUUUCUGGAAGAUUAUGACUGUUCAAUUAAUUACCACCCAGGAAAAGCUAAUGUGGUAGCUGACGCUCUAAGUAGAAAGGCCCAAGUAGCAGGGUUAAUGGUUAAAGAGUGGGAUAUGUUAGAAGAAAUAAGUGGUUGGAACCCUCGCUUGGAAAAAUUGAAGGUUUUAUUUGGGAACUUAUCGUUGAAGUCACCGUUACUAGAGCGUAUUAAGGAGGCCCAGAAAACGGACCCUAUGAUUCAGAAGAAUUUGGAGAAAGUGCAAAAAGGGGAACCCCUAGACUUCAAAUUAGGGUCUGAAGGGGUAUUGAGGUUUCGAAAUCGAAUUGCGAUUCCAGCAGAUGAGGAGAUAAGAAAAGGAAUUUUAGAAGAAUCACAUCGGUCGAAGUAUACUAUACACCCAAACUCCGAGACAUCAAUCUCAGCUGAAGCAGUGGCAUUUCGCAAUUUGAGAAAAUUACAUUUUCAUAACUUUUACAAUUGGACACGUUGGGAAGACUUAAGUGAAGAUGAUGAAGAAGUUGCUCUCUCUAUCAUGCCACGUCUGGAGGAGUUAGAUUUUUGGGGCUGUGGAAAGCUUGAAAUUCUACCACAUCGCAUCCUCGGAAGGAUAUCAUCUCUCAAAAAAUUGGAUAUUGGGCGUUGCUCUAAGUUGAGAGAUCAUUACUCUGACAAAACAAGAGAUGACUGGAAACAAAUAUCACACAUUCCUCAAGUUCAUAUAUCCAAUUAGUAUUAAUCAGGUAUGGUUAUUCACACAUUUUUUUAUGUAUCUAUCAUCUUUGAAGUCAAAUAAUUGCUCCUUAUAGAACUACAACAAAGGAAGGCCUGCUAGAUACUUAUUCUAAUUACUACUUGUAGAAUAUGACCUGUGCUUAACAACGAAUCAAAUGUUAACAGAGCCAUAUGUAUAAUGAAAAUAUGAAAUAUUCAUUAAUAGUUUAGAAUGAUUUUUUUUUAAUUGAGAAGAUGCAAUUCAUUAACUAGUAAAUACAACACUAAAUUUCUAAUAAUAUCUAACUAUAAACUCUUUGAGUUUGGAAUUUCAUUUAUGUCUUGUCUUUUUGUUCUUUUUUUUUUUUUUGCUUUUGUCCUUUGUUUUUCAGAUAAUAUUCAUUGCUGGCUCAAAAUGAAGCUACAGCAAAAGGCAUUGACGGAUCAACCUCUACGUCAACUUUUCACUUGGAUUCAUGCAAAAUUUUGAAUAAUUGUAAAAAUAUGGUUGAAGCGACACAUCCACUUGCUUUGUUCAAAAUCAUUUGUUGAAAGCGUCUGUAACCUUGUCAAUUUCCAGAUUGAAUUUCAAGUGGGUACACAACCAGUCUUUAUUUCUUCAAAUUAUUAUUGUCCUAUUGUAUGUAAGUUUGUGUACAUUUAAUAAAGAAGAAUGUUUGUACAUUGUGCUUAUCUAUACAAUGUAUUAUUGACAACCUAUUAUUAGUGCACUUAUUUUAUAGUAUUAUUCUAAGAAUAACAUGAAUUCAAAUUUGAAAUUCAAAUAAUAUGCAUGUGGCAUACAUCCAAUAAUGUUAGUAAUAAAAAAAUCACUGCACUGUGACUGCAUAAAAGUUAAUCCUUAUUCUAAUGGUUAAAAGAUAACAAGUAGACAAAUUAUUCUUUAUCUUGUUUCCUUUCUUAAAAAAAUGUUUACAUAGAUAAUUGGAAUAACAAAAACUCAGACUACAAAAAUGCAUAUACGCUUAAAGGCACCAAAACUCAUGAUACUUUUAUAGUAGCAGUAGCAAUGGUAGUUCCAGUAGUAGUAAUGACAAUGAUUUGUUAAUAAUGCUUUCUUCUAAAAGUGAAUGGACUAAUUAGCUUUUUUUUAAAUUUUUUUUAAGAAGGGAAGGAAUGAAAUUUAAGAAGUGGGGAGGAGAUAAGGUGACUAAAACAAAAUAUCAUAAUAAAUCUUGACAAUUUCAUUCACAAGACAAAAGUUACUACCAACAGAAUUUUGAACUUGAAAGUUUGUAUGACAUAUCAUCAUAAAUCAAUUAUUUGCAUAGUUCACAUAUAUGAACCAGUUUAACAAACUAUCCAUAUUCCGAAAUUGAAUAUCAUCCUUUGUUCAUUUACUAUUAUAUAUGUUCAAUACUUAGUUGAAAAUAUGCCUUCCCCAUCCCUGCUUCCUAAUCAUACCCCUUCCUGAUAGAAACAAUUUUAAAAAAAUAAUUGAAAAAUUUAGACACGUAAUUAGUUAUCUUCAAGUUGAUUGAAGAUAAAUAGACUUUGACACAUCAGAGUUUAUUGUAUUUAUAUUCAACUCCAGUAGUUAGUUAUAUUUUGAUUCUUUCUAUAAAGGCUGUUAAAUCAUUUAAUCCAUAAAACUCACAUUUUAACCGUGAAAUUUGGCAGCACUAGCCUAAUGGCUUUCAUAAUUGAAAUCACUAUCUCUCAAGUACACAUUACCUGAUCAAAAAUUCCAUCUCUGGAGAAGCAAAAUUGGUACUUCCCGUUCAGCUUUCAGAAAAUCGAAAUAUGAAAGAAUUCCCAAAGAAACAACAGAACCUUGCCCAAUGCUACUAGAUUGCUACUUGUAAGGCCGGGUGCAACCCAAUGAGUACAAACAAUUUCACAAUGAUGCACAAAGAUAUAUCAAAUUUAAGCACAAUAAAGAAAACUUAAUUAAAGAGAAAAGAUAAGAAAUGCAAACCAAAUAUCAAUCCAAUAGCCUCUUCAAUAGAUGGCGAUGCUAACCAAGAUGUACAAGUGAAGGCUCACUCCUUCCUCACCCAAACACACUUUGGUUGAGCCAAGAAGUUUUACAACUAUUCUAGUUAACCCUCAACAACCUACACUUGAAAGAUCACUCACCCAAUUAAAAACUAUUUUAAACAAAUGAGGCAACCUUCACCAAGGUUUUACCACUUCAAGUGAUAGGUUCACCUUCACCAAGGUUUUACUCCACCUAGAGAGUAACCUUCACUUGAGCAACCUCACAAUCCAACUUUCCCAACCCCUUAUACAACCAACAAAGAAUCUUUCUACUCAAAAAUCUCACUUGUAAGCUUGUAUUUUGUGUUGGCAAAAGUCCUCUGUCUUCUUGUGUUUUGGGGUAUUUAUAGAAGGUGAGAAAUGGCUCCAAAAGGCUCUCCAACGGUCAAAUAUUAAAUGCUGUCGAAACUAGCCGUUGGCCUGUCGGACGUCCGACAGCUUAGUCAUCGUCCGAUCCCAUCGUCCAAACCACCUGUCGGACGUCCGAACCCUGCGUCCGAACGUCGUCCAGAGAGUUAUCAAAUUUUCGUGGAAUUUUUAGGACGUCCGACACGAUCGAUGUGCGUCCGAAGAGUGUGUCCGAUCCAUCCGGACGUCCGAUGCUUCCUCACGAGCGUCCGACAGAAUAUCCUUCCUGAUGUUCUUCAUCCUUUCGGACGUCCGAUAGCUUCCUUUCGGACGUCCCACAUGAGUGCCCUGUUUUUGCUUCUUCUUUUGUGCCACAAGAAUCUGUUCUAACAAAUUGCUCACAUAAAAAUAUUAGCCCAAAUCUACAUUUUGGUUUGUUAAUCAUCAAAACCAAGGACUGAUCAACCAAGGUCAACAAUCUCCCCCUUUUUGAUGAUGACAAACAAAAUGAAGAUUUCUUUGAUCAAAUAAGUUCAAAUAAAACUACCCCUUAGAAAAUGCCAACAUACAAAGAAACUUCAAUAAGUCCUACUCCCCUUUUGGCAUCAAUCAAAAAGCCAACUUCCCGUUUAUUUUUCAAGUCAAAACCAUAAUAGGGUCCUUGGGAGUUAUUACAACAUGAUCUAGCAAUCCACAUGGAUUUCAUACCUUUUCUCAUAUUUUUCUUUACAUAGCAAUCAUUUUGCAUAUGUCCAAAUUGGCAACAAAAGUGACACAUGAUAGAAGUAUUUUGCACAUAGGUGGAUUUAAUGCAACUAAUUUUCUUACUUCUUAUCAUAGCAAACUUAUUUGUGCCUUGAAAAGAUUUGCUUUCUUUUGUUUGAGAAAACUUUUGUUUUUCAUUUUGGAGAAACUCGUUCAAGACAUUAAUUCUUUUCUUUAACAAAUUUUGUUCCUCCAACAUUUUUUCAUAAAACUUUGUUUUCUCUUCCAACUUCCUUUUCAAAUUAUUUUUGCAAUCAAAAACACUUUUUUGAUUUUUUAAAUCAUCAUUUUUCAUUCUCAAACAUUUAUUUCUUGAAAAAGUUUGGAAUUUUCUUCCAACAAAUCAUUUAUUUUUGUUUUCAAAUCUUUAUUUUUAGCAUAAGAUUUUCUCAAACUUUUAUGCAUUUUAAUCAUAAGAAUUUUCACAUCAUCAUCUUCAUUAUCUUCAUCACAAGAAGAGUGAUAAGAACUUACCUCAUCUUCUCCAACGGCCAUUAGUGCCAUUUGGGCCAACUCUUCUUUUUCUCUUUUUGAAUUGCAUUCAUCCCAUGUAAUUUUGCAAUCUCCUCUUGAACAUCUCUUGUUGAAGAUCUUUUUGAAACUUUUGAUGUGAGGAGUUAUAUCAUUGUCCACUUCCAUGAUUUCAUUACCCAUGAAGGAUGGGUUAUCCCCCACUUGAGAUGCUUUAAAAGCUAUGCCUCUCUUAUACAUUCUUGCAUUUUCUUCCUCUUGCACUUUGAAUUUCAGCUUUAAUUCAUAAGAGGUUAGGGUAUCCACAAGAGAUUCAAUGGACAUAGAAUUUAAAUCCUUUGCCUCUUCUAUAGCAUUUAUUUUGUUUUCCCAUUCUUUUGGCAAGCAUUCAAAAUCUUUCUAUUUUUCUCACCCAAAGAAUAUUUUUUUCCAAGCAAUUUAAGAUCUUCAAUAAUGUCACAAAAUCUACUACACAUCUUAUCAACAUUUUCAAGAGGAUGCAUUUUGAAAAAUUCAUAUUGAGAAACAAGCAAAGAUUUCUUUUGUUCUUUAAUAUCUUGUUACCUUCAUGAAAUACACACAAUUUAUCCCAAAUAUCUUUAGCUGAUUUACAACCUUUAAUCCUACUAGAUUCAUUUACAUCUAAUGCAUUGUACAAUAUACACAUGGCCUUGGCAUUCAAAGAAAGGUAUCUCUUGUCUUUUUCAUUCAAUUCUUGUCUAGUCUUUAAUCUACUCAAAUUGGUGAUAGAGUCAACUAUUCUAGCUUCAUAAGGACCAUCUUCUACCACAUACCAUAAUUCAAUAUAAACGGAUUGUAAGAAAAUCAUCAUUCUUUGUUUCCACAUGCUAAAAUGAGAACCAUUAAACAUAGGUGGUCUAUCAAUAGAUUGCCCUUCUAAAAAGAAACUUUUAUGGUUGCCAUGAUCUUUACUCUAAGCGGUUAAGCUUGAUCAAAAGAGACCAAGCUCUGAUACCAAUUGUAAGGCCCGGUGCAACCCAAUGAGUACAAACAAUUCACAAUGAUGCACAAAGAUAUAUCAAAUUUAAGCACAAUAAAGAAAACUUAAUUAAAGAGAAAAGAUAAGAAAUGCAAACCAAAUAUCAAUCCAAUAGCCUCUUCAAUUGAUGGCGAUGCUAACCAAGAUGUACAAGUGAAGGCUCACUCCUUCCUCACCCCAAACACUUUGGUUGAGCCAAGGAGUUUUACAACUAUUCUAGUUAACCCUCAACAACCUACACUUGAAAGAUCACUCACCCAAUUAAGAACUAUUUUAUACAAAUGAGGCAACCUUCACCAAGGUUUUACCACUCAAGUGAUAGGUUCACCUUCACCAAGGUUUUACUCCCUAGAGAGUAACCUUCACUUGAGCAACCUCACAACCCAACUUUCCCAACCCCUUAUACAACCAACAAAGAAUCUUUCUACUCAAAAAUCUCACUUGUAAGCUUGUAUUUUGUGUUGGCAAAAGUCUCUGUCUUCUUGUGCUUUGGGGUUUUAUAGAAGGUGAGAAAUGGCUCCAAAAGGCUCUCCAACGGUCAAAUAUUAAAUGCUGUCAAAACUAGCCGUUGGCCUGUCGGACGUCCGACAGGUGUCAUCGUCCGACCAUCGUCCGAACCACCUGUCGGACGUCCGAACCCUGCGUCCGAACGUCGUCAGAGAGUCAUCAAAUCUUUGGAAAUUUUCGGACGUCCGAUGCGAUCGAUGUGCGUCCGAGGUGUGCGUCCGAUCCUUCCGGACGUCCGAUGCUUCCUCACGAGCGUCCGACAGAGUUUCCUUCUUGAUGUUCUUCAUCCUUUCGGACGUCCGAUAGCUUCCUUUCGGACGUCCGACAUGAGUGCCUGUUUUUGCUUCUUCUUUUGUGCCCAAGAAUCUGUUCUAACAAAUUGCUCACAUAAAAACAUUAGCCCAAAUCUACAUUUUGGUUUGUUAAUCAUCAAAACCAAGGACUGAUCAACUAAGGUCAACACUACUUAAGUUACCAGGUUUGACAAGAAACUGGCACUAAUUUCACCAACAAGUUUGUUUACAAAUAGACAAAAAGCCUACAAACAUCAAAUUGGAAACCAACGUAGUGCAUGAGAGUAUAGAAGAAACUGUUAUAUAAGGUUUACAAAAAUCCCAACAAAUAUUCCAUGUAACCCAAUGUAGCCCACGAUUGAAUGCAUGCAGGGAAUUACAACACAAAAUCUUUGGAAUAAGGAAUCCUAUUCUGCCUGCUGAGAAGGAUUCAGAAUAGAAGAAUUACAACAGUACAAAGCUCUAAUGUUGGUCGACAGCACCUGCUUCCUAAAAUUUCAGAUGGUGUUCAAACAAAGAAGCCAUUUCAAUCUGCAAUACAACUCAAACAAGGAAACAAAUUCAUCUUUGGUACCGGAUCAUGAAUAGACAUUAUUAGAGAGGAAAAUGCAGAUCAGGAACAUUAAUUUCUAAAAAUAUGGUACAACUCAUUAUUUUGUCAGACCCAGGAUACAAAAUGAACAUCAUGCCAUUAAAUAUGCUAUGACAGCAAAAACAGACUCUUCCCGCAAGAGUUUCUUACUCAUAAGAUGAUGACCUAAAGAAGGACAAUAUUACGAGCAACAAUCAAUCAGAAUUUGAUUUAGAAACCUACUGACAACUACAUGCACUGUCAUAAACUAGAUACAAGUCGGAACUAGAGAUAGAGUCCUACUGAGAAACUCUGGUUGGGAAACCACCAGCAUCACAGAGAGACCCACCAAUGGUCGUUAUGGAGUUCAACCCCUUAUUUGCCUUCUAACUCCCAUUUUUAACUCAAAAAAUAAUUUAUUUUGGAUGAUCGAUACCUCACUGCUUAAGUAAGAACGCCCUUUCCAAGCAUUCCUAUUGGCUGUAUAAUACUAAAUUAUAUUGAGAGAAGGCCAGUUACAAGGACAAAAUGCAGCAGAGAUGGAGAAAUUUGUCAAAUCACCCCUUUCCAAUGCAACCAAACCAAAAAGAAAAACAGAAAAGGUUCUUUAUUGAUGACAUUUGAUUUAAACGGAACACAAACCAGAUACUAUUCAAAAAGCAAACAAUUUGUCAGACAGCAAAUAAAUACUCCAUGGAGUAAAAUGACAAGAAAAUGAAGAGACAAGAAAGUAACUCAACAAAAUGAAAUUGACUUACAGCUGUCAGCGCUGCUUCAGCACCUUUAUUUCCGGACUUACCAGCAGCUCGAUUGAGAGCCUGCAUUUAUCAUAAUGUAACUUUAAGAAAUGGGGUACCAAUGGGAAAAAUUGUAGAAUACUGGUAAAGAUCAGGGCAACAAUUUCCGUCAGCAUAGAAAUUUGACCAAAAUUACCCACAGGAAGAUUAUCAUAUUCAGCAACAUGACAAUUAUAUGAUGAACUCUUUUAUGAUUUUCAAUGCAAUAACUCCCAUGAAAAAGAGUAUAGGAGAUCAGAAAGCUCAACCAUGAGUUUACAUUGAGUUGUAUUAAGCAAAAGAGAAAUUUCAUGAAUUUACCUGCUCCAUGUCAUCACAGGUCAAAAACCAAAUAUGCAUGGAACACCUGGAAUUCAUUCAAAGGAAAAUUAAAUAUUUCACCAUUAAGGCACUGUAAAUGUUUUGAGACUGCAUUCCACGGACAGAAUUGUCUGUAUCUGAAACACAAAAAUGAAGUUAUAAGUGUGCACACAACAACGCAAGUUGAUGAUUCCUAGGUUGCUUCUACGGUGGAAAGCUGAGUCGUCUUUGUAUAGUAGGCAGAACAAAAGGAAUGAGGACAGCACAUGAGCAUGGGCCGGCAAAGGACAGCGUCCGUGAAAUAGCUACCGAAACCGGGUGGAAGGAGUUGUAAACAUGGGACCCACUUUAGUAUAUGGACUGUAUUAUUGUGAAUAAACAUGCACCCAGACAAGUUGUGGGCAUGUUUUAUGACCCCCAAAACAAGUUGUGGGCGUCCCCCAUUUUGGAAUAUACGGGAGUAGAUCGUUGAUUAUAAAUUGGCGCGAAGAGAAGUAAAAAAUAGUGGAAGAGUAGAAAUAAUAGGAUCGAAUUUGUUUAAAAAAAAAGAACCGAAAUUAUAUAUAUAAACCAUACAUAUGAUCAUAAAUCAAGAUUAUUAAGCGGUAAAUGUUUAUUUAAAGAAAGAAUUAUGUUGAUUUAAACUAAAUUGUUAGUUGAUGCAAAUGAGUGAAUAUAUACAUAAUUGACCAAAAUUUUAGGUGAGUAAUCGUAAACAUAAUUAACAUUAUUUGAAAAAAUCAAAAUUUGUGGUUGUGGAUAAUUAAUCACAAUCAUAAUUAACAUAGUGAAUUUGAUUCACAAACAUAAUUAUAUAGUUGACAUAAUGACUUUUAAGCCAGUAUUGAAAAUCAAUCUGGAGUGUAAUUUACACUUUGCAAUAGCAGUUGUUCAAUUCCAAAUUAAUUAAGACUAUAACAAUUGUUGAUCUUAUUACAAACAAUAUUAAACUUAUAUUCGUUAAUUAUCAUCGAUUUUAAUCUCAACUUCUGAUUGAGUGACAACAUCUUAUCUUAACACAUGUAUUGAACAUAUCCAAUCUCUCUUUCGAUUUCAAGUUCACUAUGUCAAUUACAAUUUUUGCUCAUAUUGAAAAGAACAAUUUAUGUUCUCCCUCAAACAUAUAUUCAAGUCCUCUAUGUCAAUUAUGUUUAUAAUUAGGCACCAACAAAUUUAGUUUUGUUUUUAAAACAAAAUUUUCAAUUAUAUUUGUGAUUACUCAUCUGCAAUAUCAAUUCCGAUUUCAAAGCUAUGAAAUGAACUGUGAUUGUCAUAUAUCAUGUACAAUCAUAAUUAUAGGAGUACAAUGUCAAUUAUAAUUAGAGAGUUUUUGGUGUCCAAUUUAAUAUUGCUAAUUAUAGAAGCAUAAUGCUAAUUAUAAUUUCACUAGUGAGUAUAAAGGCAUCCGUCUGGUUCGGUGUUGAUUCGUUCAGCCCCCUCCAAAUUUCCCAUUGACUUCCUUGAAUCCACUUAGGGGUGACAAUUUCCGACAUGAUUUGAAAACACAAUACGAGUCUUAUACGAAAUUAAUAGGUUUAGGUUGAGGUUUCGCAGGUUUGGAUCAGAACCGGGUCGAACCCGAUGAACCCAAAAAGAAGUCGAAUACGAGUCAAUCCGUUGGUGACCCGAUAACCCGUUUACGAAUUAAAAAUUAUUUUAUCUAACUAAACUAAGUUAUUCUUUUUUUUUUCCAAAGGCAUUAAUCACUUAAUCUUAAAUGAAUUUAUUUAACUUGUGUGAAGUUAAAAUUAUUAUAUUUGGACAAAUAAUGUAUUAUAUUAUUUUUUACUUUUAUACUGUUUUAAUUUAUUUUAUAUUUGGUUUGUGAUAAUACACUUUUACGGUGUUUUAUUUAUUUUAGAUUUGGUUUGGGAUUAUUUAUUUAAAUUUUUAUUACUUGAUUACGUAAUUAGUUUUGUGCAAAAUUGGUUUUAUUAAAAAUUACAGUGAUAAAUUAAAAUUAAAAUUAAAUUUCGAGUAAUUUCGGUUCAACCCUCCAACCUGAAAUUUUUUGGGUUCGGGUCAAGUAUCCUGACUCUUUUCGGUUUAGGGGUCAAGUUCGGGUCAGCGAGUUUUCUUAAAAAGAAUACAUUGGAAUGUCCUUCUUUAACAAAUCCCAAAAAAAAAACAAAAAAAAGAGCCUACAGCCAAAAUUUUUCAUAUAUCCAAAAUCUGGGAGACUAAUGAGAAUUUAAAGACAGACAAGACUUCCACCCGGUUUCGGUAGCAAUUUCACGGACGCUAGUACACAGAUAGACAAGACUUGCUUAAACAAGCAGAACCCGAUGAUGUUGCAAAACAUGACGACCUGGAAAAAUACGAUUACGUCUACGGUGGAAAUUGGGCAUUAGAUGAUGAAUAAAUUUUUAAGAGGGCUUUUAUUAUAAUUUUAAAAUGUAUUGCAUUAUUUCAUCCAAGCACAACGCUUUCUCCAGUGUCCGGUACAUUAUUUCUUUGUGCGUCCCCACAGAGCACAGUUGGCCUCCUUGCAUUGCUUCUGCCUACUGUGGGCAGAAAGUGAACUUUCCACCGUAGACGUAACCUUGAGUAUAGGAGAUCAGAAAGCUCAACCAUGAGUUUACCUCCUUGCAUUUCUUUAUGAUUUUCAGUGCAAUAACUCCCAUGAAAAAGAGUAUAGGAGAUCAGAAAGCUCAACCAUGAGUUUACAUUGAGUUGUAUUAAGCAAAAGAGAAAUUUCAUGAAUUUACCUGCUCCAUGUCAUCACAGGUCAAAACACCAAAUAUGCAUGGAACACCUGGAAUUCAUUCAAAGGAAAAUUAAAUAUUUCACCAUUAAGGCACUGUAAAUGUUUUGAGACUGCAUUCCACGGACAGAAUUGUCUGUAUUUGAAACACAAAAAUGAAGUUCUAAGUGUGCACACAACAACGCAAGUUGAUGAUUCCUAAACGCCUCAAGUACCAGUUAUGAGGUAUGUAUCCGUAAGUUCCUACGCUAAACAUUUUUCUCAUCUUCUGACAUUUGAGAAUAUAAGAUCCUCUGCUUCCGUGUCUAUGAGCACAAAAUGGGAAAAAUAGGUACAACCACUAUGCAGUGCACUUAUUACAAAUAAGACAAUUUCAAAGUGGUUCCAAGUUGCAAUAAACCAUGAACAUCUUUCAACAACACAAGAUGAGUGCUUUUAACACAAAAACCAUCUGUCAACUAGGCAAAAAUUUCCAUCACUGCUACCACCUAUGGAUAUGUAGUAUUACACAGUUACCAAUUUUUUAUUCCUUUCUUAACAAAACUUGUUUAACUAAGCUACUGGAUAUCUAGCUAAUACAAUCAAAUCUACCAAGGCUCCUCUAAUGACGAUUUCCCCUAGGGCUGAAUUCAUGCUUUUAGUAUUUCAAGUUAGUAAGAAUUGUUUCUCCAGAUCAUAUAGUGGUUUAGAUAGAAGCCAUUCCCAGUAUAUGAAAACAUCAAGAUCAAGAAAACUUGCAUAUCAUUUCCAUUAUGAAGGGCAAUUUUAUUAUUACAGUUUGUAGUUCACAUUUAUUGCUUCAUUAGGUAUUGAAAUAAACCAUACCCUGGGCUAGUAAUCUAUAUGGAAAUGUAGGCAGGAGCCGGAUAAUUCUCUUUCUUGAAACCUGACCUCUUCCUCUCCCCUCCAAACUUCUCAACAAAUAUAAAGUAACAGCGAAGAAUAAAAGACAUCAUAUUUUACUUGCUUUACACAAACUCUAUUUUCAUAUACAUUAAAGAAAACAAAGUCACUUCUGAUAAUUAUAUAACUGAAUCAUCUCUCUUCUGCCCACAGGAAAUUAACCCUCAUGCUUGGUAUCCCAAAAAUCUGAGAGUCAAUAAGCGGAAAAAAAAACUAGGUAAAUCAGGAAAAUCUAUUAUAGAAAGUUUUUUUUCUUACACAGCAUAUGAGGAACAGAAAUCUCAUGCUGAGCAGUGUACUAUAAUAAUGCAAACAUAAAAAGUGAAUUAGCAAAUUUGAGAGAUAUAAUACAGAAAGUUACCGCCAACAGUGGAAAGACAUUCAAAUUUUGUGUUUGACUACAUUGACUAACCAGAUUUAAGGCCUGCAGACAGUACUCCGGAUGCAGCUGAAUUAGCCACAGCAUCAUAAUGGGAAGUAUCGCCUCUAAUGUACUGGCCAGAAGAGCAAGUAACAGGAAAAAAAAACACAUGAACAUUGAUUCAUGCACUAACAACUGGCAUGAAAUAAGGAACCAGUAGCUGGUAAUGAAGUUGAAUGGUACCAUAAUCCGGUAAUUAAAAUGAAUGAACUCAAGCCAUGAAACCUCAUACAAAUAACUGAGGAUCUAAACAACCUACAAGAUGUUUUAGCAGUCAUUACAUAUUUGUACUCUUUAAGAAAAAUAAGAAUCAUAGAAUCACUAUUUUAAAGCAGAAGCAUAAAGUUACAAAAGUUGAAGUAACAAUUUUUUCCCCAAAUAGAACAAUUAUCAUCCAGAUGCUCUCAUAUCCAGAUUCAGGUUUUCAAUUCUUCAACUGAGUAAGAAGAAACAUAACCACCAUUUCUCUCCUUUUAGAAACUAUAAGCAACCUCUUAUAGUCUAGCUUUGUCAAAUGUUACUAGAUGACUAGCCAUCAUCCAACAGCCAAGAUCAAAAAAAUAUAAGGACAGGGGAAGAAAAUAGGUCCACACAUGUAUGUGCGCAUGAGAGAGAGACAGAGAUAUAUAUAGAGAGAGAGAGAGAUAGAGAGAGAGACGGGAGGGAGGGAGGGAGGGAGGAUUUUGAGAGAGAGAGAGAGAGCAUGACCUUCUCAUUAUGUUUUAAGAGUCCAAUAUCCACUUGUAUCCAAUUUAGAAAGCAGUAAUCACACGAAAAGCCAAUGCGUCCUCUUUUCAUCAGCAAAAUCAAAAUUGUUUCUCUACUUCCAACUGAAAUUUACAUUUUCAAUUUUUGGAAUACAAGGUUCAAAUGUGGAAGAAGAAUUUGAUAAUGAUGGUUGAUUUUACCAAGUUUAAUGUGAAGUUAGAGCCAUCAUCACCAUUAAAAGGUAGGAAUUCUAUUACAAUUAGUAAAUACUAGAGAGCCCCCUACUAAAUAAUCUAGAAGUAUAUUAUCAACUCAAACAUAAAUCAGAGCCAUCAUCACCAUUCAUUGGAAGAGCCUUAAGUAUGUGAUUUUGUUUAUGGCAGUAAUGACCGGACUUUUCCCUAUUAUAUUUGGUGCCUUAGAAAAUCUAUCCCGCCCAUUCUACCCUUUAUUUUUUUUUCCGCGGGACAACCAAUACAAUCAAGAAAGGGAAGGAAACGAGUAUAACUUAAGGUAAUCCUGAAGCUCGCAAGAACAGUCAAAAUGCAGAUUAAGGGAAAACUUAGAAAUCUCAUUAGCAGCAAUAAGAAACCAGUCCUAAGCAGAUAUGAUUGAAACAAACAACCUGAAAUUAAGUAGCAUUUCUGCAAAAACUCUCCGUGCCCUUCUAUAAUGGAAGUUACAUUAUAUUUGCAAUUAGUUCAUAUCAAUUUACUACUAACAAAUGUUAAAGACCAUAUUAUAUCAACUAUUCCACAGAAAAAGCUUCAUUUUUAAGCAUUGCUAGAAGAUUCCUGAUCCGAACUACAGUGGCUUACAUAGCUUGAAGCACCGGAAUCAGACAGCUCCUUCGGCCUAUGGCCUCAAACAAUGGCUCAGGUCUUAAGCCAAAGACAUCUUAGGAACAAUAGAAAACUAUUGUGUCUUAGGUAUUCAACAACACUGAUCACAACAAUGUUUUAUCAAAGUUAAAUUUAUGCUUGUACAAUGAAAGGUGCAUCUUAGGAACAAUAGAAAACUAUUGUGUCUUAGGUGUUCAACAACUCUGAUCACAACAAUGUUUUAUCAAAGUUAAAUUUAUGCUUGCACAAUGAAAGGUGCAUCUUUGGCCUCAUUCUGGUUGUCAGCCAAAAAACAAAUGUUGGUUAUUUAACUUCCACGAACAUGUCCAGUAAACUGCUCCUAAAGCAAUUCUAAUUUUUAGUAUUUGAUCGAAAUUUCCCAAGAAACACUAUACAUGGCCAAACCAAUACUUGACCAAGAAGGUUUGCAGUUUACCAAGCAUCAAAACAUGGAAAACUUUCAUUAGAGAUGACUAACUUAGGUAGAUGUUUGUCCUCAGAUUCAUCUGGACCUGAGGUGUAAAGGCAGUUAUGUAGCUAACAGUGUUUCAAAAAGGCAAAGGCUGGCCGUUACUUUGAAACAGAACUGGAUAUUCUGAGGUAAAGGAGUUGUCAAAGAACCAGUUCUGGCAGUGAGUUUCAAAGUGAUUUCCAAAGGUUAAAUGGAGAAUAAUAAAAAAAGACAGAGCCGUUUCAAAGAGGUUUGACACAAAGAUGCAGGGAUGAACCUGAUUCAUAAGACUCUAGAAAUUACUAAUAAGACAAAAUGAUAUAACAUCUAAUUGCCAUCUUUAGGGGAAUUAAAAAAAAUUAUAACACCUGAAAGCCAUCUUUAGGGGUGUUAGGCAUGGUGUUUUAUCUCAGUUGGGGCAAGCUUAAAGCACCAAGCGUAAGGCGUUAGCCCCGCAAAUCUUGAAAUUUCAAUAUUAAUACAUAGAAACUAUGUAUAAUUUGUUAUAAAAAAAUAUUACUAAAUGCUUUAAAUUUAAAAAAUAUCACAGAGAAUUAUAACAGAUGGAUAAAUAAAACAUACACUACAACUUGAAUUACCUAAUAAAUAGGUGUCAAAAACACAAUCCCUCCAUCAAAUCAUUAUCUAUAGAUCAUCCAAAACUAAAAGGACAGCUGUCUAUCUUUCACUUUAUAAACUACUUAUUUUAAUUUUUUUCCACAAUUGGAAAAUACAUACAAGGUUGACCCAAAGCACAAGAAGACCAAAAUAUAAAGUUGAUAGAAACAUUAUCUUAAGCCUUAAAUCACACUACAUGGCAUGUAAACUAAUAAGUACAAUGUUUUUUGUAAUUAAAAAGAAAAAAAGUUCAUAUGUAAAUCAGAAAAGUAAAGGAGUCAAAAAAUGAUGGUCCGGUAAAAAUACCAUGGAUUAAGAGAUCGGACUGUGCAACAAAGAGAGACCAAGUGAAUUUUUAAGUUUAUAAUUGUAAACUGUCCCACAUUACGGAAGCAAAUAAUGCAUGUGAACCUAUGCACUAUGAACUACAAAUUUCUGACUGUGAAGUACUCCUAACAAAUAUGCAUUACAGCGCAUAUGCAUCAAACUUUGGGGCACAAAAGCCAUGGCUUAUCACCUAAGGCAUAUGCCUCAACUGUCUUGGCAAACACCCUUCAAUACCCAGGCCCCACCUGAUUGUCCCAAGGCAUUUUCAUUGCUGGGCGCAUUUUUAUAGCAUUGGCAGCUAAUUCUUUAUGCCAUUUUUUUUAUCUAUCACUUGUCAAGUUUUUUAUUAUUAUUAUUUUUUUCUGUAUUGUAGAACUCCUUAAUAGAUUGUAUGCCAUAGGCAAAGUAGUAGAAGACUACAGCGUCAUCCAUCAUGUGCACAUACUGUUUUUUAGUAUGUGCCUCCCUAUGCACAAGACUGGAAACUUUUAAUUCUUUAUCUACAGUAGAUGGAUUCACUGAAGAGUUUUUGGUAUUUUGAAUUGCAUCUCUCUCAACAUAUAUUUAUAGGUUCAGCUAAAAAUCAAGAUAGUACCCCAUAAAUGGUCCAAUAGAUCAGUCCAACAUUAAGCAAUGAUUCAUCCCCCAAACAGAAAGAUAGGAAAACAUAGCAUAAACUCUUGCAAAUGUGUGCAUUUGUGGUAGUUUUAAUCUUCAACGCUGAAGACAACACUUUCCAGUCUAACUGCAUAACAAGUUUCAAAUUUUAUGAACAACUCAGGAAAACUAAUAUCCAUAAGGAUUCCAGCCUUCACAUCAAGUGAAGACGAGUAAAGUCUAAAUGAGUAUAAUAAUGUUUUACUGGCAGUGAUAGUUCCGUGCAUCAUAUGGAACACUUGACUGGUUCGCAGCUAUGAGCAGGUUGAUUUAAACAUCAAGGAUGUCCUCACAGGAAUAACUAAUAAUGUAACAGUUGAUCUAUGAUAUCGGUGUAACCAUUUUAGGGGCCGUUAAAGCUGAGAACACUGGAUUCUAGCCAAUGUCAGUUACAAUUAAGCUACAAAUACAAGAGUGAAACAGUAGCAAUCAUACUUUGUUUUGCGAAAGAGAAUACCAUUUAAUAGCCUGAUGCAACUUAUAAGCAAACCAAAGAAUGCUAAAAAAAAUUCUCCAUAACUAAUGCUUCAAUUGAAUGGGAAAAGAGUAUAAGUGGAACAUAAACAACUAAAUGAGGGAAUCAAAUCUACUGACCAAGCAUUAUCAAACAGGAAAUAGCUGAUGAGUGCUUACCAUAGCUCCAAUACAUAAGAUGGCUUGGUACUUUCUUGACUUCCAAAGUUUCUCUGCGACCAGACCAAUUCAAAACUACCGGAACCCACACAACCUGAUGCAAAAUGAUCAUAAGGAUUCAUAUGUAACCCAUUAAGAGCAGUUAAAAGGGCAUAUUUGAGUGAUGUACAUAAUACAUUUGGCCAAUUCAUUUUCUUGCAUUAUUAACAAACCCCAAUUGUAAACUGUGUUACUUCCUGAAAACUAAGAAAAAUGGAGAGAAAAUACUUUUCUUCAUCUUAUUUGGACUACACAAUAUACAUAUAUAUAUACACAAGUGUAACCUAAUUUAGAUCCUAAAAUCGUGCUAAUCUAAAUCAAUCUACUACCUAAUUAAUACAUGAUACUAUAAUCAUAUGAUACCUAAUUAAUACAUGAUACUAUAAUCAUAUCUUUCCUAAUAUUAGAUCACAUAUCUUCAACACUCCCCCUCAAGUGGAGCAUAGAUGUUGUUCAUGCCCAGCUUGUUACAAAGGUAAUCAACUCGAACCCCAUGUAGAGCCUUCGUAAAGAGAUCUCCCAAUUGUUCUUCAGUCCUUACAAAUCCUGUAGAAAUCAAGCCCUGCUGUUUUUCUCACGAACAAAAUGACAAUCUAUUUCGAUGUGUUUUGUUCGCUCAUGAAAUACGGGAUUGGAUGCAAUAUGAAAGCCGCUUGGUUAUCACACCACAAUUUUGCAGGCAUUGUGGUUUUGAGACCUACUUCAGUUAGAAGUUGAUUUAUCCACAUGAUUUCACAUGUCGAUUGUGCCAUAGAUCUAUAUUCUGACUCUGCACUCGAUCGCGAGACAACAUUCUGCUUCUUACUCUUCCAUGAGACCAGAUUUCCUCCAACAAAGACACAAAAUCCAGUUGUGAAUCUUCGAUCUGCCUUGGAUCCUGCCCAAUCAGCAUCUAAGAAACACUCAAUCCUAGUAUGACCAUGAUUUUUAUACAAAAUACCACGUCCAGGAGCUCCUUUUAAAUAACACAAAAUUUGUUCUACAGCUGCCCAAUGAUUAACAGUAGGAUUAGACAUAUAUUGACUAACAACACUAACUGAAUACGCGAUAUCUGGACGAGUCACUGUAAGAUAAUUCAAACUUCCAACCAAUCUUCUAUACCUCCCAGGAUCUUCUAACAAUUCACCUUCUUUUGUGAGCUGCAAGUUAGGGAUCAUUGGGUACUAGCUGGUUUAACCUCCAAUUUUCCCGUUUCAGAUAGUAAUCAAGAACAUAUUUUCUUUGGGACAGGAAUAUCCCCUUCCUACUCUUUGCUACCUCAAUACCCAAAAAAUACUUUAACAGUCCCAAAUCCUUUGUCUGAAAUUGACUAUGGAGAAAAGUUUUAAGAGAUGAAAUACCUGCAGUAUCAUUCCCAGUGAUAACAAUAUCAUCCACAUAUACUACCAACAAAAUAAUACCAGCUUCUGACUGUUUGUAGAAAACAGAGUGAACAGAUUUGCUUUUCUGCAUCCCAAACCUUUCAACUGCUAGACUAAAUUUUCCAAACCAAGCACGAGGACUUUGUUUCAGUCCAUACAAGGACUUCCGAAGAUGACAAACCUUCCCAGACUCCCCUGAGCAACAAACCCUGGUGGUUGCUCCAUAUAAACUUCCUCUUGGAGGUCUCCAUGAAGAAAGGCAUUCUUGAUAUCUAGUUGAUGCAAAGGCCAAUUAUGAGUGGCUGCCAUAGAAAUGAAUAACCUGACAGAUGUUAACUUAGCAACAGGGAAAAAGUGUCAGAAUAAUCCUCUCCAUAGAUUUGAGCAUAGCCUUGGCAACAAGGCGAGCUUUUAAUCGAGCAACCGAUCCAUCAGAUUGAAUUUAACUGCAAAAAUCCACUUACUCCCAAUGGUCUUCUUCCCUGCAGGUAAAUUUACUAAGUUCCAAGUAUCAUUACCAUCUAGAGCAUUCAUCUCCUCUAUCAUAGCAUUGCGCCAUCCGGGAUGGGAUAGGGCUUCAUGAACAGUUUUAGGAAGGGAGAUAGAAUCAAUAGAUGUAAUAAAGGAACAAAAAGAUGGGUAGAUGAUUAUAAGAUACACACGAAGACACAGGAUAAGUGCAUUGACGCUUACCUUUGCAAAGAGCAAUAGGAAGAUCAUCACUUGAGACAGGAUCUAGUAACGAAGGAACUGAUUCAGGGCAUGCAGCAGGAGACUUUUGUCGUCGAGAAUAUACCUGAGUAAUUGGAGGUUUAGCAGGGGAAGAUCUUGAAGAUGUGACAGUAUAGAUUAACAAAUCAUCAUCCUCCUCCUGACAUGAAUGAGAUGAGGAUGGGGUAAAAGGUAUUUUUAAUAAAAGUAACAUCAACUGACACAAUGUACCUGCCAAGACUAGGACAAUAACAUCUAUAUCUUUUUUGGACACGGGAAUAACCAAGAAAAAUACAUUUCAAUGAUUUGGGGUCUAAUUUAGUGACUUGGGGACGAGAGUCGCGGAAAAACAUGUACCCAAAGAUUUUAGGUUCGAUGGGAAACAAAGGCUAUUUGGAAAAAGAGUAUUAUAAGGAGUCCCGUCAAUCAAAACAGAUGAAGGCAGACGAUUAAUUAGAAAGCAAGCUGUGGACACUGCAUAGCCUAAAAAUGUUUAGGAACAUGCAUUUGAAAUGAUAAGGCUCUUGUAGUUUCGAGCAAAUGUCUAUUCUUUCGUUCUGUGACCCCGUUUUGGGAUGGUGUAUCCACACAAGAGGUUUGAUGAAUAAUGCCAUUUUGCACCAUAUAAGAUUGAAAAGGUGCGAAUAAAUAUUCUUUGGCAUUGUCACUUCGUAAUAUUUGUACAGAAUGCUUAAAUUGAGUCUUAACCUCAGCACAAAAAGCACAAAAAUGAGAAAACAACUCUGACCGAUUUUUCAUUAAAUAUAACCAAGUCAUACGAGAAUGGUCAUCAACAAAAGUAACAAAAUACUUGAAUCCAGUUUUAGAAAUGACUGGACUAGGUCCCCAGACAUCUGAAUGAACUAAUGCAAAAGGAGCAUCCGCUCGUUUAUUGACUCUAGGACUCAGAUUAACACGAUGAUGUUUGCAAACUGACAAGACUCACAAUCUAAUAGAGACAAACUCUGAAAUUGUGGACAAAGUAUCUUUAACAACGGGAGAGAAGGAUGACCCAGCCUACAAUGUGUUUCAAAUGGAGUUACAAUUCCAGAACAAGCUAUGGACUUUGGUAUCUGUGUGUCAAGAAUGUAAAAACCUCCAGAUUCAUGCCCUUUACCAAUAAUCUGCUUCGUCGUAAGAUUCUGAAACAAGCAAUAGUCAGGAAAGAAUUGAGCAGAACAAUUGAGGGCACGGGUAAUUUUACUCACAGAAAUUAGAUUAAAGGACAACUUAGGCAAACGUAAGACAGAUGACAAUGAGAUUAAUGGAGUGGGGUUAACUGAGCCUGAUUCAAGAACACGAGAUUUUGACCCAUCAGCUAAGGUAACUGUAGGUGCAAUGUGUGUGGCUGAAAGGUGGAAAAUAGACUAUAAUUACCUGUCAUAUGAUCUGUGGCACCAAAAUCAAUUACCCAUUUGGAGGACGAGAACACAAGGCAUGUGUUUGGUUUACCUGACUCAGCGAUGGCAGUUACGGGAGUAGAUGAAGACUUUAAUGAUUCUUGAUACUGAGAAAAUUUAGCAAAUUCGUCUGCAGAGAUCGUAACAACUUUUCAUGGUUAAUAGCAUCAUUGGUAGAAGCAAUAUGUGCGGAUUGAGUUCUCUGGUUCCUGUACUGCAAUUUCUUACAAUCACGCUUCAUAUGGCCCGGCUUUUGACAAUAGUAACACACAACCACUUCUGCAUUCUGUCCCGAUGUCAAUUCCUUUACCACCACCUUUGUAUUGCUGUUUUCCAAGACCAACAAGAGCACUGCUGGACUGAACAGACUGGGUAUUCUCUGUGCGAAACACCCUACUAAACACAUCUUGUAAGGAUGAGAUCUCAGGACUGAAAAGAAUCUGAGAUUUAGCAGUUUCAAAUUCAGGUGAAAGACCAGCCAAAAAACUCAUAAUGGCCAUCUGUUCCCGUUGAGUUUGUUGAACUUUCACAUCAGAACUAAACGGUAACAACAGAUUAAGCUCCUCAUAAGUUUUCUUAAAAUCCAUAAAAUAAGUCAUGAUGGACUUAUCUUGUUUCUCUGCACGAUAAAAGGCUUGACACACCUCAUAUAUGCGAGAAAUAUUCCCUUUACCAGAAUACAAAAAUUCUAAAUACUCCAUUAACUCCUUAACAAAUUCACAGUGAUUAAUUAAACUAAUUACCUCACUGUCAAUAGAAUUCCGUAUUUGCAGGAACAAUCUAGCAUCUUCCCCUAGCCAUGUCUGUCUUGAACCAUCUUUUGGAGGAUCAUCAAUCAGAUGAUUGUCUUUAUCAAUGCUUCGCAGAUAAAGACGAACCGUUUUGCUCCAAUCAAGAUAUUAGAAUUGUUGAGUUUGUGGUCCGUGAUCUUAGACAUCACAGGAACCACAUCAAACGUAACGACAGAUUUCGUUUCUGCCAUGGGUUCAGAAUUAACAGAAUAAAAAAAAAAGGACAGAUCUGAACUCUUUAAAACAAGAGUGAACAAUAGAACAGAGAUGUGUCCUAUACAGAACCAGAUGAACCGAAAGAUGACUACUGAAUUUUCUGGCAGCGGACAGAGACCCUAACCUUGAUGGUAGGGCUCUGAUACCAUGAAAACUAAGAAAAAUGGAGAGAAAAUACUUUUCUUCAUCUUAUUUGGACUACACAAUAUACAUAUAUAUAUACACAAGUGUAACCUAAUUUAGAUCCUAAAAUCGUGCUAAUCUAAAUCAAUCUACUAUCUAAUUAAUACAUGAUAUUAUAAUCAUAUGAUACCUAAUUAAUACAUGCUACUAUAAUCAUAUCUUUCCUAAUAUUAGAUCACAUAUCUUCAACACUUCCAAUACAUAAACCAUUUCUUAACUUCGUUAAAAGCUCCCCCAAGAUAACAUGUAUAAUGUGGUUUGAUACCAUAUUGAACCCAAAUGUCAUUUAAUCAUCUUGAAAAAAUGAAUCAGUAAGCAAACCAUAUCCCAUAAAGCUACCAAGAAAAAUGUGCUAGUACUUCUAGUAAUAGGGAAAAUAAAAUUGUGUUGAAAAAAAUACAAGUUGAUACAUUUGCAAGAAAAAAACCAACAUAAUAAGGCAUCAUAGUUUACGACCAAAAUUCUAGGUUAAAUAUUAUAAUGUAAAACAAGAAUGAUUAGAGUUACGAAAUGACAAGGCAACUGGCUUGACAGCAAAUUUCAUAAAGAAAAAAAUACCAAGAUAGGCACCAAAUGAGUAUGUAGAUUAUAACAUUUAAGUGAUACAUGAAAAGUCCAAUCAAGGGAAGCAAGAUCCAAAAUGUAGAAGUCAAACUGUUUAAUGAAGUCACAACUAACAAGGGUGCAAGAAAAAAGGCAAGAAAACAAAUACUAGCUCAAAAUCACUUACAUCGAUAUCUUCUUCUUUGACCGAGUACUUUUUGAAAGUGUCCAAAGCUCCCUCCAACAGUGGCUUUGUGACAAUUUCAAUGAAGCGAGCCACCACCUUUACACACAAAAGAAUACAAUCUCCAAAAUAAAAAAAUAAUCAAAAAACGCUUUACAACUCAAAAGAAAAACCACAUGGAAGUCAAAACAAUGCCUUAGGUCAUUUCUCUUUGACAAAGUCUAGUUGGAUACUAUACAACAAGAAUCAUCUAUAUUUUACAAGCCUGCAUUCUACUAAAUCUAUUGCAUCUUAUAUAGAACACCUAGUUUACAAAGUGACAACAUUAAUCAACAACUCCUUCAACUCCCAAUAUUAGAUUUGCAAAUAAUCAGCCGAAAACCCUAAUUGAAGUAAGACAAAAAACCAACUUAAUGAAAUAACGCUACUUCUAAGAAAAUACCCAUCAGAACAAAUAAAAUAGCUAAAAUUAAAAAGAAAUCUAUAAAAUAACUGAAAAAACAGAAUUCACACAAGAUAUUUCAGUCACUCAUAAGCUAUAUAUCUCUUGUCAUUAUUUUUCUACCUCUUUUGUACUCAAAUAACUUUCAUUUUCCAGAAAAUCCUUCCUCUGAGCAUUUUAUUCACAUUGUUGAAAGCCAGUUAAGAACUUUUUUCCAAAAAAAAUGCUUCCAAAGUUGGCCCAGGAAAGGAAAGCACAUUUCCUUACAACAAAAAAAAGUUCACAUAAAUCGUUCAAUUUGACGAAUGUGGAGCUCAUCUGUCAAAACCCGGCAAAAAUGAGACCUUUCUUUUCCUUAUUGAAUUCAUGGCCGAAAAAAAAAACCGAUACUGUAAUAUUAAUUGCCAAGCCAACAAUUGGACAGAGGAAUUUAAUUGACAUACUAAAACAUCUGAAACAAGAUUGGAAUAUAAAAUAAAAAAUGUAUAGAUGAGGGAAAAGGAAAAUUGUAAUGACGCAGACAAUGCCAAAACAGAGACCCUCAGCAAUUGUGAGUGAGCCAGUCAACUGUCGAACAGCUGCAAGACUUCCAGCAGGCCCUUCUCGUCCUCCUUCCUCUUCCACAAAAUCCCAAAUCUAGAUUCUGUAAAUUAAGUCCAAAACAUAAGUAUUGCAUCCUACUUAAUCGGGAAAAAAAAAAGAAAAAAGAAAGCUAAAUCAAAUCAAGUCGACCUUUUGGUGGUUGAAGAUGGAGAGACAAUGAUGUAGAUGAUGAUUGCUGGUGUCUGAGCGGAACAGAGAUGAUGGGCUGAUGAUUAUGCUUGAAAAGCCAUGGGGACGAUGAUGAACUAAGCGGUUAUUAGCAAUUGAAGAAGAACAAGAAGAAGCAGCAGCCACCAUUUUCGUUUUGAUUUUGAUCCUUUUUUGGCACUUCUUUUAUGUUGGAGAGUGUUCUUCUCGGCUCACUAACGUAUCCUUAGAACCCAACUACAAGUAGUAGCUAAUUUCAUGGUUUGAUUUUGGGAUUUAUCCUAAUAUCAACUAGCAUCCUAAAAGUUUUGAAAAUCUCACUUACAUCCCCUAUUAGUAUUAUAUGACUAGAAGUCCUAAUUAAAGGCGUUGAAAUGACAUUAAUGUUACCCUUUCAUUUCAAGUAGCAAAAGACUGGAGAAAGGUCAAAAAAUUCCUACAUUCUAAAAUAUCUACAAACCAAAUAACAAGAAUGCCAUUGAAAAUAUUUUUAUCCUUCUUUGUUGCAAAAAUCUUUACUUUUAAUUUUUGUCUAUGCUACAAACGAUCUUCUACAAUUUCCUCCCUACUGCAACCAAUCUCAUGAAAUUUUAGUCAUUUUUUUUAUAAUAUUAAAGUAGCUUAAAAUGCUACCCUUGCACACAAAGGUGUUCUCUGACUAUGAAUGAUAAAAUUUAUUACUUAUUACACUUAUACCUUCUCAUAUUCUGAGUUUAGUGUUCCACCUUAUUUGUCUUUUUCUUUAUAUUUCAAAAUUCAUAAAUCAAAUUGCACAAGGAUAAAAGUAGAAAGAUAAUAUAAUCUCUCUCCUCCAAUGCUUUUUUAAUAUUACUUUUACACAUAAGGGGUGACAAUGUUACCCAAAUUGUUAUUUUGAGAAAACUAUGUGAGAUUUCUAAAACGUUAGGGGUGCUGGAGGAUAUUAUUAGGAUAAAUCUUAGGGAAAGUUUUUGAAAUUAACCCUUUUACAAAUAUAUAAUCAUUUUGGAGAAGCUUCCAAUCCAAUCAAAAAUGCGUCUCACACUUUGCUCGAAGCAAAAUAGUUAAAUAAAAUAAAAUAAUUAGUGAAGAAGAGCCUCUAAUUGACCAACCAACUACUCCUAGAUUAGUUUGCCACCAAGGAGAGAGUUAAAACUCUACUUCGGUGUAGACCUACAAUUUUAUUUAGGAUUUUCUGAAAAUUUUACCAGCAGGUACAUAGGUACCUGUCUAAUCCGGUGGCUGUUCAGUCUUCUCCAGAUCCCCCUUUGCGCCCUUGGAUCCACCCUUUAUUCUUGUGUAGAGUAGGAGUAGGUGUAGAAUAGAAAUUAUGAUAUCUAAAAAAAAACCAAUCAAUUUAUCUGAUUGACGUAAUGAUGGAAUGGCUAUUCAGUUCGAGUUAACUAAAAUAACCAGACAGUAAUUCACUAGGCCAAAAAAAGUCUGGUUGGGCAAUAACUCAAAAAAAUUAAUCUUCUUGUGCUAUUUUGUGUACUUUUUUGUCAUUCUUUCUACUUUUAAUAUUAUUUAAUCAUUGUUUAUUAAUAUAUGUAGUGUACUUUUUUGUCAUUCUUUCUACUUUUAAUAUUAUUUAAUCAUUGUUUAUUAAUAUAUGUAUGGCAUCAUCUGAUUUAAACACUAUUAGUUAAACUUAAAACUUUUAAAAUAUAAAGGAAUAUAUGUAUGGCAUCAUCUGAUUUAACUUUUAAAAUAUAGAGGAAUAAUUCAUUGUUGAUGUACCAAGUGGAAUUAGGGAUCCUACCAAGAAAAAUAACAAGGAAAAUUCCAUCUUCCCUGUCUGGUUUGGAAAAAAUUACUAGAAUGCCCUAACUUGUAAAAUUAAUUAAAAAGAAUCAAUUAUAAACUUACAAAAAAAAUUUAAAACUCUUACUAAGCAAUAAUUGUGACCUGACAUCCAUAGACUUUACUAUCCCCACCCCAAUAUAUAUUGGCGUCCACAAAGUGUAGGCAGACAGGAUUUGCGACUUUACCGUAUAAUUUAAAAGCAAAAAAAAAAGCCAAAUAUAGUUUUUAAAAAAAUGUAUUCUGGAAAAAACUAAAUACAAUUUUAAAAUUUAGAAAAUUAGAUAAGAAAAACAAAAAUCAAACAGUGACGUUGACCAUAACUUAUGAUUUCGUUGGGAGUUGAAACUUUGAGUCCAAAAGUUGUUCCCCUUCUUGUUCACUUUGUAAUGCAAGGACCUUUAGGAGAUUGAUUAAAUAUAUUCAGACCAUAUUGAGGUGAUGUUGGAAGUUGUUCAGAAGUCAGCUUCACAGUUGGUGUCUGAAUUUUUUAUGCAGAGGUUUAUGGAUUGAAUGUAUUGGAAUGAAUAGAAACUGGACCUUGGUAAGUCAUGUCCAUUGAAAUGCCAUUUCUUCCACUUGAGUUCUUUAUGUGCCUUUGAUGCUCAGAGUGCAGCAGAUUAGGCAAUUUGAUUUAUUGCAACUUUUAAUUUCCAUUUUUAUGGUCAAUUAUCAGGUCAAUGCAAUGUUUAUAACUCCGGUUCCAUCUAUUUAAUCAGUUGAAGGCUUUUGUCUGGUGUCUAACAAUCUGAAGUUCUAGAAUCCUCCUACCACCAAUGUAUCAUUGAUGGUUUGUUAAAUAGACUCUCUAUUGCCUGUGAGGCUGAUUUAAGUUGAGUGAAUGUCUUAUUAUCUUCAAUUUAUAGGGCAUGUGUAAUUGAGGCUUGGUAGGUGUCGUGAGAUCGUUAUCUGAUUCAUUGCUGGAACAAUAUGAAGAGGAAAUUGACACGUUCUAUUGGCCUCUUGAGAAAAGAAAUAAGAAAAUUCCUUACUCUGCAUCUGAUUAUUGUCCAUGUAAGAGAAUAUUGAAAUAAUCAUGAUAGAAAUUGAAUUAAGCUUCAGUUUGAAUAGAAACUUUUAAAUAAAUGGUCACCUUUAAUUGUUUUGGGCUUUUUUUUUAUUGGGGGGGAUCAAAUUUGGCAUUGGAGAUCAUGUUUGCAACUACUAUAAUAAAUUAUAUAUCCAAGAAUCUCCUAUACACAAAACUGUUUGUGGAAAUAGAUUGGAACUUGAUACUGAUUUAGUUAAUUUGGCAUUGCUGUUUUUCCUGUUUUCAACUGUACCAUCUGGACAGCAUGGAUUUUUGGUGGAUGAAGACAAGACCUCUGUUUAUCUCAUCCUUUUCUAAUUAGUAUCUUUAUGCAGAAGUGUUGCGGUUAUAAAAUCAGAUAAGGACACUAGAUAUGCAUUGGAUUCAAUUGUUACUCAUGAUGGCGAAAAACUGCCAUGCUGGCCAUUGGCAAAUCUUUCAUCAUUCAGACAAAAGCUUGGUAGUGAGGCAUAUGAUAAGGUAUUCCCUGUUAAAAUUGACCUUGUACUUGAGAAGUAUUGCUGCAUCUUGGUCUGGUUUCAACUGCCUGGGCAUGCAUAUGAUAUUUGGUUCGCCAUAUACUAUUUUGCUAGAAUGCUAGAUGGCGACAUUUUGUUUGGGUCAACCAAGAUGGAAACUAUACAUUUUACGAGGAACAUAGAACUCUUCAUAAUUUUGUAUCGGACCAUUAUGACAAUCUUAUUUUGCAGUGCACCAGUAUCCUUAGUAGUUGCUAUUACCAUGAUUACAGCUAGAAGUUAUUGGUAUAGAUGAGGCACAAUUUUUUGAAGCCCUUUAUGAUUUCUGUCGUGAAGCUGCUGACCACGAUGGAAAGACUCUGAUUGUUGCUAGAUUGGAUGGUGACUAUCUAAGGUAUUUGACAAUAGGUAUCUUGGGAGGAAAACAUCUAGUCACAGUCUUAUGAGUGACCAACUAGUAUUUAUAGGAGUACAAACCUAAUCAACUAUUUACAAGAAUACCCUUACUAAUAUUAUCUACAAGAAUACUAAUAUUCUCUUAACACUCCCCCUCAAGUUGGAGCAUAUAUAUCAUAAGCACCCAACUUGUUAUAAAUGUAUUUCACCCUAGAGCCCCCUAAACUCUUGGUAAACAAAUCAGCCAAUUGAUCUACAGACGGUACAUGAGAUGUUUUGAUGACUCCGUCAAGCAAUUUCUCUCGAAUAAAGUGACAAUCAAUUUCAAUAUGUUUUGUCCUUUCAUGAAACACUGGAUUAGACGCAACAUGGACAGUUGCCUGAUUAUCACACAUUAAAUUCAUAGGAUGUUUAUGCUCAAAUCCAAUUUCAAGUAACAUGCUUUUCAACCAAACCAACUCACACACAGUGUGAGCCAUAGCGCGGUAUUCAGAUUCUGCACUUGAUCUGGAGACAACUGUUUGCUUCUUACUCUUCCACGACACUAAAUUACCACCAAUAAACACACAAUAUCCUGUGAUCGAUCUUCGAUCUGAGGCAGAACCAGCCCAAUCUGCAUCACUAUAUCCUUCAAUAUCAGUGUGUCCAUGAUUUUGAUACAGCAACCCUUUUCCAAGAGUACUCUUAAGAUACCUGAGAAUCCGUAUAACAACAUCCCAAUGACUAGUACGAGUAGUAUCAAGAAAUUGACUCACAACACUCACUGCAAACGAAAUGUCAGGUCUCGUUACAGUGAGAUAAUUUAAUUUACCCAUAAGUCUUCGAUAUUGCUUAGAAUCAUCAAGUAAUGCACCUUGAUCUCUUGUUAAUUUCACAUUGGGAUUCAUAGGAGUAUCCACAGGUCGACAACCUAACAUCCCAACUUCACUCAACAUAUCAAAUACAUAUUUCCUUUAACAUAAAUAAAUCCCAUAUUUAGACCGAGCUACCUCAAUACCCAGAAAAUACUGUAGAUGACCUAAAUCUUUUGUCUGAAUGUUUGCCUGCAGAUUGGAUUUAAGUUUCUGGAUCCCCACAAUAUCAUCACCUGUAAUUACAAUAUCAUCCACAUAAACAACUAAUAAAAUUUUACCAACAUUAGAAUGCCGAUAAAAUACAGAGUGAUCUACUCCACAUCUUGUCAGACCGAACUCUAUGACAACACUACUAAACCGGCCAAACCAAACCCUCGGAGACUGUUUCAAUCCAUAUAAGAAUUUUUUCAAACGACAAAUCAACCGCGAAUUCUCCCCCUGAACAACAAAUCCAAGAGGUUGUUCCAUAUAUACCUCUUCUUCCAAAUUUCCAUGUAGAAAUGCAUUUUUCACAUCCAACUGAUGCAAUGGCCAAUUAUAAAUUGCUGGCAAAGAGAUAAGGAGAUGAACAGAGGUAAUCUUUACAACAGGAGAAAAAGUUUCGAAGUAGUCGAUUCCAUACACCUGAGCAAAUCCUUUAGCUACCAGACGAGCCUUCAAUCUAUCAAUAGAACAAUUAGGUUGUACUUUUAUAGUGUACAUCCACUUACAACCAACAAUCGGCUUACCAGAGGGAAGAGGAACAGGAUCCCAAGUACCAUUUUUCUCCAAAGCAAGCAUCUCUUCUUGCAUAACUAACCUCCAAUCAGGAUCAUUGAGAGCAUGGGUAAUAGUUUUAGGAAUGGAUACCGAAUCAAAGGAAGCAACAAAAGAAAAAUAUGACAGAGAGAGAUGAGAAUAAGAGACAAAGUUAGAAAUAGGAUGAGAAGUACAAUGUCUCUUACCUUUACGUAGAGCAAUAGGAAGAUCUGACUCACAGGAGGGCGUCAUACCUGGAUCUGAAGAUUGAGAGUUAAUUGGUGAAGUACGUAGCAUAUCAGGAGCUUUCUCAACCAUGGAACGACGAGAAUAAACUUGAAGAUUAUGACGAGAUAAUCGAGUUGUAGAAUCUGGUGAACUAGAUAAGUCAGGUAAUAAAGAUGAAGGGACUGGUAAAAUAGGAGAAGGAAAAGAGAAACACUGGUCUAACUCACAAACAUACCUUGCUUCAUAAAAUAAGGAGUGGAUUCAAAGAAAGUAACAUCAGCACAAGUGAAAAAAUGAUUUAAAACUGGACUGUAACAUCAAUAUCCCUUUUGCGCUGGUGCGUAUCCCAAAAAAAUACACUUAAUGGCACGAGGAUCUAAUUUAUCCACCCCGAAAGCAAGUUGAUGAACAAAACACACACACCCAAAAAUACGAGGAGGUAGUUUAAAUAUAGGAUCAUGAGAAAAAAAAAAUGGAGUGAGGUAAUUGGCCUCCAAGAAUAUUGAAUGGCAUGCGAUUAAUUAAAUAACAUGCAGUUAAAACUGCAUCACUCUAAAAUUGUUUGGGCACAUUCAUGUGCAACAAAAAUGUCCGAGCAACUUCAAUUAAAUGUUCAAUUUUUCUUUCAGCAACUCUAUUCUGUUGUAGAGUGUAAGGACAAGAGAACUGAUGAAAAAUACCGGAUUUAGUCAUAAAGAUAUCAAAAGGAGUGAAAAAAUAUUCUUUCGCAUUAUCACUGCGAAGUAUACGUACAUGCAUACCAAAUUGAUUCUUUAUUUCUGUAAUAAAUGCACAAAAAAUGGAAUAUAAUUCUGAACAAUUUUUCAUUAAAUAAAGCCAUGCAAUUCUGAAAAAAUCAUCAACAAAUAUUACAAAAUAUUUAAAACCUAACUUUGAAGUGACUCGGUUAGGACCCCAAACAUCAGAAUGAACUAACAAAAAGGGUUUCGAAACCCGUUUAUUGACCCUAAGAGCAAAAGAAACACGAUGAUGCUUUCCUAAUUGACAAGACUCACAUUCUAAUGAAGCCAACUGACUCAAAGCAGGAACCAACUUCUUCAAAUUUUGUAGAGACGGAUGACUCAAACGAUAGUGAAUUUCAAGAGGAGAAACCGUAGCAGGGCACGCAAUCGGACCAUUAGAGUUGAGAAAAUAAAGACCAUUAUACUCACGCCCUCCACCAAUCAUUCUCUUUGUCUUCAAAUCCUGAAUGAUAGCAAAAUCAGGAGAAAAAGUAAUUGAACACUGUAGAAAUUUGGUAAGCUUACUAACGAACAUUAGAUUAAAAGGCAAAUUGGGUACGUAAAGAACAGAAGACAGCGGAAGAGAUGGGUUAAUUUCUACAGUGCCUAGUCCUUUAACUUUAGUUGUAGAUCAAUCAGCUAAAGUAACAUGAGGGAAGGAAGUAGACUCUUGAAAAUUAGAAAAAUUUCUAGAGGUACCUGACAUAUGAUCAGUAGCUCCGGAAUCAAUGAUCCAUGAGUCAAAAUUUUUGGAAGUGGAGAGACAAGUCAUAGCAUUACCUUUUUGUGCUAAAGAAGCAGAGAAAAGAGAUGCGUGAUUUGCAAUUUGGUACUGCAGAAAUUUGACAUAAUCUUCCUCGAAUAUGGUAAAAGUCUUUUGGGACCCUUGUGCUGAAGAACUCGAUUCAGCUUGGUCAAUGGUAACCGCAUUAGCAAACCGAGGUGGUUUUCCAUUUAAAUCCCAACAAGUAUCACGAGUGUGAUUCUUCAAACCACAAUGAGUGCACUCAUGGGUGCCUCGACCUCCAUGACCCCACGACCUCCUCUACUUCUUCUUUCACGAGAGCCACAUCCAAAGUUAAGUUGCUCUAUCCAACCAUUGUUAGCAACUAAAGCAAAUUUGUCAUUAAUUAGAGCACCAUCACCCUGUGCAUUGUCCUUAGAUGCAAAAUGUAAGACCCGAACAUACGCCUCUGUAAAGGAUGGUAAUUGUUUACCUGCUAAAAUUUGAGAUUUGAUUGGUUCAAAUUCUGGCUUGAGACCGGCCAAGAAUUUGAGCACAAGCAUUUGUUCUCUUUGCCUCUGCAUAACUGUAAUAUCACUUGAGAGAGGCAUUAUGGCAUUUAAUUCUUCUGAAACUCGCUUAAGAUCAGCAAAGUAUUCUGUUACUGUCUUGUUAUCUUAUUGCAACUAAAAAUAUUUCAAAGAAACAUCAUACAUCCGUGAAAAAUUACUGUAGUAUAAUAACUGGACAUAAUCCCAAACUUCUUUUGUUGUCUCACAAUGAGAACACAUAUAAGCAAUUUGUGGCUCCAUAGAAUUCCAUAUUGCUCCAAGAAUUUGGGCAUCCUCUUGAAUCCACAUUAGUUUCUUGUUGUCCUCCGUAGGAGAGUCAUCUGUGAGAUAUCAUUACUUUCCUAAGUUUGUCAGAUAAAUCUUAACGGCUUUUGAUCACUGUUGAUAAUUAGUGUCAUUCAACUUCCAAUUUGUGAUUUGAGGCAUCACCAUUGGCAUAAUAUUAGUAGACGUCACAAAACCUUUUGAUAGACUUUCAGCCAUAGCGAAUAGUACUCCAAACCAAACGAAGGGUCAAAACUCGAGAUGAAUAGCACGUGAACAGUGCCGUGAACAGUGACCAGAAAGCGUGAACAGUGCCGUGAACAGUGAACAGUGUCGCGUGAACAGUCACGAUGAACAGUAUCGUGUGAACAGUCGCGAUGACCAAAACUUUUGCUAGAUGUUUAACCCUAACCCUAGGACUUUUGCUCUGAUACCAUGACAAUAGGUAUCUUGGGAGGAAAAUAUCUAGUCACAGUAUUAUGAUUGACCAACUAGUAUUUAUAGGAGUAUAAACCUAAUCAACUAUUUACAAGAAUACCCUUACUAAUAUUAUCUACAAGAAUACUAAUAUUCUCCUAACAGUAUUAUUAAAUUUUGCAUGUGGAUCCAUCUAGUCGUUCCCGUAUAGUUUUGGUGGAUGCUUUCUUUUUCUUAUGGAUUCAGACAUUAUUUAAACACGUUGAAACUUGGUUUUCUGAUGCUUGGAAGUUUCAUCCUUUGCUGAACUCCCCUCUUUUGUUGUUCAUGAGAAGUUUUGGGUCUGUGCUUCAAGUUAUACCCCUUGCGGACUCUGUAACCAAGUUAAAUGCACGGUGUGAGCUCUGUGGUAGACAAGCUUUCUUUACAUUGAGAAAGACAGAGGAUACUGACACAGAACUAAUCGCUGGGCAUGAAGUGUACAUGCUCGUGUGUUAAAAACAUUAUGUGAGCGGACAAGUGGUCAAAGAAGCUGCAAAGAUAGUGUUAGAAUCUCAAAGGGUUCAAUGCGGUGCAGUUGUGUAGUUGUGUACAACAUCGUAGGAAAUCUGGCUUCUCAUAUCUCAGGCCAGAAAUGUGGCAUUUGCUUGUGGUGUCUAAUUGUAGAAUUGGUAUACCCUUGCCUGAGUAUAUCAAAGCUCAGUGGUCUUACAAAGCAAUAGCUAGAUUUAAAUAGAUGAUUUUUGCUCCUCAGAUGUCUCUAUUUUUAUAGGGACAUGUACCUUGUCUAAGUUACUGAUGAAUUGUAUUAAUGCAUGAUUUUACCUUCUCCUUUGAUGUGCUAUGAAUGUUGAAAAGCGGAAAUGAGGCUACUUGUGCUGGACAAUAAUCAGACUAUGAUUCAUCCUUCUCGAGUUACUUAAAUAUAUGCUUACCUAAAAAUGAUUACAUAUUUUUAUUUCUGAAUUUCGAUGUCUUGUUACUUUAUAAUGACUUGUCCUAUAUUAUGCUAAUUCUUGUUUAUGUUCUAUUUUUUCCUUUUUCAGUGAGUAACAAAGAAUCUACAAUUAAUGUGUAGACAAAAUUUUUUUAACUUAUUAUAUUUAUUGAAAUAAAAUAAAUUGGUAUUGGUUUACUUAAAUUAAAUAUUGUAAAAUCCCCUAAUAUUUUGGUCUACAAAUGGGACCAAUUUUAUGUGGUUCUAAAAUUAGAUUAAAGAUCCAAAGCUGUUGUCUUUUGUUUUCACUUUUUAUUCAAAGAUAACAAAUUUUUAUGGUUCUAAUUUGAUUCUGGACAUCACAAAAAUGUCAACUUUAAUUCGUAAUAUUCAGGGAACCUUUCUUUCCUCCAUUUUGGUAUUCUUGUCCAACUAUUUCAUCUUGGUUCACCUGUACUUGUGUCUUCUCUUGGAUGUUUAAAAAAAAAAAAAACAAGCAUUUGGAUACUAGAACAGCACUAGGAUUGUUGGAUGGCAUUGCCUAAGCAUAUAAUGUGAGCAAACUUUCUUCAAUUUGAUUUCUUAUGCUUCUGCAACAUUGCAAAUGCUUAAGAAAUGAAACUAGCUGAUUGUAUCUACUUUCGUGAUCAAGAAACCUUUGAUCACGAAACAACUUUGCCUCCCAAGUGAUAAUUCACAAUAUGAAGAAGUGAUAUCCAUAUCUGAUAGUGUCUUCUAGUCCAUUUUUUCUCACAUGCAACUUUGCAUUUUGGUUUCAGACUUGUGUAGUUUGAUUAUUAAGAUGUCUGCCAAUUCUUAUUGAAUCUACUUGAUGAACAAAAUGAUCUUAGCCCACUCUUCUUUUUUUAAAUUUUAUUUUGGGUUGAAACCACCAGCCUUUGGGCCACCACCAAUGCAUUAAGGUUUGGGGGGGGUGGCAAGGAUUCACAUCUUGUCUCUCACCAAUUUGCCACAAUUAAAUGUGGCAUUGUUUAAAAAUUCCAAACGGGUGUGUGGUGCUCCCGUCUGGUCCGGUGGUGGUUCAGUCUCCUCUGGAUUACCGCAGCACCUCUUCAAACCCUCCCACUCCCCAUAGUAUAGGAAGCUAUCAUAUCGACAAAUUUUUUUUUAUUUUGGUUGUAUUUCUUUUCAUAUUUUCUUCAAAGCUGCUGUGUUUUUUUUUUUUUUUUUACACCUCCAUUAUCAAGAUGGAGAUAGGCCUUCAUUGGAGUUGCUUGGACCUUUUGAACUAAAUUCUAGACUUCUAUUCGAGCUAUCUAUUUUAUUUUUGUUGGUUUUAAUAUUUGUACGUGUAAUUCGGUUAAUUUUUUUGAUGGUUGUGAUUGUAGUAUUAUUUGGGAUUUCAAUUUGAUCUGCAGUGGUUCUAAUAUUUGUGACAAAGUGCUCCUGUUAUAAUAAUGUUCCUUUUUCUAAAAUAUUAAGGAAUUAAGAUGAUUUUAUUUUUCUCGAGUUUGUUGGAAAGUCCUAGUUUUAGUGUGGUGUGUGUGAUACAUAUUUUGAGUAUACAAAAAAUAGCAGGACAUGCGGUGAGUGUAUUUAUACAAAUUUUGAGUAUGUAAAAGGCUACUGAAAAGUCGAGAACAAAUUUUUAAAAAAGGUUAGAUCUAUUGAGCAAAAAAAAAAAAGAAUUAUAAAAUAGGAUUUAUCUGUAUUAAUUCCAGCCAAAUAUUCACUGAAUUCUUGUACAAAAAGGUAAAGCACUUUCGUAAUUCUUUCUCUUUUAACGCAUAGAUCCAGGGAUAAAAGUAGAUAGCAAAUCCACUUGCAGUAUUUCGUAAUUAUUCCAACGGCUAAUACCAACUGUGCAAACUCUAGAGUCUGCUCAUAUUGACUCUGGUGAUGGUAAACAAGUUGUAGUCUCGUGAGUUUUGAAGGUGGCCCAAUCGAGCGUAACACUUAGGCCCGUUUGGAACCUAAGUUUUUUGAAAAUUUGUCUAAAUUUUUACUGUAAUGCACUGUAGAAGUUUUUGGAAAAUUUUUUUAAGAUAAAAAACUUUUUUUCCUUUUCUUUUUUUCUUUUUUUUUCUUUCUCUUUCUUUUUCUUUCUUUCCUCUCUUCUUCUUCUUUUUCUUCCUUCCUCGUCCCCCUUUCCUCCCCCGUCACCUCUGCUCCGACAUUGAAGAAUCAUUUGAUGGUCCCAAAUUUUUUUUCCUUUUCUCUUUCUCUUUCUUUUUCUUUUUUUUUUCUUUUUUUUUCUUUCCUUUUUCUUUUCUUUCCUCUAUUCUUCUUCUUUUUCUUCUUCCUUCCUCUUCCCCCUUCCCUACCCCGCCACCUCUGCUUUGCCUCCAGCUUUGAAUAACCAAUAGCCUCUGCCUCCACCUCUGCCUCAAGCCAAUUUUUUUUCCUUUUUCUCUUCCCCUCUUCUCUCUCUCCCUCUCCGUCUCCCUCUCUGCUCCCCUUCACCCUCCCCCUCUCCCUCCAGAAGCCAGAGAACCAGCAGGCAGCAGCCAUGGUUUCUUUUUCUUUUUUUUCUCUCCCCCUCUUCUCCAUCUCCCUCUCCCUCUCCCUCUCCCCCCUUCUCCCCUUUCCUACUCUCCUCCCCUUCCCCCUCCCCCUUUGCCCAAUAUGGUCGCAUGACCAGAUCUCCGUGACUGGGGAGGGUGGCCGAGGAAGGGAGGGGAAGAGAGGGGGAAAAGGGAGGGAAGGAGAGGGGGAGGGAGAGAAAAAAAAGAAAAAUAGCAUAACAGAAUGGUUGCAGAUCGGUCAAAGGGGGAGGGGGAUGGGGAGAGGGAGAGGGAGAAAGGAAAAAAAAAGGAGGCCGGCGCCGGAAGCAGCGGCGGAGGUGGUGGCAGGCGAUGAAGGUGUGGUGGAUCGGGGUGGGGGAAAAAAAGAAGCAAAGUGGAAGUUUUUUGUGUAUUAGAUAUUUUGAAGUGUGUAGGUUAAAAAAUUUGAUAAGUUUUUUUAGGUUCCUGUAGCUAAAAUUGUUAAAAAAAACUAGUAGCUAAAAAUCUUGGCCAAAAACUUGGGUUCCAAACAGGCCCUAGUUCCGCACAAUACUUAAUUUUUUGUACUCUUUUGCAUAGUUGGACCCAUAACACUAUUUGAUGGAGACUCAUCCGCGCAGAGAUUAUACGAGAUUUACUCUAAUACCAACUAUAAUGCCCUAAAUCUAUGGAUUGAUUCAAAUAACUUUAGAGCGAAAUUGUGAAUUUAAAAUGAUUAAUCAAAAUUAUUAAGUAACCGAUGGGUAUAGUUUAUACACAUACGUUUACUUUGGAUUCACUGCCAUUCUAGAGGGUGUCUAAUUUAGUACUUAGGCGUCAUACAAUAGUUAACUCUUUGCGUUCUGAUGCCACUUGUAAUGCUUCAAGUCCAUAAUACUUAGAGUGGAACUAUGAGGUCAAAAUAAUUGAUCCGUAUUUAUUUGAUAAUCCAUGAGCCCAAACUAAUGUACCCAUCCUUUCCUUCUGCUUGUUGGUUGACUAGCAAGACUGGCUAAUUAGUCCAACCAAGUGGCGAACCUUUUAUGUUGAUUAUAAGUCAAAAACACUUAUGAUUUAUCUGGAAAGUUUUGCAUGUAUCUUACCAUUGACGUAUAUCAAGGUUAAAAUCCAACCAAUCUUAUGAAUUGCUCUCCCACCUUAAGAUUCAAGUAAUACAUUUCUUGCCAUUCAUUUUAGGCGGAAACUAAACAGUGCAUUCACAUCAUGACCAAAAGUGUACAAAUUUAUUUGCAGACGGAUCUUCUGUCUCACACCCUGUGCUACUUUCUGUCCCACUUUUUAUUAUAUUGCUAUUUCUUCUACAUAAACAAUUAUGUUUUAAUUCUUUUUGUUUUCUUAAGAUUCAAUAACUAUAAAUUGAGUAAAAAAUAAAUACAACAGCUUCAAAAAAAUAAUAAUAAUAGAAAAUUAAAAAAUAUAGCAGAAAAUUCAUAAAAAAUCUCAUUUUUUAUGCAUUUUGAUUUUUUGAGUUUUGUUAAAUUUUGUUUUUUACUCAAAUUAAUAGUUAUUUGGAUCUUAAGGAAACAAAAAAAGAAGUUAAAAUAACAUGAUGUUUAUGUAGGAAAAAUAGCAAUAUAAUAAAAAGUGGGACAGAAAGUGGCACAGAGUGUGGGACAGAAGAUCCAUUGCACAAUUUAGAAGCUGAGUGAGUGAUUUGACAAUAGUAAUAGUAUAAUGGUCAAACUUAUAAUAUACAAAUAGUAGAAAUAGGUUAUUUGCCCUUCACUUGGAGUAGGUUGUCUUGUAAGUACAAUAAUUAGUUCUGCAUAUGUCUUCAACUUUCAUUGCAUCACAUAAUUUCUAGUUGAAUCCAUGCAAUAAGUUGGCCAAGUUAUAUUUAACAAACUUCAAUCCAAGGGUGUCGCCAGGGAAUCUCUUUCAAACUUGUGUUGUAAGCAUUUUUCUUUGUAGUGGAAGAGGUGUUAAAGAACAUGAACUGAAGAGGUGAAACCAAUUUAACCCUUCAUAGAUAAACUACGAAUAUAAAAAAUUAUACUUUUCCUUCAUGACACUAACAAAGAUGGAUGGACAGUUGUAUUUCAGCAUUCAUAGUAAGUCAAAACCUUGGAUGAGUAGUUUUGAGAAAUCGUCCUCUUCCACCUAUCUCUCCCUACAAGAGUAAAUUUCCAAAAAAGUGUGACAAUUAAAAGAAAUUUUUAAAGGAUGAUAAUCUUCAAAUUUCUUCUAAAAAAGUGAAAAAAUAUAUUUACUCAAAAGUUGAGUUCACAAAGUGCUUCUUUUGAAAUUUAUAGGCACGUAUUCCUCAAAAAUUGGAUUUAGUAAAUACAUUUGGAAAAUAAUAUAUUCUUUUUAUUUCAGAAUUGUAAAGAACGUAUUCACUUAAUAUAUUGUUUUGAAAAUCUCAAUAUUUGAAAACAUUUUCUAAAUACUACCACCAUUUUAAUUUACUCCUGCUUAUAACUCAUUCAAUUCUUCAAUUGCUUGUCAACUAGAAGAGGCUACUUGAGAAUUUUGUUUAUUGCCCAUUCUAUCGCAGUAGCCGAGACAUCAAUACCACUGGCUAGUAAGACCUGGCAGAUAGAUCUUGGUAAAGCAUAACAUCUAAAGCAAAUGGAGACAUUAAUCAAGAAGAAACAUGGGAAAGCAAGUUGGGUAUAAUCAAAAGCAAGACAUUUAGUUCUAAAAAAAAAAAGAUUGUUUUCCCUUCAAAUCUAAAGUUUUCAUGGUUAUUAGCUUGGUAGGGUCAAUGUGAUGUCCCCUUGUUCGACUCUCAAGCCAUCAUAUUUUCCUUCAUUUCCAUAAGAGUUGAAGUCUCUUUAAAAAAGAAAAAGAAUCACUAAAUCUAUAUGAAAUGGUUUUAGGGUGUAAUUACUACUGUAGCACUUUGAUUGAGAAUAUUAUAGUUUAUCCGUUUAAGAUUGAUUUUUUUUAGAAUUACUCUCAAUACAGUUUCCAGUUACCUUACUAUCGUACAUAAUUCACAUUUCAAAAAAGUACUAUAACAUUAUUUUUCUACAAAAACUCCCAAAAUUUUCUUAAAAUAAUGCAAUCCAAAUGGACUCUUAAUUUGUAAAGAGCUCUCACUUUCAUAUAAUACACUAUAAAGUUGGCAGGACUUGCAAGUUCCUAAUUAUCUUCUUACAUUUCAAUUAACUAAGAGAUAUGAUACAAAUAUUUCAAAACUGACUAUUUAAAAUAGGAUGAAUGUUGCCAAAUAUGAAUGACACUCUACAUUUUUUAUAGUAGCAUUCCUACUAUCUAUUUUGCAUAAUAAAUGACUAUAUAUUAAAGAAGAUAGCUGGAGAACUAUUAUACAAAAAUAGAGUACUAUUAACAAUUACCUUAAUAUUUUGUUAGUAUACCGAUUUUUUUAUAUUAGUAGGUUUGGAUGGACGGCAAAUAUGCAAAAGGAGAAAUUCAAAUUUGAAUGUAUGUUAUAUGUCAUGCAUCCUAACCUAUUAAUUUUCUCCACAUACAAAAGAGAUGGAAGGGAAAUAAAAUAAAUAAAUAAAUAAGAAAAAAGAUGGAAGGGAAAUAUAAAACAAACAAAUAAAAAAUAAAAAUAUCCGACUUUUUUUACUACAAAUAUCAAUAUAGAUUUUUAAACUAAAUCUUUAAUGGUAUUCUCUUGUUCUUAUUUAUCUAUUUUUAUUUCAACUUCUUCUUUUUCAUGUUUAGAGGGAAAAAAAAGAAGUAAUGAAAGGGUCAAUUUGUUAAUUUAUUAGUCUGAUUUUGACUUUUGACUAUUAAUCAUUAGUUUCAAUAGAAAAAUUAAUAGUGAUAUUUUAACUCAAACCAUGAGGAGGUUAUAUAUAUGUGUGUGUGUGGUAAAACACCAAACCAUAGGGGGGCAAAAAGUAAUUUACCCAAUGGCAAAGGGCUAUUUUAUCUUUGAAAGAAACUUAAAAACUCAUGGGUGAUUUCCAUCUUCACUUGUAUUUAAUCUCUAUGUCAUCUGAUUGGUUGUCAUCGAGUUCCACACCAACAAUUUGCCGGUUGCAUCUACCUAUUGAUUUGCAUUUUAACAGGUAAUUUCCUUUUCUUUUAAUUUUUCACAACUUACCUUCUUUUUAGUUUAACCUAAGUGUCUUUUUUCAUUGGAUUUCUGCAUUGGUAGACAAUCACCAAUUUUGCGCUGGAGGAAAAACUGCAUUCUUAAUACUCUUAUAUGAUAAAACAUUCCAAAAUCUUAUAAAAGCAACUCAAUUGAUUUUCCUUUAUUGAAGAUACUUUUUUUUUGGAUAAAUUAUCUUUACUCAAUAUGUUUUUUGACAUUUCAUUUGAAAUGAAAUUACAUUAUGGUUAUAAUUGAUAUAUAAUUGAACUACAUUUUUAGUAUCGCCAUCGUACACUCCUGGUAGUAAGCAUAUGGAUGAGAAAGUGACCGAGUAAUAGAUUAAGAAGAUGCACUCCAAGAACUAGAACCACAACACUUAUAUUGACCAUUACAUUUUCCAGCCAGCAAAGAAGCUCUAUAUGACCACAUUUUGAUCGAUGUUAUAGAUGAAGUAAGGCAUGAAACACAAGUGACUAUUGGAUACUUGACACCUAUAUGUAUUGCUAUUGUAAGUGCAUUUCUUGCCUUUUAUGUGUUAAACUUUCUAGUUUUGUACUAACAAAUUGUAAACAUUUAUUUGAUAGUUACUAUAUUUGCCGUGUUUGGCCUUCUGUUGGACUUUCUAGGGGUUCUUGCCUUAGGGUCUUUUAGGAACUAAACUAUUGUGAUUCUACUUUAUCAGAUAAGGCAAAUUAAUGGAAUUAUCAAAAUUUCAAUUAAAAAUUGAUGAGAUAAGUAGUAUACAAAUGGGACCUGUGUUUCUGAGAAAGAGUUGAAAUCUUUUUAAUAUGUUGAAUUAUCAUUUAGAAUUUGCCGAAUUUUCUCUUCUUCAAGCUUUUCUAUCACCAUUUAAAAAUUGGAAAAUGUGUUGUCUUCAGCAUAUGAAGAUUAAACCUCCCACAGAUGCACACAUUUGCAAGAGUUUAUGCUAUGUUUUUCUAUCUUUCUAUUUUGGGGAUGAAUCAUUGCUAAUGUUGGACUGAUCUACUGGACCAUAUAUGGGGUACUAUCUUGAUUUUUAGCUGAACCUAUAAAUAUAUGUUGAGAGAGAUGUAAUUCAAAAUAUAAAAAACUCUUCAGUGAAUCCAUCUACUGUAGAUAAAUAAUUAAAAGUUUCUAGUCUGGUGCAUAGGGAGAGACGUACUAAAAAAUAGUAUGUGCACAUGAUGGAUGGCGUUGUAUCUUCUACUACUUUUAUCAAGGAGUUUUACAAUACAGAAAAUAAGUAAAAGGAAAAAAGUAAUCUUGACAAGUGAAAGAUAAAACAAAAAUGGCGUAAAGAAUUGGCUACCAAUGUUUUAAAAAAUGCGCCCGGCAACGAAAAUCGCUUUUUUAAACACUGUUAGCUACAUAACUGCCUUUACACCUCAGGUCCAGAUGAAUCUGAGGACAGACAUCUACCUAAGUUAGUCAUCUCUAGACUCUAAUGAAAGUUUUCCAUGCUUUGAUGCUUGGUAAACCACAAACCUUCUUGGUCAAGUAUUGGUUUAGCCAUGUAUAGUGUUUCUUGGGGAAUUUUUGAUCAAAUACUAAAAGGCAGAAUUGUUUUAGGAGCAUUUUACUGGACAUGUUCGUGGAAGUUAAAUAACCAACAUUGUUUUUUGGCUGACAACCAGGAUGAGGCCAAAGAUGCACCUUACAUUGUACAAGCAUAAAUUUGACUUUGAUAAAACAUUGAUAUGAUCAGUGUUGCUGAUUAUCUAAGACACAAUAAUUUUCUGUUGUUCCAAAGAUGCUUUUGUCUCAAGACCUGAGCCAUUGUUAGAGGCCCUAGGCUGAAGGAGCUGUCUGAUUCCGGUGCUUCAAGCCAUGUAAGCCACUGUAGUUAGUAUUAGGAAUCUUUUAGCAAUGCCUAAAAAUGAAGCUCUUUCUAUGGAAUAGUUGAUAUACUAUGGUCUUAACAUUUAUUAGUAGUAAAUUGAUAUGGACUAUUGGCAAAUAUAAUGUAACUUCCAUUAUAGAAGGGCACGGAGAGUUUUUGCAGAAAUGCUACUUUAUUUCAGGUGUUUUGUUUCAAGCUUAUCUGCUUGGGACUGGUUUCUUAUUGCUGCUAGAUGAGAUUUCUAAGUUUUCCCUUAAUCUGCAUUUUGACUGUUCUUGCAAGCUUUCAAGAUUACUUGAAUAACACUCUUUCCUUCCUUUCUUGAUUGUAUUGGCUGUCCCGCGGAAGAAAAGAGAAAGGGUAGAAUGGGCAGGAUAGAUUUUCUAAGGCACCAAAUAUAAUAGGGAAAAGUUCAGUCAUUAAUGCCAUUAACAAAAUCACAUAUCCAAUGAAAAUUCACUACAAUCAUGGUGAUUCUGAUUUAUGUUUGAGUUGGUAAUAUACUUCUAGAUUAUAUAGUAGUGAACUCUCUGCCAUUUACUAAUUGCUGUAGAAUUCCUACCUUUUGAAUGAUGAUGAUGGCUCUAACUUCACAUAAACUUGAUAAAAUCAACCAUCAUUUUCAAAUUCUUCUUCCACAUUUGUACCUUGUAUUCCAAAAAACUGAAAAUUCAGCUGGAAGUAGACAAACAAUUUUGAUUGUGCUGAUGAAAAAAGGAUGCAUUGGGGUUGGUUUGAUUACUGCUUCUAAAUUGGAUACUAGUGAUAUUGGACUCUUAAAACAUAAUGAGAAGGUCAUUCUCUCUCUCUCUCUCUCUCUCUCUCUCUCUCUCAAAUCUGUCUCUCAUACACACAUACGUGUGUGGGCCUAAUUUCUUCCCUUGUACUUAUAUUUUUUUGCUCUUGGCUGAUGGAUGAUGGCUAGUCAUCUAGUAACAUUUGACAGAGCUAGACUUUAAGAGGUUGCUUAUAGAUUCUAAAGGAGAGAAAUGGUGGUUAUGUUUCUUCUUACUCAUUUGAAGAAUUGAAAACUUGAAUAUGGAUAUGAGAGCAUAUGGAUGAUUAUGUUCAGUUUGGGGAACAAACUGUUACUUCAACUUUUGUAACUUCAUGAUAGUUCUUCUGCUUUAAAAUAGUGAUUCUAUGAUGCUUAUUUUUCUUAAGAGUUUUUUAUUUUUUUUCCCCGCUUAUUGACUCUCAGAUUUUUGGGAUACCAAGUACGAGGGUUAAUUUCCUGGGGGCAGAAGAAAGAUGAUUCAGUUAUAUAAUUAUCAGAAGUGACUUCGUUUUCUUUAAUGUAUAUGAAAAUGGAGUUUGUGCAAAGCAAGUAAAAUACGAUGUCUUUUAUUCUUCCCUCUUACUUUAUAUUUGUUGAGAAGUUUGGAGGAGAGAAGAAGAUGUUAGGUUUCCAAGAAACAGAAUUAUGCAGAUCCCUCCUACAUUUCAGUAUAGAUUACUAGCCCUGCAUAAUGAGGCAAUACGGUGCAGUUUAUUUCAAUACCUAAUGAAGCAAUAAAUGUCAACCUACAACCUGUAAUAAUAUUAUUGCCCUUCAUAAUGGAAAUGAUACGCAAGUUUUCUUGAUCUUAAUGAUUUAAACCACUAUAUGAUCUGAAGAACCAAUUCUUACUAACUUGAAACACUAAAAGCAUGAAUUCAGCCUCGGGAAAAUAGUCGUUACAGGGGCUUUGGUAGAUUUGAUAUCCAAUGGCUCAGUUAAACAAGUUUUGUUAAGAAAGGAAUCAGAAGAUUGGUUACUUUGUAUGCUACUGAUCCACAGGUGGUAGCUGUGAUGGAAAUUUUUGCCUAGUUGACAGAUGGUUUUUGUGUUAAAAGCACUCAUCUUUUGUUGUUGAAAGAUUUUCAUGGUUUAUUGUGACUUAGAACCACUUUGAAAUUUUCUGAUUCGUAAUAAGUGCACUUAGGGAAAGGAAGAAGGUUAGCAUGAUUAGAAACAAGUUAUAAACAAAUAAUCCAUGUAAGCUAAAUAUUAACAUCAUCAAUAUCCCAAUCUAUCUCACUCCAUCUCAAGAUCUCUCACCAAAAGUGUUCAUCACUAGCUCGUUCAUACUGAACUUCAAAAAUUCUAUCAUUAGUUAGGUUAUCCCAUAAUUGUUGUUUCAUAAGCACAAGACAAGAAUCUCAAACCAGUAAUUGGAGGGAAGAAAAAACAAAAUCAGUAAACUAACGCUUCAUUAAUAUUUAAAUUAAUGCCACAAGUAUACCAUUUCACUUUCAAAGGAAGGCAAAAAAAAAAUACAAACAUUUGAGCACAAGAUAUAGAGCGUCAAUGAUAAGAAAGUACACCUCAAAUCGAUGAGGCCAACAAUGGAGAAUCUAUGUACAAGGGAUGCCCCCAACGUGUAAUGCUAGGAAGACUAAACACGCGUAAAUGAGAGUAGAUGUUCAAUGGUGGCAAAAGGCGGAGGAGGAAGAUGAGUAAAAGGAAAGACGAGGAGUCAGCAAUGGGAGGAGGCAGAGGAGGCGGAAGAGGAAGAUGUGGAGGAGAAAGAGGCAGAGAAAUGGUGGUAGGUCUGUGCUAAGAGAGAGAGACCCGUUUUACUAAUUUAAUUCAUCUAAGAUCCACGUACAAAUCCGAUUAGGGGGUGAAUUGUGGAAUUAGAAUUGUAAUUCUCAGAUCUUACUAAAGAAUUGAAUCUGUAGAAUUGAAGACCCAUAGAAUUCGAAUUAAAUUCUAAUUCUCUAGCAUUGAUAGUGUCCAAACUGCAUAUUUGGAAUUCGGUUCCAAUUCCAAUUCUAGAUCUCCAAAGAGAACCAAACACACCUUAUAAGUGUUUUUCACUUGAUUGACUUAUAAUCAAUGUAAGGUGCGCAAUUUAAUUGGGCUAAUUACCCAGUUUGCCAGCCAAUUUACAAGCAAGAAUCCAAUCAUGCCAGUAUGACUAAGGCUAAUAUUAACUGAAUUGGACAUUAUUUCCAAGGUGAAGUUGUGAUAAUAACUAGUAUUGUGAAAUCCACAUAGGACGAAAGGAAAAGAUUAGUAGUUUGGGUUUGAACUCGUGACUCCGCUCAAGAGUCAUUAGACCAGUCCAAACUCCAAAUCCAAUCAACUUGCAAACAAUAAUGCAAUCAUGCCAUUGUGACUAAGGCCAAUAUUAAUUGAAUUGGACAUGAUUCCCAAAGCAAGCUAAAGUUGAAUUAAUAACUGACAUUGAGAGAUCCAUCCCACAUAGGAUGAAAGGAAAGGAUGAGUAGUUUAGCUUUGAACUCGUUACUCUGCUCAAGGGUCAUUAGACCAGUCCAAAGCUCUCAUCAGAGCAAAUCUCACAUGGUCUCGUCUGGUCAUAUGCAACAUCAAGUAAAGGUUUGGGGAAUGACGGGAAAGAGUGUUGAGAAGAAUCCAGCAUCGGAAUUUUUGAGGAAUUUAGUUCAAUUCAUUUCAGAUAGUUGAUGGAUUUUUGAGGCUACAAUUCACACUUUACAGGCAUAGUUAUGAUGUAGUAAUUAGUACUUUCGAUUUUCAAUUCAUUCAUUGGCUCUUCUUUUUUUUGGGCUUAGAUAUUGUAUAGGACACUAGGUAGGCAUCUUUCUUUUUUUUCUUCCAAACAAAUAUGUUUUAAUUUAAUUACCUUCAUAGAAGAGUUGCGGAAGGAAAUAGAAUAUGAAUCUCUGAUUGAAAAAAGUUGGAAGAGUCUUGGAAAGAUUUAGUAUCUUUUUUAGUUAGUAUCUUUUUUUUUUUCUGAGAUAUCAAUUGUCUUAAAAAUAAUAUCUUACUACAAUUUGAAUGCCCUUUGGAUUAGAGCUAAUUAAUUUAAUUCUUUUUGUCAUAUCUUUUUUCCAAGGACGUUAGAUUCUAUUUCUGCCAUUUUCAGUUGUGAGAUUAUUUAGCUCUCAGUAUAAAACAAAACAGGCUGUGGGCUUCUCUUCUAAAAUUCUCCAUGGCGGAUAAAUAUGAUUUGAAUUAAGAACAGGAUGAGUUUUAUUUUAGUACUACCGAUUUUAGGUAGCAUGAUUGUAACAAGGUACACCCAGUCAAUGUCAAUGGUAGGUAGAAAAUCUGCAUCAUCCUUGAACAUAUCCCUUUUGACAAGUUAAGGAGCUAAAAACAAAACGAGGGAGAUUAAAUUAACCAUAAGGUUGCUUUAGAUACUUGAUAGAAAAGGGCAUGAGCCGGCUAAUUUGAAAUACUUGAGGAAGCUGCUGUGGACUCACGGGGAAAGCCAAUUAGUACACAAUAAUACACCAAUUUUUAAAGAUGGAAAUCUGCAAGUGGUGGAGUUCGGUAAGACUUUGCGGUUGUAAUUGUGGGUUCCAGGCAUCAAAAUAAUGCAACAUAGAUUAUUCAAGAAUACAUAAGGUUGAUUGGUAAGAAAACUUUUUAUACAACUGCAGGAGACGAUGACAAUGUGGUGCAGCUAGCAUAAGGCAUGCAACAAUUGUAGUUUAGUGCAGAUUAGGUGUCAGAUGUGAGUGAAAGUAAUUUAGUGCUUCCUGGGCUCAUUCCAAUAUGAUUAUGGUUAAAUGCCAUGUGUUUUGCACGUGACCAUGAGAUUUUAUUUGGAUAAAAUAUAAAAAAGCCCCUUAAGGUUAAGUGAAUAUACAAAAAAGCCACCUAUAGUUUCAAAACAUAUACUCUGGUAUCUCGUGGUUUGAACUAAUUUAAAUAAGCAACGAAAAUCGUCAGAAUUAAUGAGCUUGAAAUACACGCGCUUCUUUUGCGAAUAUUUGUAUCAGAAACAAAUAAUUUUUUUAUUGAUAGACCUAUUACACCCUUAAAGUUAUAAUACAGAAAAAUCCCUUGUGCUUAAGCAAAUCUAUAGAAAAAGUCCUUAUAAUUUCAAAUCAUACAAUCCAGUACCUCGUGGUUUGAACUAAUAUUAAAAAUCGACAAAAAUCAUUUAAAUUAAAGAGUUUGAGGUAUCUUGACAUGGAAAAUAAUUUUUUAAAUCAAAAUUUUUUAGCUAAUAUACCUAUUAAACCCCUUAGAACUCAUAAAAUUUUCAAAAAACAAUCCAAAACUCCCAAAUACAACUCACCUUAUUUCUAUACAUAAAAUAAAUAAACAAAGUUUCCCAAUAAAACUCACCUUGUUUCUAUACACAAAAUAAAUAAAUAAAAACUUUCAAAUACAACUUACCUUAUUCCUAUGCACAAAAUAAAUAAAUAAAAAUAAAUAUAACCAUAGAGGGCUUUUCCGUAGGUUGGCUUAAUCACAAGGGAUUUGUCCAUAAGUUUGCUUGAUAGGAUGGUUGUUAGAAGGUCUUUUAUUACUUAUAUAUAUUAGGCAACUCACUUGCAUCAACCCAACAAAGAAUAUCAUCCAAAUUACAUUGUUUAAGAUAUUUGUCUACGCGGUAAAACCUAACCAAAAUUAUAUGUCUAUUUGUGCUUAUAGGAGUCAAUAUGGCAAAAUUGUCACCAUCUCUCUCUAAUAUUCUGCCAUUAUUUAACAAUUCAUAUACUGAAUAAAUUUUUCUGGCUUUCUUGGUUGAUUGACCAAUCAAAUCCUUCAAUCUGACAACCCGUGGCAAUCAACAAAUUUGACAAGAUUCCUCUCUGUUCUCUAUUUUCACACUUGCAACAAUCUAACAAUUUUUGGACCAAUAUAUCUUAUGAUGAAAUCCUUCACUAACUACACAUUUCAGAGCUAAAUUGGUGGUCUAAUUCGAUUAACUAAAUACUUUUCGACAACUUUAUGUCCUAAUUCUCUGAUAGUAGAAACGCCCAAGACUAACGUCAUAAUCUAGCUCUAAUACCAAUAGUAGAACCAAAAUUUUAGGAUUCUAAUAAUAAUCAAAAUGUGCAAGGUUACAGAAUUGAAGGAAUAAAACCAAAAACUCUAAACAUGUGUGGGAGAGGAGAAAAUAAUCAACUCACAAUAUUAUUGAAAUUUCAAACGAUGAAGAAAGUUACACCAUAAUAGAAAACGUGACAAACUCUACUAGAUUCUCUCUAGAACACACCCUAAAUAAUGUCCUAUUUAUAAUCUACUAGAUUUGUUUGGAAAGAAAACACUUGCAUGAGAAAUUACCAAAUAAAACAUAAAUUCCCAAAUUGCACAACUAUUAAAACCUAACUCCAAUAAAACUAAUAAAUAAAUAAACACUUUUAGAUUUGGUUUAGUUUGCCAACACUUUUCUUCAUUAGAAAUUCCCAAACAAGUUGACGAUAAAAAUGUUAGGAAGAAUUAAGGACAUAGGAAAAAUUGAAAGAAAUUAAGACUCUGCAAAUUCAAUACGUGGAAAUCCAUAGAAAAAAUUUUUGGAAGAUGCAAAAGCAUUAGUAAACCAAAGAAAAUUUUUUGUGAUUAUGUGUUACAAUCUUAUAAUUUCCAGAGAGAGUUGCAGUUUUGUCUCUAAUGUUUGGUCUAUCUGCCAAAUUGGUCAGUGACCCAUCUUAAAGUAACAAUCCAUCUUUUUGAAUAAACAAUUCAAAAGUGAAUUAAAGAAUGAUUAAAGGUAAAGGGUUGCUGCCUAAGCUUCUCAAUCAUAGCAUGCAGUGAUUGGCAUUUGAGGUGGGCAUUAGGUGUAAACGUACGAGGGAAGUUAACAAAUAUUCGUAGAUCCUAUGCAGACUUCGUCGUUGUACAUAUAAACAAAUCUUAAUUCUGAAAUAAAACAAAUAUGAUUUAAUGGAAAAAUAUUGUGAGGAUUUAUACUCCUUUUUAUACUUGAGACACAUGUCGUGUAUCGUGAUGAGGAAUAAUAGAUUCAUUCUAUUCCUUUGUGCUUUAGUGUAUACACCUUAUGACAAAAAAUAUAGUAAAUAUAGUAAAUUUCAUUACAUAAAUAAUAAGAUUCAAUAUUAAAAAGGCAAAUUUUAUUAAGUACUUAAAACUUACCAUUUUACAAGACAAUCUUACCGAUUUAGUUGGAAAAGUUACAUGUAUUUUUGGAUGAAUUAUUUAAUUCACAAAACAGGGAUGCAAAAGGUUCUAAACUGUUACAAGAGGAAAGAGAACCGAAUGUUCAAAUCAACUGCCAUUGUUUUAUAUUAAGUAACCUAGCAACAUUAGUAUCAUACCAUUGUCCAAGAAACAAAUGAUACUAAUAACGCCAGCACACACUGCUCUCAAAAAAUGUGUAAAAACUCUCAAAUGAUACUAAUCACAAGUUGAGAGCCGCCUUCUCUCUGUUCUAGAGAGAGAAAUCUCCCUCCUAUGGGAGUCGUGCUCGUUUAACAACUUUUCAAAAUUGUUCAAUUCCCAAAAUAACAGAUUCACUUCAUCAUCUGCUUUCCGUUUUUAGCAUCCUUUCCAUUUUCGUCGAUGCCAGCUAAGAACAUCAUUUUCCUUAGAUUAGCUUUAGCAUUUUCAGUAGAUAGCCAUAUAAUUCAUCAUCCAGCUCGCGGGUGGUCUGUGGCGUGUUCUCUGGGGAGGUUUUCUUUUUUGGUUUGUGUUUUUCUGUUUGUCUGCUCUUUCAGGUUGCUCAGCUAGAUCGCUGAUCUAGGGGCGUAACAGUGUGGUCAAGGAGACGAAGUUUGGAAGGCUGGAAAGCGGUGAUGAUUUCUGGAGCAGAAUUGGUUUGGCAACAAUCUGAAAUUGGCGGCAGUCUGGACUGUGGGAUCUUCGAAGAUGGAGCACAUCGAAGAGGUAAUGAGGAAGUUCACUUUAUCUGAGAAUGAGAGGGAGGGAGUUUGUUUAGGGAGUGAGGAUCUGGAAAAAGGUGUGAAGGAGUGUAGUUUGAGUCUAAUAGGGAGAGUCUGGGGGAAAAAGUAGCUAACAUAACUGGAAUGAGGAGUUUUGUGACUAAUGUGUGGCCGCAGUUGCGAAAUGUUAAAAUUACUGAGAUUAAGGCUAAUAUGUUCCAAUUCAUUUUUGAGUCUAGGAAGGAUAUCGAGUUAGUGCUUAAUAAAAGACCUUGGAUCUAUGAUGGCCAGCCUCUGGUUUUGCUGGAAUGGCAGGCAGACUUAGAGGAGAAGGAGCAGGCGUUUAGUAGGACGUUAGUGUGGGUACAGAUCUGGAACUUACCUCUUCAUUGGGUAACUAAGGAGGCUGGGCGGAAAAUAGGUGGAAUAUUUGCAGGAGUAAGAGAAGUCAUUAUUCCUCAGGGAGGGGGCAAGGAAGGUAAACACCUUAAAAUCCUAGCUGAGGUUAAUCUUGAAGAACCUUUGCCUAGAGGUUCUAUGGUGAAAAGUGGUGGAGGAACUAGAUGGAUUGAGUUUAAGUACGAAAAAUGUCCUGAUUUUUGCUUCUGCUGUGGACUAAUAGGACAUAAUGAGCGAAUUUGCAAUAGGAAAGGGGUCAAUGUGGAUAAGGAGAAUCAGUAUGGUAACUGGCUUCGAGCCAGUUUUCCUAGGAGUCCAAGGAAGAAAGGCAAGAAUGAGGGGGAACAGGAAGCAUCAGGGAAAGGGGGACAUAGGGAUCAAAGUUCAGGAGGGGAAACUGGAGGGCAGCUGUAUCCUUUGCUCACUUACACUAAGGAAUUCCACAGGGGAAUUGGGAAGACAGAUACUCAAUUCAAAGGGAAGGAGAAUUGGGGAGAAGCAGUAAGGGGGGUCAGGGAGAAGAGGGGAAUGGGUGGCAGGAGGGUGAGGGGAGUGGUAAGAAUGUGGUUGGGGGCAUGAGAGUAGGUAUAGAGGGCAGGUGGAAGAGGAGAUAAAGGAGGUGGCAGAAGUAGAUAUGGGAAGGGAUCAACUGAUGCUCAAGGCAGUGGAUGUGGAGAGUGCAGUGGGGGAGGAAGCAGCAAGGAUAAGAUGUGGAUGGAUGAUGAGAACAACCACUGUUUACACAAGGGUAGGAGUAUGAAGGAGGGGGAGAAGGGAGGGAGGAAAUUUCAUUUGCAGGAGGACCAGGGUAAUAAAACUAACAUGGGGAAGUAUAGGGUCAGUAAGACUUGGAAAAGACUGGUGCAGGAGGUGAGUAAGAGGAAGCCUCUGUCUGAGGUUGAACAUGUACAGAAUGGCACGAAAAUGGGAAAGAAAAGACAGGGAGCAGGUGGGGAGGAGCUGGAAAGGAACCUGAGGGAGGUCGAUGGUAAGAAGAAAGCUAAGCUGAUUGAAGGGGUGGAGGAUGUGGUGAUGCUGACUGAGGUGGUGGAGCCCUCCCUUAAUGGGGCUCCCACCCCUCAAUGAGAGCUCUGGUGUGGAACUGUCGAGGUGUGGGGAGCCCCUUGACAGUUCCCCAACUUAAGGAACUUGUACAAGUCCACUCUCCAUCUCUGAUAUUCUUGUCAGAGACAAAAAAGAAAAAGACAUUCAUAAAUAGUGUUAAGCAGUGGGUGAGGUUUGAUGAGUUGUUUGUAGUAGAUCCUAUGGGGUUGGCAGGUGGUCUAGCUGUGAUUUGGAAGAGGGAUAUACAGGUGAAAAGUAUAUUAUUUACUAGUUUCACUAUAGAGUUACUUAUUGGUGAUCAGGGAGGGAGCAAAGAUUGGUGGUGUGUGUGUGCCUAUACCAGCUCAGAUGAUAAGAUUAGGGAGCAGCAAUGGAGGGUGCUAGAGAGGAGAACACAGAUUUGGGGUGAUUGCUGGCUCUAAUGGGAGAUUUGAAUGAUAUCAAGUCUAAUGGGGAGAAGUGGGGUGGUAGAAUCAGGCCUGCUAGCAGCUUUGAAACUUUCACUUGUUUCAUUAAUAGGACUGGCCUUAUAGACAUUGGUUUUGAGGGAGUGCCUUGGACUUGGUGUAAUAACAGGGACAAUGAAGGGGAGAUUAAGGAAAGGAUUGAUAGAGUGUUGGGUACUAAGCAGUGGUGUGGAAACUUUGGAAAAGCUAAAGUGAUCCAUGCUGAGACAGAAGCUUCUGAUCACUGUGCUCUGGUACUGGACCUGACCCCUGUAGACAUUCCUAGGAAGAGGAGAUUUGCUUUUGAUAAAAGGUGGAUCAUGCAGGAGGGGGUUGGGGAGGUGAUCAAGGAGGCAUGGGGGAAGAGCACCAGGGGUCUAGGCUGUAUAGAGUACAGAGCAAGAUUAAACAAGUUCGUAUGAAUCUGCUGCAUUGGAGCAAGAAUUUGAAUCUGAACUCCAAAAAGCAGAUAGAACAGAUUAAAAAGGAAAUUAAAGAAGUGAGGGAUAGGUAGGGCAGUGAGGGCAGAGCAAAAAUUGUAGGACUUAAGAGGAAGCUGGUGGAGGCUUACAAGAGGGAGGAGAUAUACUGGAGCCAAAAGGCUAGAAUUAAAUGGCUCCAGGAGGGUGACAAAAACACCAGCUUUUUCCAUGCUAGUGUAAUGAGCAGGAGGAAGCAGAAUAGGAUUAAUGGCUGAAGAGGAGAAGGGGAGUGGUGUAGGAAUGAAGGAGAGAUGGGGAGGAAAUUGUGGAUUACUUUCAGCAGUUGUUCACGACUGAUGGUCCAACUGAUUUCAGUGCUAUUCUGGAGGAGAUCCCACAGUCCAUAACUGCUGACAUGAACAGGAAGUUGACAAGGCUAGUCUCUGAUCAGGAAAUUAGUCAUGCUGUUAAUUCCAUGCAUCCAAACAAGGCUCCUGGACCAGAUGGUAUGUCCCCUAUCUUUUUUCAAAAAUUUUGGCAUAUUGUCAAGAGUGAUGUUAUUAGUGCAGUUCAUAGUUUUUUUCACUCUGGUCAUAUUCUAAAAUCCAUAAAUGAGACUUUGAUCAGCCUUAUUCCUAAAACUGACUCCCCAAAUCUGAUUACUGAGUUUAGACCUAUCAGUUUGUGUAAUGUUACUUACAAGAUCAUCUCAAAAGUUCUAGUCAACAGAUUUAAGACAGUGCUAGAUUGUUGCAUUAGUUCCUCGCAAUCAGCUUUUGUGCCUGGCAGGCAGAUUCUGGACAAUGUACUAGUGGCACAUGAGAGUAUUCAUUUUCUUAACAAUAAGAGAACUGAGAAAGAUGGUUAUAUGGCUGUCAAACUUGAUAUGUCUAAGGCUUAUGAUAGGGUCGAAUGGGUGUUUCUGGCUAAGAUGAUGCAAAAAAUGGGUUUCUGCCCAGCUUGGAUCCAUUGGAUCUUAGAGUGCAUCACUAGUGUUUCCUAUUCUGUGAAUGUUAAUGGAGGGAAAAGGGGUUUUAUAAAGCCUUCUAGAGGCCUAAGGCAGGGGGAUCCCCUAUCCCCCUACCUGUUCCUGAUCUGUGCAGAAGGGUUCUCUGCCUUGCUUAGAAGAGCUAAUAGGCAAGGCAGAAUGUUUGGUAUGAAGAUUGCUAAUGCAGCUCCUAGCUUGUCUCAUCUCUUCUUUGCAGAUGACUCGUUAAUCUUCUGCAAAGCAAAGGUGGGGGAGGCUGUGCAGCUCAUGCAGGUGCUGGAAGAGUAUGGACGAGCAUCUGGCCAGUUGAUCAACAAAGAAAAAUCCUCCAUCUUUUUUAGCAAAAAUGUCAAAGGGAGGAGAAAGGGAGAGGUGCUUAAGGAGCUGGAAGGCAUGAGGGAGGUCCAUCAGAGCAAGUACCUUGGGCUUCCUAUGGUUAUAGGAAGAUCAAAGAGACAAGUGUUUGAGUUCAUUAGACAGAAAGCAAUUAAAAGACUUGGGGGUUGGAAGGAAAAACUUCUAAGCCAAGCAGGAAAGGAGACUUUGUUGAAGUCUGUCAUUCUAGCUUUCCCGGCAUAUGUGAUGUCUUGUUGUAGGCUGCCAAAGGCAUUAUGUCAGAAUGUGUGCUCAGAAAUGGCCAGAUUCUGGUGGGGCCAGAGGGAGGAUGAAAAGAAAGUUCACUGGAUAGGAUGGAAUAGAAUGACAGAUAUCAAAGCUGAAGGGGGCCUGGGGUUUAGAGAUUUACAGGACUUCAACUUGGCAUUAUUGGGGAAGCAGCUAUGGAGAAUUUUGAUGCAGCCUAAUUUGCUGGUGAGUAGAGUUAUGAAAGCAAGGUACUUUGGUGGGAAAUCCAUUUGGGAUACACUACCAAAGGGCUCAGAUUCAUGGUGCUUGAAGAGCUUACUGAGUGCCAGAGGGGUGCUGGAGGAAGGACUCAGAAGGAGGGUGGGGGAUGGGGAAUCUAUUAAAAUCUGGGAGGAUAGGUGGUUGCCAGGGGUUGAGGAUGGGAAGAUAAGGUCUCCAAGGAAGGCUGAUAGCAAGAUUCAGAGGGUUAGUGAGUUGAUCAAGGAAGGUAAGUGGGAUAGAGAGCUACUGAGGCAGGAAUUUGAGGAGAUGGACAGGUUACAAAUUCUAAAAAUACCACUGAGUUUGGGGAAGGUUAUGGAUAGGACCUAUUGGGCAAAAUCAAGUUCUGGUGUGUAUUCCGUCAAGACUGGCUACAAACUAAUCAAGGAAAUGAAGCGAAGCCAGUGUCAGCACAAAGGAACUUCAGAACCAAGUAGCAGUAGGAUGAUCAAGUCUCAGAAUUGGAGCUUUCUGUUGGGAUUGAGCAUGCCAAAUAAACUCAAACACUUCAUUUGGAAAUGCUUGCAAGGAAUAUUGCCAACAAAUGCAGUGGUGAAAGGGAAGUGUGGUAAAGGGGAUCAUGUGUGCAAGUGCUGUGGUGAUAGCUCUGAGACAUUAGAGCAUAUGUUUUUUCUGUGCUGUACUGCUAGAGCAAUCUGGAAGGUGGCUCCGUUGAGGUGGGAUGGAUUAGAGGAGUUUAGGAACAGUUUUUGGCAUUGGUAGGAAGAGCUCAGGGGGGCUGUCUCACGAGAGGGAGGAAGGGAACACAUUACUCUUACGGUACACAUCUUGUGGCAGAUUUGGAAAGCUAGGAAUAAUAAGCAAUUCAACAACAGCAGUAGAGAGCCUAUAGUGGUGGUAAAUAAGGCAUUAAUGGAAUGGAAUGAGUUUCAACUGGCACAAGGGGGGAGCAAAACAUGACAUUUUGUUAGUGGGAGAGCAGGGGAAGGACAGGAGAUGGGUUGCACCGCAAGAUGGCUGGAUCAAGCUCAACACUGAUGCAGCUUUGGACCAAAAGCACAACAAGGGAGGGUGGGGAGUAGUGGCCAGGAACAGCUCAGGGGAAUUGGUGGGCGCAUGGGCAAGACCAACUGAAGGCUGUGCUGAGGCGCAAGUGGAGGAAGCUCUGGCAAUAAGAGAAGCUAUGAUAAUAGCCAAACGAAUGGGAUGGAGGAAGGUGGUGCUGGAAUCAGAUUGCAAGUUGGUAGUCGACAAAAUCAAUGCCAGGGAGGAGGAAGUCAGUAUAGCCACAAUUCAGUUGGACAUUUGGAGAAUUAUGAAAGAUUUUGAUAAAUGUUGUUGUUCCUUUACUAGAAGGAGCAACAACUAUGUAAGUCACUAUUUAGCAAAGUUUGCUAUAACUCUGAUUGAUGUAGCUGAAUGGAAGUUUAGCUUCCCAGCAUGGUUGCUUGAGGUAGCUCAGGCUGAUCUACAGGAGCAAUUGCUCUGACUUUAUGAUUAGGCAAUGUUAUCUUUUGGAAAAAAAAAAAAAAAGAUACUAAUCACAAGUUGAGACCCUCCGCUUCUUUGGAAGUUUUAAUUAACGGGCAAUGGGCAUCAGAAAUGGAAUAUAUGACCAUAUUCGACAUGGCACUUAGUCCUGUAAGUUCUAGAGAUGGCCCCAUUGAAUAUAGAAUAGAAAUAUACAUAAUAUGAUAUGUUCGUAUUAAUUGAACAUAUUCGCAAAUCAUAAAAUAUAUCAACCAUGUCAUGUCAUUUCAUAAACAUAACUCAUAAACAAAUACAUGUAAUAUCCGACUUCUGAGUACUCAUUCUAGAGAUUGAACCCCUUCUAGAAGGGUGAUCAAAAGGUUUCGCGAUUAUCCCUUGAUCACAUAACAUAAGUCAAUCCGUUAGACUCUAUACUGACUCCUAUGACUAACAUAACAUCACAUAUUAGGACUAUAACCCGGCCCGUACCAUCUAUUUUUUGAUUGUUUAGAGCUCAAUUUAUACAUCACAUGCAUUUUCAUUUUAUUCCAUGAAAAUAUGCCACUCGUUUCGUAAUUCCAUGCUUGCAAAAAAAGUAUACCCAUUUCUUCAUAUAUCGAAAUAAAGCUCUUAUUUGAAUAAUAUUUAUAUUUAAUAUUUUGAAAAUACAGAAAGGUAAGUAUCACUUAUCUCAAUCUGCUCGAUUGAAGAGAUUCUUAACAUGUUCGUGAACUCGCUCCAAACCUAUAAACAUUGACAUAUAUAACCUAAUUAGCUCAUAUAUCCGGUUCUUAAAGUGCUUAUUUUUAUGUUGAAUAACCCUAAAAACAUGCUUGGACAUUCUCUAAAAUGUGCUCAUAUAUUUUCCUGAAAUAAAAGAUUUUCCGCUUUAAAAAGUUUGCUAAUUUAGACAGUUUACCUUUUUAGACAGUUUCAUGAACAAUUAAAAAAAAAAAUCCGCCAACCAUGUAUGACCCAAAUUAUGAAGAUGCAGUAGACCGUGUGUUUUUAUCUAUUCCUUGAAUUCGUGCAUCUGGUAAACUAGUAGUUCCGUGGCUUUAACCAGAUCUCUUGGUCUCUUUCUUUGUUCCCUAUUUUUUUUUCUUUUUCCUAAAAAUUUCUAGAUGUUUCAUUGGUACUGGAAAUCAGUAAUACUACUGAUACUAGUUAAAUACUUGUGUCUUAUUAUACUAAACCUAGACACGUCAGAAACAACACUAGUAUUGAUUGCAAACUUCCAUGCAGAAAAAAAAAAAAAAAAAAAAGACUCUGUAUAACAACACUUAUAUAGAUGGUUGGCUUAUACAUUCAUUCAUAAAUUUCAUCACUUCAACCGAAAGAAAUAAAAAUUUUUAUCAUGAUAAUACAAUAUUCCGUCCUAUGUCCAAAACCAUAUAGAGAAACCCAUCCUAAAUUUCAAAGCUUGAGGAAGAAAUUCUACAAGAAAAUUAACAAAGGUUCAAGUCUUGCGUACUCUUAAUUCCAGGUUGUCAAAUCCCGAAUCAUCUUCUCACCUUACAUCUCUUGUUCUCUCUAUUUCCCCAGACGAUGCAGGGAAUUUUCCUAGACGAUGCAGACACACAAAUUCUCCUUAUUCUUGGCAAUUGAUGGAUAAGAAAAUUCAGGGGACGUUCAUUUUGAUAAUGGUUGGUAAGUCACAUAAUAUUCUCCCGAACUUCCUCUCACUAUCCUUAAAACUACCCACUAACCUUAUGAUUUAGAAUAUGAAUCUCUGAUUGAGAAAAGUUGGAAGAGUCUAGAAAAGAUUUAGAAUUUUUUUAGUUUUUUUUUUUUUUUUGAGAUAUCAAUUGUCAUAAAAUAAUAUCUUACUACAAUUUGAAUGCCCUUUGGAGUAGAGCUAAUUAAUUUAAUUCUUUUUGUCAUAUCUUUUUUCCAAGGACUUUAGAUUCUAUUUCUGCCAUUUUCAGUUGUGAGAUUAUUUAGCUCUCAGUAUAAAACAAAACAGGCUGUGGGCUUCUCUUCUAAAAUUCUCCAUGGCGGAUAAAUAUGAUCUUGAAUUAAGAAUAGGAUGAGUUUUACUUUAGUACUGACGAUUUUAGGUAGCAUGAUUGUAACAAGGUACACCCAGUCGAUGUCAAUGCUAGGUACAAAAACUUCAUCAUCCUUGAACAUAUCCCUUUUGACAAGUUAAGGAGCUAAAAACAAAACGAGAGAGAUUAAAUUAACCAUAAGGUUGCUUUUGAUGCGAGAGCCGGCUAAUUUGAAAUACUUGAGGAAGCUGCUGUGGACUUACGGGGAAAGCCAAUUAGUACACAAUAAUACACCAUUUUUUAGAGAUGGAAAUCUGCAAGUGGUGGAGUUCGGUAAGGCUUUGCGGUUGUAAUUGUGGGUUCCAGGCAUCAAAAUAAUGCAACAUAGAUUAUUCAAGAAUAUAUAAGGUUUGAUUGGUAAGAAAACUUUUUAUACAACUGCAGGAGACGAUGACAAUGUGGUGCAGCUAGCAUAAGGCAUGCAACAAUUGUAGUUUAGUGCAGAUUAGGUGUCAGAUGUGAGUGAAAGUAAUUUAGUGCUUUCUGGGCUCAUUCCAAUAUGAUUAUGGUUAAAUGCCAUGUGUUUUGCACGUGACCAUGAGAUUUUUUAUUUGGAUAAAAUAUAAAAAAGCCCCUUAAGGUUAAGUGAAUAUACAAAAAAGCCACCUAUAGUUUCAAAACAUAUACUCCGGUAUCUUGUGGUUUGAACUAAUUUAAAUAAGCAACGAAAAUCGUUAGAAUUAAUGAGCUUGAAAUACACGCGCUUCUUUUGCGAAUAUUUGUAUCAGAAACAAAUAAAUUUUUUAUUAAUAGACCUAUUACACCCUUAGAGUUAUAAUACAGAAAAAUCCCUUGUGCUUAAGCAAAUCUAUAGAAAAAGUCCCUUAUAAUUUCAAAUCAUACAAUCCAGUACCUCGUGGUUUGAACUAAUAUUAAAAAUCGACAAAAAUUAUUUAAAUUAAAGAGUUUGAGGCUUCUUGACAUGGAAAAUAAUUUUUUAAAUCAAAAUUUUUAGCUAAUAUACCUAUUAAACCCCUUAGAACUCAUAAAAUUUUCAAAAACAAUCCAAAACUCCCAAAUACGACUCACCUUAUUUCUAUACAUAAAAUAAAUAAACAAAAGUUUCCCAAUAAAACUCACCUUGUUUCUAUACACAAAAUAAAUAAAUAAAAACUCUCAAAUACAACUUACCUUAUUCCUAUGCACAAAAUAAAUAAAUAAAAGCAAAAUAUAACCAUAGAGGGUUUUUCCGUAGGUUGGCUUAAUCACAAGGGAUUUUUCCAUAAGUUUGUUUAACAUGAUGGUUGUUAGAAGGUCUUUUAUUGCUUAUAUAUACUAGACAACUCACUUGCAUCAACCCAACAAAGAAUAUCAUACAAAUUACAUUGUUAAGAUAUUUGUCCACUGCUAAAACCCAACCAAAAUAUGUAUGUCUAUUUGUGCUCAUAGCAGUCAAUAUGCCAAAACUGUCACCAUCAAUCAGAUAUCUCUCUAAUAUUCUAUCAUUAUUUAACAAUUCAUAUAUCUGAAUAAAUUUUUCUCUCUCUUCUGUCAAGUUUUCUCGCCUUCUUGGUUUAUUGACCAAUCAAAUCCUUCAAUCUGACAACCCGUAGCACUCAACAAAUUUGACAAAAUUCCUCUCCGAUCUCUAUCUUCACACUCGCAACAAUCUAACAAUUUUCGGACCAAUCUUAUGAUCAAAUCCUUCACUAACUACGCAUUUCAGAGCUAAAUUUGUGGCCUAAUUCGAUCAACUAAAUACUUUUCGACAACUUUAUGUCCUAAUUCUCUAGCAGUAGAAACGCCCAAGACUAACCUCAUAAUCUAGCUCUAAUACCAAUUGUAGAACCCAAAAUUUUAGGAUUCUAAUAAUAAUCAAUAUAUGCAAGGUUACAAUAUUGAAGGGAUAAAACAAAACACUCAAAACAUAUGUGGGAGAGAAGAAAAUAAUCAACUCACAAUAUUAUUAAAAUUUCAAACAAUGAAAAAAGUUACACCAUAAUAGAAAACGUGACAAACUCUACUAGAUUCUCUCUAGAAAACACCCUAAAUAAUGUCCUAUUUAUAUUCUACCAGAUUUGUUUAGAAAGAAACCACUUGCACAAGAAAUUACCAAAUAAAACAUAAAUUCUUAAAUUGCACAACUAUUAAAACCUAACUCGAAUAAAACUAAUAAAUAAAUAAAUAAACACUUUUAGAUUUGGUUUAGUUUGCCAACACUUUUCUUCAUUAGAAAUUCCCAAACAAGUUAACGAUAAAAAUGUUAGGAAGAAUUAAGGACACAGGAAAUAUUGAAGAAAUUAAGACUCUGCAAAUUCAAUACGUGGAAAUCCAUAGAAAAUUUUUUUUGGAAGAUGCAAAAGCAUUAGUAAACCAAAGAAAAUUUUUUGUGAUUAUGUGUUACAAUCUUAUAAUUUCCAGAGAGAGUUGCAGUUUUAGUCUCUAAUGUUUGGUCUAUCAGCUAAAUUGGUCAGUGACCCAUCUUAAAGUGAUAAUCCAUCUUUUUGAAUAAACAAUUCAAAAGUGAAUUAAAGAAUGAUUAAAGGUAAAGGGUUGCUGCUUAAGCUUCUCAAUCAUAGCAUGCAGCGAUUGGCAUUUGAGGUGGGCAUAAGGUGUAAACUGACGAGGGAAGUUAACAAAUAUUCGUAGAUCCUAUGCAGACUCCAUCGUUGUACAUAUAAACAAAUCUUAAUUCUGAAAUAAAACAAAUAUGAUUUAAUGGAAAAACAUUGUGAGGAUUUACAUCAUUUUACAUUUUAUACUUGAGGCACAUGUCGUGAUGAGGAAUAAUAGAUUCAUUCUAUUCCUUUGUGCUUCAGUGUGUACACUUUGUAUAGUUUUUUUGGCCGUUAUACAUGCAUUGUUAAGGUAUACCAUAUCAAUAUAACUUACCAUUUUGAAAAGAAAACAAUAUAAAACAAAUAUGACAAAGAAAUUCAAUUUAAUUCUAUGAUGUUUUACUAGUCGCCUACGUCUGCGAUUUGAGUCAUCGAUGAAUAGAUGGAAUACCCCACGCCUGAUCUUUUUUGAAAGGAAAAGAAUAAAAGCAAAAUAAAGAAGGUAAAAUAAUUAUUAAAUAUUUAAUAAGACUUUCUGGCUUGCGUCCACAAGGCACUUGUGUCCAAAAAUAUCCACACACAAUUCCUAGGUACCAAGUGUGAUCAGUAACGCGUUUUUUAUAGGGACAAGCUGAGAGUCUGAGGCUCCCCGGGGCAGCUGAGAGUCAGACAGUUUUCGUAGUUUCCUCUUUAGGAGCAGAUCUUAAAUUCGACUUCCGGGAGCUACUGUGUUGUGAUCCUUGGGGCAGGACUCUCGCAGUUUGGAAAGAGUAGUUUGGCCUGUUCAGGUAAUUUUGGUCAGGUCAGGAUACUUCUCAGUCGAAAAAAAAAAGAAGCUAAGAGUCUGAGACCCCUUACGAGGAAAUGGAUGCCUUUUGACUGUGGUUUAUCUUGAAGUUAUGAGAAAUAAAAAAGCUACAGCUUUCUGAGAUAUUCUACGAUUGCAACGGUGAAGUCUCACCAAACUAUUCCACCACAUGCAGAUUUCCAUACCUAGAAAAUGGUGGAUUAUUGUGUACUAAUUAUCUGUUGAAGUGGAAAUGUGCAAAGGUUUUGGAAUCAAGUAUGCCUGUUUUCCUUAUUGUCUUUUCGAUACGUGUUCGCUUGGAAAUUUCUUAUUCUCAUGCUUUAUCCCCACCGCCACAUGAGAAAAGAUGUUAACAGUAAAGGAUGUCCAAAAAAUGAAAGAAAAGUGGAAUGUAGCAUAUAAAAUGAAAAUGGCUUUCUUACUCUUAAUUUAAGAUACGAGACAAAUAAAUAAGUACACAUUAAAUCCCUAUUUAAAAAAUAAUUAAUUACAAAAUCCAAAGAAUAAGUGUAUCAUAUUUAUUUAGAUUUACAUGUUUGGAUUGCAAAUUUUUCCAAAAAAAUUGUUACUUUUUCCGUGAUCACAUUUUUCAAUCAUCUUUCUACCUUACAUAUGUCAAAUCGUUUUCAGAAAAUAGUAAUCCAAACGAGAUUGAAUUUGAAACUCGUAGUAUAAAACCUAUUUACCAAAUAUCCCUUAAACUUUAAACAGUUUUUUUCUUUUGAAGGAUAAAACUUUAAAUAGUUAAUGCAAGAAACAUUUGGGGUCUAUCGUGUUGGUAAAUUCAAAUGUGAGGCAAAAAGUGGAGCUGUGUGGAAUGGAUCCUUGUAUACCGUCUAAUAUCUUGCAGUAAUUGAGCAAAAGUUGUGGACUACAUAAAAAUGUAAAGUAAAUCGUCAAAAGCUGUAAAUCAAGCUCAAAGAGUCAAGACCAGUAGGAGUAGUACCAAGGAAGCAAUCCCUUUCUCCUAAGUAAAAAAAUAUAUAUCCUUUCCGAAUCCAUAUUCCAGAAUCGAAUAAUGAUCCUUUAUUUAUUCACUAUUAUAUAUGUUCAAUACUUUAGGGGGCGCUUGGUUCAAGCUUAGGAAUUGGAAUUGUAAUUGGAAUCAUACAAGAAAACUUAGUAUGGGUUUUGGACAAAGAUAUGAUUACAAAUGAGGGUGCUUGGUAAAUAUUGGUAAGAAAUGGGUAUCAAAUUUAAUAAUCAAUUUUUUGCUUUUAAUUUCUUUUUUCUUUUCAUAUCUUUCUUCUUCCUUGUUCAAAUACUUAUCCCAAUUCCCACAUACCCAUCCACCAUAUAUAUAUAUUCAUAUAUAAAUAUAAAUAUUUUGUUUAAAAUAUAUUUAUAAAUAUAUUUAUAUUUAUAUUUAUAUAAAUAUUUUAUUUAUUAUAUUAUAUAAAUUUAUAAAUAUAUUUUAUUUCAAUUUUUUAUAAUAUGUAUAUUAAUAUAUAUAAUAUGUAUAUUUCAAUUUGUAUAUUUCAAUUAUGUAUAUUAAUAUGUAUAUUAUAUAUAUUAUAUCAAUUGAAAUAAAUAUUAUAUAUUUAUAUAUAAAUAUUUUUGUUUAAAAUAUAUUUAUAUAUAUUUAUAAAUAUAUUUAUAUUUAUAUAAAUAUAUAAAUAUUUUUAUUUUAUAUAUAUUUAUAUAAAUAUAUAAAUAUAUUUAUCUCAAUUUUGUUUAUAAUAUGUAUAUUAAUAUAUAUUAAUAUGUAUAUUUCAAUUUGUAUAUUUCAAUUAAUAUUUAUAUUUUAUUAUAUAUAAUUAUAUUAAUAUUAAUAUGUAUAUUUCAAUUAUGUAUAUUAAUAUUAAUAUGUAUAUUAUAUAUAUUAUAUCAAUUGAAAUAAAUAUAUAUUUAUAUAUAAAUAUAUAUUUUGUUUAAAUAUAUUUAUAUAAAAUAUAUUUCAAUUUUUUAUAAUAUGUAUAUUAAUAUAUAUUUAAUAUAUAUUAAUAUACAUAUUAUAAAAAAAUUGAAAUAAAAAAUAUUAUAUAUUUAAAUAAAUAAAUAUUAAUAAAUAGAAACAGAGCUAGUAUAUAUUUAAAAAAAUACCAAAAAUAAAAAUUUUUUUUUAAAAGAUUUUGGAAUCAAAUGUGGGAUUCAACAAAACCCUCCAAUCUAGUUGGGGAUUGAGAGUGGCUGAUUUUUCAUGAUUCAUUCCAAGAUUUCAAAACCCAUACCCAUUAGCCAAGCAACAAUUUUGGGACUCAAUCCAAUUCUUGAUUCCUAUACCCUCCAACCAAGCACUUGAGUAAUGGAUCACGGAAUCCAGCACCAGUUGAUUAAGAAGUUGCUCAGUAAUUCUUCUUUACGAUGUGGAACCGACGCGAAUCUGUAAUCUUCUUGGUCUCCAACACUGCACACUUUUGUCCUUUUAUUUCAGUUGUUUUCUAUUCUACAUAUUUCAAGGAUUAAUUUCACUUUACACCACUCAAUUAUGCCUGAAUUCCUACUUAAACCACUGAACUUUAAUUACUUUAUUAAAGUAUAAUUUGUCUCACUUUGGUCUUUUAAUGUACAAAUUCUGUCCUAUUUUAAUUCCUAAAUUAUAAAAUCUAUUUCACUUUAAUCCUAAAGAACGAUAUUUGUCUCACUUAAAUAUAAUAUCUGUCUCACUUUUGGCAUUAAUUUUACCAAAGUGGGACAAAAUUUUAUUUUAAGGACAAAAUGUCUCAUUUUAAAGUUUAGGAAUCAAAGUAAAAAUCUGAGCAUGGGUAAAAGGUGAAAAGUGGAAUUAACCCUAUAUGAAUUAGAGGAAUGUGUUUUAUUUUUUAUUACCAUUGUUUGGAUGUAUUAUUUGAAAUAUUAUUUGGAAUAAUUACUUUAGUACUUUUUGUGAUGUGAUGUAUGUGAGAUAAAAAGGUGAUUGGGAAUAUAAAAAAGUGGGUUAAAAAAUGUGUUUAUAAUGCAAGCGAAAUAUUAUUUGAGAUAAUUUGUUAUCCAAACAAACUCUUUUUUUCAACCUAAGGUAGACUAAGUGCUUAGGAAAGUUGCCAAGCCGUGUGUUCUUAGCUGAUGUGUCGCUUUGUGGUUGGUGAAAAAGUUGUAGUCCUCCUCCUCCACGUGGUGGAUGCCUGCUUUGUGAUGUUGGUUGUGUUUUGACUAAAUAGAUUGUGUGUGUUUUGACGGGCUGUGUUUUGACUGCUUGCAUGGAACCGAAAAAAGGAUAACCUGCUUGUAUGGAACACAAGCAAUGGGUUAUAGUGGUCAUAAUUAUAAUAGCUGAUAAUGAUGCUACUGUCCUUCCAAUUUUACCUAAUGUCAGCUUUUUGGUGAGAUUAGAGUGUGUAUUUGGUCAAUGUGACAGCUCAUUAAGUUACCUAUUUACCCUUGUUUUAAAUGUUUAUUUACAUUGUCUUUUUGUGAGUUGCCUUAGUUUAGUUGUAAUUGGGUUAUAGAUGUCAAAAUAACGCUUAGUUACUGUGCACUUUUUAAAACAGGCCUCUGUUCUUUGCCUCUGCUGGUUAUCAACGUCCUCCUUCCGUGCGCUACCGUCUAUACCGUCUGUCCUGCAUUCUGCAGCUGCUAUCAUGCUUAGUGGUUGGCUUCCGCAUUCGGUCACCAUUUUCCCUCUCUCGUUCUGUUGUUUCAUUUCAUCAUCAACUAUAAGGUUGGUUUGCUCAUUUUUUCCCUUUGCUCGUUCCUCUGUUCUUUUGAAUCCUUCGUUUCUGUUCGGCAGUCUCGCGAUAAUUGUCUGGGUCAGUUUUUUGCUUAUCGAUUUAUAUGUUUUUUUGCUAUUUCUGUUUAUGAGCUGUGGCAGCAUUACCUAUUUUAAUCACUGACUUUGUUGUUUUUUCCCUUUUCCCUGCUAAAAAAUGCUGCUGUAUAUAUGCCUUUGGUUUCCUGGUAAGGUCAUUGUUUUAAAAAAAAUAAUUCCCGCCUUUCUAUUUUGCUCUCUCCAGUAUCUCACCUUUCUGUUGUUGUCGUUUUUUCCAUCUUUUGCAGCUUUAUUUGAUGUCCGUGUUUUCGGAUUUUUGCUGCCAUUUUCGACCUGCUGGGGAGCCCGCUGUGGACCUGACCUUGUGCUAUAUCUUAUGCCAGCAAUUUCCUUGCAGGUCAGAUGCUUGUUUUGUGGUUUUGUUUUCCUCUUCAUUCCUUGUGCCUGCAUUAGUUCAUCGCUGUUUUUUCCCUCUUUCCUGGUCAUUCCGCACUUCAUGUAUUUUCUCCAACAUGCAUGGCUUCUUCGCAUCUUUUUGCUUCGUUCAUCGAAUUAAUUGGAGUUGUAUCUGCUUCCUCAAAAAAUUUAAAAAAAAACCUUUUAGACCAUAGGGAAAAAGACGGCUACAAUGACAGAGCAGUACAAAUUCUACCAUGCAAAAGAAGCAGCUCCUCUGGCUAUCACUCGACAGAUUUCUACAGCCUAUGGAAUCCCAAAUUGAAUAAACAAUGCACAGACAAAUCAAACCAUAGGCAAACAGAAGCCAACCUGACUAUCACUCUCAAAAUUCUUUUUUAAGCAUUGUCACUAGGAAAGCGCAUGUUGCAUUCUUAGCCUUAAUCAAACACCCUUUACAUGCCAAGAAAAGUCAAAAUCAGUCACGUAAUACUCUGAACAUACCCUUUACUUGCGCUAUACACUGAAAUCUAACUUCUGAGUUUACAUGCCACAGCUAAUUCAAAAGGCCAUUUGCACAUUGAGGAAAAUUGAACUACUGAUUAGUCAUGCAUGCACCAAUCGCGUGAGGCUAGAGUUGCUCUUAAUACUUACACUUCUGAUGCUUUCUGAACAGAAUAGAACUAUUAGAGCUAUUUAAGCAAUCUUAUAACUUACAAAUCCACAGCCUAGAUUUACUAAUUCAAAUCCAGCAGGCAAAGCACUGAGAAAAUAAACCAACAUCAUGCAUGCAACCAGCUUCACCACUAAACAAUAAGUGAUAUUGUACAGUCCAAAGCUAAACUCAAAUACUAAAACCAUUAAAACUCCCUAAUAAAAUCACCGACAGAGAUAGAGAGAGCAAAGAAAAAUAUAAAAGUCUUAGGACUUUAAUGAUCAUUAAACACACGCAGUGCUUUAAGCACUAUGCAGGAUGAGUAGUGAUUCAACUAUCAGCAUUCUGACCUUCCAACCACAUGUAGCGUGAGAUGCUUUCUGAUGUAGCUUCUGAGUCCGUAGGGAGGGUUCUUUGAAUGAGCUCAUGCUUUCAACAAUAAGCAUCCCACACUAUUUGAGCAUAUGAAUUCACGUGUGUUGUGUUCUUUCUUUUGGAUUCUACAAUGUCCUUUUAUGCUCAUUCUUGGUUCUUACAAAGUCAUCGUGUUUGGAUUGUUCAAUUCUUUGGAUUUUUCAUGGUUUGGUUAGUAUUUUUCUCUGUUGCAACUUGGUACUGUGGCUGCUGUUCUAGCAGGCCUUCAUCGCUUGCUUGUAUAAUUUCUUAUACCCUGUUCUUUAUAGCAGCUCACGCGUUUUGAGCUUUUCCCUUUACGUUCUACUAUGCUCUUUUAUACUUAUUGUCAGUUCUUACAAGGGCAUCAUAUCUGAAUUGUUACUCCUUAGUUUUUUUUUUGAGAUGGAUAAAAAUGCUAUGCGCCGGAAGCGUUAUGCAGAAAUGUCACCCACUGCCAAGGCUGCACUUUCACGUCGGAGGCGUGAGGCCAGGCUUCUUAAGAAAAAGAAUAAAUCAUCGCGCUCUUACCUUCGUACCGUGCCACUCGGGCAUGUUGAAACUGGUGUUUGUUUCUCUAAUUCAGCUCCUACGCGUAACGACUCGUUAGCAGCUUGUCAUGGUCAGGUUGUCGAUAGUCGUUCUGUUGCGCUUCAAGAAUCGUUGAACUAUACGUCUGCCGCUAUGCCUGCCUCGCUCUGUCUAUCUAGUCAAGCUUGUUCCUCUCCUAUUGUCCCACAUUUAGUGCAAUAUAGUUUGGAUUCUGAAGGUAUAUAUACCAUGGCACUAUUUUAGUUACCUGCCCCAAAACCAUUUAUAGUUAUUUCAUUGUUCUCCCCAUGUCUGCAUUUUGGCCUGCCUUCAUUUUCUGUGUGCUCUUCUGAUGCAAACUAGCCCAUCUAUUUGUACACUUUGCAGCUCGUCUCCUGAAUCGUACACUUCACUGUCGGCAAGCUGACCCACAAAGUAGUUCUCCAAAACAGAAAGAGCCGGGCUCUCUCUCCCUUCAUCUUUCAGCUACUGUUCUCUCAUUCAUGCGAAUGCCUUAUCUAAAGCAUUGGAUCAUCCUCCACAUAACAUUGUUAUAGCCUCGAGCCAGGAACAGCAAACUUCUGAUGCUCUGAGUAAAAAUGCACAUAAUACCUCCACAUCUGUUAACAAUUUAAUGAUUGAAAUUCUAAGUCCCCUCGAUGCAGCUCCUUCAAAUCACUUCUCCAGAAACUGUGUUCCUCCUUCUACUGCAUUAAAUCUCCCAUCUAAAAGUACCUGCCAGUGUACAGGUAUUGCAGCACUUAGAAAUAGUUUCCCUUGUGUUUCUUCUUCACUUCCACUAUUGCCGUCUUCUGUCUGCUAUUUCUAUAUGCAUAACACCAUCUAUGUCUCUGUCUCGCUACAGCUUCAUGCAGUGGCAGAAUUCCGUGUAGAAAACGUCCCCCACGAAAUUGUUCUGACAAAAAGAAAAAAACUGAACUUCUGGGAUCCCAUUGUUUACCUCAUGACCCUAUGCAUGGGUCAAAUCUUAAGUCCCUUGACUCUUCCAGUACUUCAUGCUCAGGCCACUUAAUUGAGCAGUUUCCAUCUUCUUCUAUUUCAUUCAGUCCUCAGUCUUUUUGCUCUACUCAGCCUACAGGUAUUACUCGUUCAUUUUGUUGAUCCUUUUUCUUCCCUUUCGUUUUCAACCUGUACCUUUUACAAAAAAAAAAUAUCUCUCUUCUAAAGCAAUACUUUGUGUUAUGCCCGGCUUAUUAGAAUUUGCGCUCCUGCGCUUAUAGAUGCCCUGUUUCUUUAAGAACAAACAGUUGUUCCUUCUAAAAAAAAUUACAACGGUUUGCCAGGCAACACGAAUGCUACCAGCAAAUCAUCUCGUCCUCAUAUUGGUGUUACAGCUGCUACAACGAAUCUUUCAAACGUUAUAUUGACAACAAGGAGGCAAUCAGGUUGCCCUUUCUUUGUUUGUCAUAUUUGUGACCUUUCCCCUCGUAUUCCCUUCAUUCUGUGCUUCUUUCAGAUUUCCUUGCGAACAUCAUUCCCAUUAUAUAGCUUAAAUUGCAGGGACACUUACUGAACGCCGUCGUUCAAAAAAAUCUAGGAUUGAUGAAAUUGCUAAAGAGUCUUUAUUGCUCCCUGAUGCUCUUGAUUGUCAGUAUUGUGGAGCUAAAAGAUUCUAUUUGGAACCCCCUAGCUUUUGCUGCUCCCAAGGAGAAAUUUCUAUUGUUGCUCCUCCAAUGCCUUACGCUCUAAAGCGUCUAUUCAUAGGAGAUGAUGAAGAAUGUGAGCAUUUUAGGAAAUUAUCUCGCACAUAUAACAAUAAUGUGUCUUUCACUUCAUUUGCUGCAAAGUAUGAUCCAGAAUUGACAAGGAAUACAAAGGGAGUAUAUACCUUUCGUGUCCAGGGGCAGGUUUAUCAUUUUUUGAAUAGUUUAUCACAGCCUGAUGAUAGACCCUGUGGAAUCCACCUCUACUUUUUUGAUACCGAUGAAGACUUAAUCAGGCGAGUCGCUGCUUCUGACAAGCUUCGCGAGAGCACUUUGAAGCUUUUGAUGGACAUACUUUCUAAUAAUCCUUAUGCUAGAUUCUUUAAGGACCUAAGUGAUGUCCCAGAUCUUGAAAAGCAUAGUGUUGUCCUUAACUGCUUUCCUGGCCUUGACCAGCGCAUUUAUAAUCUUCCUUCUGCUUCUCAAGUCGCUGCUAUAUGGACUGAAAAUGAUGAUGAAUCAGUCGAUAGGCAACCGCAUAUUCUCGUAUAUAGCCGAUCAAAUACUGCUCACAAGGUCCAGCAUUAUUAUGCUUGUUAUGAUCCUUUGCAGUAUCCUCUCUUAUUUCCACGUGGUGAAUCUGGAUGGCACCAUGGAAUUAAACGAGCUUAUAAAAGAAAACGAACUGAUCAUUCCUUUGAUGAAGAGGUUAUCAUUGAUCCCUCUUCUGUGCAUGAACCAUCUGAACUUAUGGAUUUAGAAAAAAGAGGCAAGUACAUGUCCUGCAUUUUAUAGUUUUUCAGCUUACCGGUUACGAAAUAAACUUCUGUUUACGUGUAGAUUUUUUUCAUUUCCUAUAGCUGCUGAUCAUCGGAAAGAAGGAUGAGCAUACUGUAUCGGCUAGAGAGUAUUACUGCUAUAGGUUCCAGAUCAGGAAGAAUGACGAAUCUAUGCUAUUGCAUACUCUUAGAUUGCUGCAGCAAUUUUCAGUUGAUUCCUAUGUCAAAAUUGAAACAUCACGCCUGGAUUUUCAGCGCAAGAGGCAAAAUGAUAUUCGGACAGAAAUCCUUCAAGGAGUGCUAGAUAGUGUUUCCAUUGGUCAAAGCGAAGGCUUAAAAGUUGGCCGAAAAGUGAUAUUACCAGCUUCUUUUAUCGGUGGCCCAAGAGAUAUGAGGCGACGAUAUCUUGAUGCAAUGGCAUUGGUACAAAAAUAUGGAAAGCCGGAUAUUUUCCUGACCAUGACAUGUAAUCCAAUGUGGAAAGAGAUUCAAGAUAAUCUGCAAUUUAAAGAAAAACCUCAGGAUAGGCCAGAUCUUUUGUCUAGAGUGUUUAGAGCAAAAUUUGAAAUGCUUAAGGCUGAACUUUUAGACAAGAAAAUUUUUGGAGAAGUCGCUGCAUGCGUUUAUGUUAUUGAAUUCCAAAAACGGGGCUUUCCUCAUGCUCACUUAUUAUUAAUCUUGAAGCCGCAAUUUAAAUUGCUUAAUCCUGAGUCAUACGAUAGAAUAGUUUCUGCUGAGCUUCCUGAUCCUAAGCAGUUCCCUCAUUUGUAUUCUCUUGUUCUUAAGCACAUGGUUCAUGGACCUUGCGGGCACAUGGGUAAGAAUAGCCCUUGUAUGAAAGAUGGUAGCUGUAAAAAUCAUUAUCCAAAAAACUUCUGUGAACAUACAACUCAUGCCGAAGACAGCUAUCCAUACUAUAGGCGGCGGAAUGAUGGCAGCAAAAUAACUGUUCGCAGGUUUGAGCUUGACAAUAGAUGGAUCAUUCCUUAUAACCCAUAUCUUUUGGCCUUGUUUGAUUACCACAUGAAUGUGGAAAUCUGUUCCACUUUGAAGCUGGUUAAGUAUUUGUACAAGUACAUCUUCAAAGGACACGAUCUUAUCAGCUUCAAAAUUAUAUCUGACGAUUCCCGUGCCGAUGUCGAUGAGAUUAGAGAAUUCUAGCAGGGAAGAUGGAUUUCGCCCCCGAGGCUUUUUGGCGCAUCUUUGAAUUUAGGCUAAACGAGAUGACUCCAGCUGUCUAUACUCUACAGGUUCACCUACCUGGCCAGCAACUCAUCACUUUCAACAAAAACUCGGACCUUUUACAGCUGAUGAGGAAAAUUGAUUUCUCAAAAACCAUGCUGACUGAGUUCUUCAAAAUGAACAAAACAAAUGAAAGGGCUGAAACCUUGAAGUGCUUUUAUAGAGAAUUUCCAGAGCAUUUUGUUUGGUCUUUUAAAUAUAAAGCUUGGACUGAGAGAAAGCGUAAGAAAGCCAUUGGAAGGCUAGUGGCAAUCAGCCCUCAUGAAGGUGAGAGAUACUACCUUAGACUACUGCUCACUCAUGUUCGAGCACCUACGUCAUUUGAUGACCUCUUAACUAUUAGUGGCCAAAAAAUGGAUUGCUUUAGAGAUGCUGCUUUGGCCCUUGGGCUUUUACAGUCCGAUACAUAUCUACAAUACACUCUUGAAGAAGCAGCUCUUUUUCAAAUGCCAUCCUCUUUGAGACUCUUAUUUGCUACUAUUCUUGUUCAUUGUUCUCCGACAGAUCCUCGAUUUCUUUGGAACAAAUUUCGCUAGAACUCUCUGCAGAUUACCACCGAUCUCACCACCUCUGUUUUUAUACGGCUAAAGAAAUUAGAAAUAAGGCCCUGCAGGAAAUUAAAAAAAUGGUCGAACAAAUGGGUAAGAGUUUUGCUGACUACCAUCUAACUACAGACAUUCCACCAGCUGUUCACUAUGAUAAGCUAACAAAGAGAUUGAAUGUGAAAGAAAUAUUGAAGUUCUAGCAGAGGAUCUAAUAAUGUCUUCGAGGUUAAAUAUUGAACAACAGCAUGCGCUAUGAUUUAAUUCUGCAGUCAGUUUUCUCUCCCAUUGGCCAGAGUUUUUUUGUUGAUGGCCCUGGGGGAACUGGUAAGACUUUCUUAUAUCGGUCCCUUCUAGCUACUUUGAGAUCCCAAGGCCACAUUGCUAUUGCAGUUGCAACGUCGGGUGUCGCAGCGUCUAUUCUUCCAGGAGGAAGAACGGCCCACUCUAGAUUCAAGAUGCCACUAGAUUUUUCUAGAAAUAAAACCUGCCAGAUUAGUAAACAGGGCAGUAUUGCAAGAUUGCUUUUUCAAUCAAGGUUAAUCUUGUGGGACGAGGCUUCAAUGGCAAAACGAGAAAUUGUUGAAGCCUUUGAUGGUUUGCUUAGGGAUAUAAUGGACUGUGACCUUCCAUUUGGAGGAAAAGUAGUUGUUUUCGGUGGCGACUUCCGUCAAACUUUGCCGGUUAUCAAACAGGCAACAAAACAGACUCUUAUCGAAUCCAGUCUUCCUAACUCUCCUUUGUGGCCUAAGCUCCAGAAGCUGCAUUUGACACAAAUAUGCGAGCCAUCUUAGAUCCAGCGUUCUCAGAAUUCUUAUUAAGAAUAGGUGAAGGAAGAGAGCCUGUUGAUAUAGAUGGCGAAAUAACCUUAUCUUUUGAGAUGGUCAUUCCUUAUACUGACAAAGAGAAAUCUUUGAACAGGUUAAACAAUUUGCCCUUUUGAAUGCUAAUUUUAUCAAGCCUUUCUUCUAUACUUCAAUAUUUAUAUAUUCUCACUUAGAUUUGUUACGAACAGGUUGCUGGAAUUUGUUUUUCCAGAUUUAACAGCCUAUUUAAAAGAUCCUUAUAGUAUGAUCAAUAGAUGUGUCCUUGCACCAAAAAAUACCUCAGUUGAUGAAAUAAAUGACAUGCUAAUCAGAAGAUUUCCUGGGAAUCUUCAUGUGUAUGUCAGUUCUGAUAGAACUGUUGAUCCACGCCAUCAAGGAGACUAUGAAGAUUUCUUGAAUUCUCAAAAUCCAAAAGGCCUUCCUCCUCACAAACUGGUGCUCAAAGAAAAUGUCCAAUCAUGCUUAUGAGAAACCUCAACCCUACUGAAGGAUUAUGCAAUGGUACACGACUCAUUUGCAGAGAGCUAAGACAAAAUACUAUCUGUGCAGAGAUAGCUUUUGGCCAACAUCAAGGGAAAAGAAUCUUUCUUCCUAAAAUUCCUAUACAAGUAUCUGAUAAUGACAAGAAUGGCCUGCCGUUUAUAAGGACACAAUUUCCUGUUCGUGUUUGUUUUGCCUUGACAAUAAACAAAUCCCAAGGUCAAACACUAGAUUAUGUUGGAAUCUACCUCCGUGAGCCAGUUUUUUCUCACGGUCAACUAUAUGUUGCUUUAUCUAGAGUUAAAACUUCUGCAGCAGUCAAAGUCCUUAUCCUGCCUGGAACUUUUGAUGGCAUAAAAACUGAUUGCAAGACUAGAAUGUUGUCUUUGAAGAAAUACUUCACCUCACUGCAUGAUAUUUCUACAUGUUAGAGUUAUUUCCAUUUAAGGUUUGUUAGCCAUAAUUAUUAUUCUAUUGUUAUGAUGCCUGCAAUACCGUUCUUAAUUUAUACUAACAUUUGAUAGAUUUUUCCUUGAUUUUUUCCCAUGUAGCAUGGACAAGUUCUUAUCCAUAAAAGAAAUUAUACCUGAUAUGCAAGAGUGGUCAUGCAAAGUUAUUGUUCAGGAAAAACAACAGGUUACCCAAUCACUGUCGACACCGACAAAGAAACAAAAAUUUAUUUUUGUUGAUGAACAGGUAAACAAGUACAGCCUCUGCAUUUAAUCUUUCUUUAUUUUUUGUUCAUGCAGAAGUAGAUAAAUACAACCGCUGCAUUCAAUCUUUCUGUUUAUAUUACGUUUAUAUUCACAACUGAUUCAUUCUGAAACUUUUUCUUUUAUGAAAUAGGAAUCAAAGGUUGAAGGCAUUAUUUUCAACCAUGAUAUUCCUAGGGUCGGACCACUCUUGCAGGUCUACAAAAAGUACAGAAUUUCGAAUGCUCUGGUUAGACCAAUCCACCCAAAAUAUCAGACGGCUGAACUGAAAGUACAAUGGAUCAUCACAAGUAAAACUGUUAUUGAACAGGAUCCUGAUGAUGAAGAUAUGAUGCCUGUGAAAUUUAACUGCACUCAAUUCCAGACUUGGCACAGUUCAUGGAUCAUAGGGAUAAAUCUGUCGGUAUGUAUGUUGUGUAUUACACAUAUAUCAUGAAUUUCAACUCAGAAAAUCUUUUACAAGAUCAUUUCGCUUUGCCAGAUGUCCUUGGAAUAGUUAUUGAGGCACAGGACACAAGAAUCAUUAAUAAAGAUUUCAAAGAAUCUGUUGUCCAAAAAUUCGUCCUUGUCAAUGAACAGUAAUGUUUCUUUCUGCUGCUCUCCAAACUCUUACUUAGUUCUCUCCUCAUUUUCUGUAUAUCCUUUGUAUGUCUUGACAACUGCUUAUUGUCGUCUUGUUAGAUCACAAGCUGUCAUACUUUCGAUGUGGGAUGAUUUCAUCAGGAAUGAAGGACAACAAAUAAUAGCUGAAUUACACAACUACCCUGUCAUCAUAUGUCGCAGAUUGAAAGUUAGCAACUAUAACGGUAAUUUUACCUCUAUACAUCUUUAUUUUAAUUUCAUUUGCAUACAAAAUUUAUUCAUUCUUAAUCUUAUAGGAGUUACACUGUCAACAUGGUUUGAUUCUGCAAUCCUCGUUGACCCUCCUGUGCAACAAGCAAGAGAAUUAAAGAACUGGUACUGAUUAUUUAUAUACCACAUAAGCAAUCAAUCAUCUAUGAUCACUUCCUUCCAUUACUUUUUUCCAUUUCCUCUAUCAUAGGGCGAUGAGAAAUACCAAGCUACUUGCAGCAAUCGUUGAUCAAAAAAGCUAUAUUAAGUAUAACCCUGACAUAUCUGUGAAAUCAGAUCAGAAAAUGACUUUAAUUUCAAAUGUCAGGCCAUCACAAAAGGUUCCAUGCUUUUUCGCCUAUUCUGUCAUUUAACUAUCGAUUUGCAUAUUAAUAUAUGGGUUAACGCUGUGCCUUUCAUUGCUGUGUUUUUAGAAUGUAUGGGUUAAAGCAAGGUUCUCUUUUCAGCACAUAUUCCAGAAAUACUGGUAUAUGAGCUGUAAAAAAUGCUGUCGGGGCACUGCUGCUGCAAAUGGAGUUAUUUUUAUGUGCAACACAUGCAAAGAAAAGCAUCCUGCUCAGCCUAGGUAGUUACUUUGAAAGUCAUUAACGUAUCAGUUAUGCUAGUCCAUUAUUUAACUCUUCUUUAAUAGACAUGCCUCCCUGAAAUUUACAUACAUCUAUAGGUGUCGCUUUGAUAUGGAUUUAUGUGAUGAUUCUGGUACGAUCACAGCUUCUGUCUUUGGAGAACAAGCCGAAAAGCUGCUAACCUUCACUGCUUUUGAAAUAAUGGACCAUUUUAGGCAGGCAUGUUGUCCUUUAAAAUACUGACUGCCACAUUAUUAUUAUUUCCAUUUAACACUUAAUGCAACAGACGUCUCCAUUCUGCAUAUAAUCCUUAUCUGUUUACUUAUUCUUCUCCUAUACGUUUUCCUUCCAUAGAACAUUGAACUCCCUCUGGAGGUUGUCCAUAAGGAGCUGGAGUCAAAGUGGUUUCUGGUACAUAUAAAAUCAGUGCAGACUCAGAUGGCUGAUGCAAAGCAACGCUAUACAAUUAUCUACUUUUCUGAAGUUCUCAAUGCUGAAUCCAAAAAUGCUGAAUCCAAAAAUGCUACUUUGUUAAUUGCUACAGCCUGACACUGCUGACACCAUUACUUCAGGUAUCAGGAGUUGAAACGUUACCUUAUACAUCACCUUUUUUGUUAACAUAGGCUUUAUUUCCUUCCCAAUCCAAAAAAUUAUAGCUCAUAAACAUUAGUUCAAAAACUCCUUUGUUCUUCUGCCUCUACUAGACAAUUGAAUAGAUACUUAUCUAUGAUUGUUAGAUAUAGCCUAUAUAAACAGCUAUUACUAUUUUGCCUUUAUUAACAAAAUUCAUUUUGCUACAGUCACUGCACCUGUUAAAGAAACCAAGCCAGCUUCGAAGACUAGAAAAUGUCUAACUGAAAAAUUUGAUGCCUUAGCUGAUGCAGCAAUAACACUCCCCAGGCUGUCACUGAAGGCUCCAAGAAGAAGGCGAAGCUCAUUUAAACUGCUGUCAUUUUAUUUUUGUGUAAAAAACCCCAAAUACCAAGCAAUAUUGUAUGUUGCUAUCAAUCAGUUUUUGUUCAUCACAUAUAUUCUGCUCGAGAAACCAUGCUACCUAUGCUUUACCCCCUUCUCUUGAGCUUUAUUUAUUUAGUACUUUAUUUCCCUAGGGGAACUAUGCUGCCAGUACUUGAUUGCUUUUGUUGAAACUUGCAACUCAAAUUAAAAGACCUUUGUGUCUUGUUCUGUUGCUCUUUUGACUAGACAUUUUACUUCCAUUUACCUUUUCCCAGCUAUUCAAUCCUUAUAUUUCUAUGAGAUGCUCGUUACCCUCUAGUUACACCAGAAUGCUUUGGUCAUAAUUUUACUCUAAAGCUAUCCACUUCGGCAUUAAUUAUUCAAUGUACAUAACAGAUAUAGUAUUAAUUACAAUAUAUCUGUUUUGCUGUGAUAAACAGGCAUCACUCAGUAGUAUAAAUAUACCAAUCUAUUCCGUUUUCCAUUCCUUGUUUGUAUCUACAUGCCUUUGCUUUCUUAACUGAACACAUCAAGCAGCAGAUUUGCUCCUCACUACACCAACAGGUUUUUGCUGCUGAUCCCUUUCAGUAUGCGUUCAUAACUCAAACUUAUGCACCUACACUUACCAACUGCACUCAUAUUUAUUACUUUUACUUCCCUAACUCUAUGCAGCGCUCUAUUAUUAACAAUACUCGUCCAUUCACCUUAACAGCUUCAUGGCUGAAACAUCUAUUGUUUCUAUGGAUUACUCUCACAUCGCAAGCAAUGCUCCACAAACAUAUUGCUUUCUUAUUAGGUGCAAAAACAGAGGACAGGUAAUAAUAUUUUUCUCCAAUGUAAUAGCUUUUUUAUGGGUUACUCUUGCAGUUGUGUUUAGAAAUGACCUCUCUUUUUAUGCACCAUGCAGCCUCUGCCUCAUGAAUUUCAAAUAUUGCUCAGCCAACACGAUGACACUAAAAUCACCUUCAGGCAUGGAUUGCAGCGAUGGACAGUCUCAGUCAGAAAUAACUGCUUUGAAGAAGGAUGGGUAGAAUAUUGUCAUGAAAACAUGAUCACAGAACAUCAUAUGCUAUUACUUCGGCAUGCUGGAGAUUUAAUUUUUGAUGCGAUUCAUUUCUGUGAACUAAAAAAGCAAGUCUACCUCCGAUCGACAGUUUCCCUACCCAAUCUUUUGCAUCAGCAAAGCAGUAUAGGUUCACACGUUAUUUUUGCCAUUCUAAUUUAAAAGUAUUAUUAUACCAGUUACUGCAUCUUACAACAUCAUUCUUUCAUCUUGACAGAUCCUGCAUUUUUAUCACUUCGCCAACAAAUUGUUUCCUCAUCGCUAAGUCUGGAUUUCUCUCAAGAUUUGUCAAAUUCAAUAUGCUUUUAUCAAACAUUUGAUUCAGCAUAUCCCAGUCCUUGGUAAUCAUCUGUUCUACCUACCAUUUCUAGAAAGGUUUCAUCCGCUACAAUAAUUUACCCUCCUUCACAAACUAACCUACAUUCUCUUAUUUGUAGAAACUCCCGGUUCGUUGAUCACUUUUUAAAUGGUGAGAGAACUCCAAAUAUAGUUCUAAAAACUGGCCGCAACAUCACUGAAGUUGGAAUCAAGCGCAACCACCUCAAACGAAAUUGGAGAAAGUUUGUUCUGGACCAUCAUCUCCAACAUAAUGACACACUUGUCUUCAUUCCAGAGUCACAGACAAGCUUUGCUUUUUAAUCUUUAAUAGUGAUGGAAUUGAGAAAAUUUUCCCUUGGUACAAUACCUUCCUGCUGUAUUUUUAUGGUGGCCGAAUAUCCACUUACAUAUGUACUACUCCAUUAAAUGUAUAAUCAGCUUAUUCGUAGCAUGCUUCUCGACAACGAAACUGCUGUUGCUUAUUUUGACUAGCAUACAUAUCCAACAAUUUAUUCUGCCAAGGAAUUAUUCCCUUACUGCAAAAGCUUAUUAGAUUCCUGACAAUGCAAAGCCUAUCUCAACCAAACAUCACGGAUGACCCAACACUGAUCAGCCAAGCUUUUCUUUUCUGCCUGAAAUAUUCCUUCACUGUACAUUACAUUUGCAUUACUUAUUUCUAUGUUUCAGUACAACUUCAUCAAUUUAAACGAGCUCCCUUCUUUUAAUUAAUUUAAAUUAUGGUUUUUACUAAUACACUAUGACAAAUAUUACAAAUUCUCCACUUGAUAGAUACAAUUAUGGCCAUAUUAGUGUUCCUUUUCAUACAAGCAUCUCACAACCAUCUCACGUUGCACCAAAUUAUUUUAGAUCAAAAGUUCAAAGCUAGUGGCACACAAUAUCCCAACUCCCUGCAUUAUUACUCGCAUUUUUAUUACCUACCACGCUACAAAUCAUUUACCCUUUCUCUGCUUGAAAGUAAACUUAGUCUCUUCUCCAAAUAGCCACAACGCUCAAUCAUCUCUUCAAAUUACAUCCUGUUACAAAAUACCCCAAAAAUGAAACCUGGUAGCAUUCCUUUGUCUGCUGUUCACCCAUCCUUGAAAGACUGGGGAGUUAUUGUCCAGGCAAUUGAAGCAACUCAUAUGAAGUAUUGCUCAAUCCUUCACCAACAUUAUCAAACAUUUCUGCUUGCUGACGCAGAGGUGAUAUAUAUCUAAGUCUUCCUUUUUCCUUCCAAUCAUAAAAUUAAAUUCUACUGUAGUUUAAUACUUCCUAAUCACAGGGUACUACAGUCGAAAUGCAUGUUCCUCAAAACAUUCUCGAUCAAAAACCACAAUUCCUUGUACCGUUUAAAAGAUACUACAUCUCUAAAGCUUUUAUUUCUCUGCCAAACACUGCUACUGCCAUCAGCGAAUAUCCAUUUCAUUUCCUUGCUACUGAAGAUACUUUAGUUGAAGAAAUUGAAAGGAAAUCAAGCAAUUCAAGAGCCUGGUCAGCCUUCUCUUCCUCUUCAUUUCCAGCUACUUUCUUUCUCUGCUUUAGCCGCAAUUGCUGACACUGAUGAGUUUAUAAGUAAGUUAACGCUCAUACCAUGCAAUAUCUUUUCCAGCUAGCAAGAAACCCCUAGCAUACUGAUUUUUUUAAAAAAACUUCCUUAGAUGUCAUGGCAAUUGUGCUACAUGCUUUACCUGUCAAAAGUAUCACUUCUCAGGGGAAAACGUCGAUUGCUCGAGACUAUGUCAUUGCCGAUCAAGAGUAAUAAUCUUACCUACUAAUUCAUUUAGUUCUUCCGUACACCAUAUAUCCAAAUAAACACUUCGGACAAAUAUUUAUUCUUCCUGUUUUGCUAGCAUGAGACCAUUCAUCCUAACUUUGAAGAAUGACUUCGAAGAAAUCAACGGUCCUGCAAUUGCAGCUGCUCAGAACCAUUUUCCUAUCAUCAUUGCCAUAAGAAUCAAAGUCACAACACAGAACUGUAACCAAAUAGCUACUAUUUAUUAUUUAAAAAACAGCUACGCAUUUAUUAGCUGAAAGUCUUCUUUACUCUUCUUAUACUUGAUGUUUUCUUCCUUUUCCCCCCUUAAAACCCAGAUCUUAGUCUUUCAACUCAAGAUUCGACCACUAUUUUGAUAGCUCCAAUCGUGCAACAAGCAACCGAUCUGCAUCACUGGUCAGACAACUCACUGCACGCUCUCCAUUCCAUCAUUCCAGUUAUUCUCUUCCAGCUUAACUUUUCCUUUCUUAUUUUAGGUAUCGUCACAACACGCCUCAGCUAGCACAGAUGGUCCAUGAGCACAGUUAUGCUAAUCCGCACAUCCUUUUUCCUCCCCCUCAUUACAGUCAAAUCCAUGACAUAGCCGCUCUGCUUCACUUCGUAAAAUUCUUAUACUACUGACCAAUUUCACAUCUAAACUUCUUUAUUAUAUUUCCUGUUACCAUUUCCCACUUUCUUCUUCUAUUACUUUUAUUUUAUAGAAGCCAAAGACCGCAUGGAUUAAAGGUGUCGUCGAACUUGAUUGUAAACCUCAAGAUUUAACCUAUAUAGCUUGUCCCAAUUGUUAUCAUCCAGACAGUUGUAUAGAUGAGCGAAAAAUUAUCUGCAAAUACUGUCAAGCUAAUGUUGAUCUCCAACCCAGGUGCAUAUUCUUAUAAAUAAGGUACAUUAUUUUUAUUAAUCAAUCUAAACUUCCACUGUCAAAUCAUCCACUUAUUAAUUCCAGGGCUUGUAUUUCAAUUUGGAUCACGGAUUCAACUGGCACUCUAUGUCUUACUGCUAUGGCCUCUGAAGCCGAAAAGCUAGCUCAAUUCUCAACUGCUGAGCUAUACUAUUUGCAAACAGAAGUAAUUAUCAAUUUUCUUUUAUAUGCUACUUGUUUAACUCUCUUUUUCCCAACAACUUAGGUUCCUUUCUUACUUUUUUCGCACCAGAACAUAAAUAUGGCUCAACAUCUUCAAGCAAUUCUCCACGAAAAAAUCCUUACAUGCUACGUCAAGCCAUCGACUUCAAAGUUCAGAAUGCUACGGCGCUCAGCUUAUGAAAUAAUCACUUCCUACACUUUAGAUCAAGUUCACAACAUUGACAACCUCAACAUCAAUAAUCUCAACAUUAAUGACUGAAGACUUGCUUCUUUUGUUUGUUAAAUCAUGCCUUUUCCAAUCAACAAACUACGCUCAUUACUUGUGAUGUUUUUUAACUUAUAUGUUAACUAUACUGUUUCUUACCAUUUCACAUUUUGUCUAUUUCUACAUUCCAAUUCCUUAUUACUUUACUUAGCAGCACUGGGCAUGCCAAUAUCUGAAGCCCACACCGCGCUUACGCGCGGUGUACACCUCCUAGUUAUUAGAAUAAAAGCAAAGCAGUUUGACGCGGUUAUUGGUAGUCAUAUGAAAAGAUCCAAACUGUUUUCUGAUGUUCUUGUUCGGCAUCCAGCAGUGAUUUUCAUUCAAUUCUGACCACCCACUCUAUAUUUUUGUAUUCGUUUCGAGCUAAAGAACUCGUAACGAGGCAAACAAAAUUCCCAACCUUUUUCCUUUCUUUUGCUGGAAAAAAUGCAACAAAUUUUUUUUUUGAAAAAAGGACUGAAAUGCACUGUCAAGUUAGAAGUGCAGAAAGUGCACUUCAUUUAUAAGUUUUGUGGAGCCAAGAAUUUUAGAAGAAGAUAAGGCCCAUACACAAAGUUACAAAAGAACACAACGGAGAGAUAUAGAAACAGAAUUGUAUCAAGAAAGGGGGUGAGCUGAACGUGAAAGCUUAAAAUUAUCACCCAUCGCCUAAAUAGUGUAUAUUUUUGCAGAAAAAAAUGAAAAUUUGAUUUAAAUAAUUGUUUUCAAGGCUUUUCUGAAAACUAUUAUAUUUUAGCACCUUUAUUAAUAAAUAAAUUCGUGAGAUAAAUAGGUAGUAGAUUAACGUGUUCAAAAUUUUAUUGUGAAGCAUGUUUAUGAAUACCAUGACCUAGACAAAUUUCUUAUACUUUAAACGCAUGUCACGACGAGGAAUAGAAUCAUUCUAUUCCUCGGUGAUUUAGUACACAUUUUUUAUAGUCUUUUCAUCCUUUGUCCACACGUUGUAAAGUUUUACUACAUUAAUAUAACUUACUAGUCAUCUACAGCUGGGAUCAAAGAGUCAGCCGUGGAUAGGAGAAAACAAAUCCUACACUUGAUCAUUUAUGAAAAAAUAAAAAUAAAAAGGUGAAGCAAUUAUUAAAUAUUUAAUAAGACUUUCUUACUAGUGCCUGAAAGGCACUGAUUCAGGCACCGGUUAAUCAAUUCCCACGUCUUUGAUUUUGAAAAAGGUAAAAUUAAUCCAAAUUCUUCUAAAUGCAAGAAGAUUGGAAAAUAAUUUGUGAUUAUAAGGAUUAAAAUCUUAAAGAACCCACUCAGUACCAUUAAACAAACCUUAAAAAUAUCCUAAACUGACCUGAGUAUUUGUCUCCAGUCUAAGAUAACUCUCUUUGGAGAUAUGAUAGGUAACGCGUUUUUACAACGGUCAAGUUGAGACCGUCCUUCUGAGUAAAUGGAUGCCUUUGAAUCUGAAAGUUCAGAGCAGAUAGUACUUAAUAAUUCAAUAGACGAAUUAGAGGUUUUUCAAUUUCGCUUAAAAUCUUGAGUAGUAGGUAGAGCAGUCUAUUCCCAGGUAUGGAAUCCAAUUACCAAAUACCCCUUCCAUUGCAUAUACUCGAUGUAAGAAACAUUUGGGGAUCUACCGUCUCAAUACCUUAGCCAUAAUAAUUAAAUAAAAGUUGGCUGGGAAGACCAAGUCGUCAAGACCAGCAUGUUGGUGUAGCAUGAAAACAAGUAUAUAACAAUGUUGUAGGAGUGGUCCUAAGCAAUGUUUUCAGAACCGGACCGGACCGGCCGGUUCAACCGGUUGGACCGCGAACCGGACAGGCCAACGGUCCGGUCUAGAGCUAAACCCGGAGAGUAGUCAAGAACCGCUGGAAACCGGAUGACUCGGACGAACCGGAAAAACCCGCUUAGACUGUGAACCGGCGGUUUUUGAAACUUUUCAAAAUGAAUUUCCAAAUUGUAGCCACCAAGAGUCGAACACCAGACCUUGUGUUUGUCGUAAGAAGCCCUUACCACUAAACCAUAGGCAGCGGACAUGAUUAUUUUGUGCAGAUAUCUACUUAAGUUAUUAAAUGAAAAACUAAAAACACCCAAAGCCUAAGAUACAUCAAACUUAUUUCUUUGUAUAUAAAACAUAUAUAUAUAUAUAUAUGCAAAGAUAGUAAUAAUUGUUAGUAUAUGUAUAUAUAUAAUAAAUUAGGUGUAUUAAAUGUGUUAGGACAACCGUUAAAAAAAUCCUUUAAUAAAAUAGCUUUUUCAAAUUAUUUUUUAAAUUUUUGUAGAAAAAUGUACGACAACGAUUUAAUAUGUGUAGAAUAAAAAUAAUCAAGAAAUAAAUUUGUGAAAAAAUUAAAAAUUAAAAAAAAUGACAAUCCAAACAAGAUCUAAUUUGGUAACUAAAUUGAAUUGUUUAGAUAAGUUAUUGUUUUCAAAAAUUUUAAUUACAUCAGAAACACUUGUGCUUUACAUCAUAAAUAUAUUGUUGGUAUAUCUAUGUUUGUUAAUGUACUCCCCUUGAUUAUUAAUGUAAUCCCCUUGAUUUUUUAAUUUGUGAAAAUAAAUAAAAAUACUUAGACUUUUAAUUUCAGUUACAAUCUCACAAUAAAAUAAUGGUUGAAAUGCAAUAAUAGAUAGAAAGAUUGAGUAGGGAUAUUCUUGCUCAAUUGACAUUGUAGACAAGUAUUUAGGAAAAAAAUUGAUAAGUAAUUAUUAUUUUAAAAAAUAUUUAUAAUUACAUUGUACACAUUCGUACUUUACAUCAUGACUCCUUGAUUUUUUUUUAAUUUGUGUGAAUAAACAAAAUACUUAAAAAUUUUAAUUUCAAUUACAAUCUCAAAACAAUAUCGUAGGUAGUAACAUUGAAUAAGGAUAUUGUUACCUAACUGACUGGUAAAUAAAUAUUAAAUAAGGGAAUAUUGAUAAAUAAUUGGGCGUUAAUAACAAUUUUCUAGUGGACAAAAAAUGUGAAUAUGGAGAAUUUUUUUCUUCCCAAUGAAUAUGGACUGAGUGAGAAAGUCAAUUGGCCGAAUUGAAAACACAAAUUUGAAAAAAAUUAAAAAAGAAUUAUUUUUUUAACCCAAAUUAUUUAGUGCUACAACCACUCACUUUUAUCUCAUUUUUUGUUUCUUAUCAAGUUUGCAUUUCUAUUUUCGAUUCUCUUGACUUCCUUCGAACUCCAAACUUUCUUUUUUAAAUUGCAAUCUCUAAAUCCCAAAGGCAUAAAUUAAAAUUUAAGUUUACAAUGUCAAAUCCUCAUAGACGUGAAUUUUGUAUAAUUUCAAAAUAUUGUGAUAUUUUUGGGAUAGAUUUAAGAUUAUUUUGGUAGAUAUAAUUGAAAUUGAAAUGAAAUUUAUUUGUUUUAACUUAUAAUUUAAAAAUUUUAUUUUUGAAAAUCCAAGUUAUUCAAAAAUAGUAAACUUUUCAUCAUAUAAAGUUUUAAAUUAGUCUAUUGCAUGUCUUAUUUUGUGCAUAUAUAUAUUUAUAUAAAUUAUAUUUUAAAAAAUUCAUUGAAUCGAGGUUGAACCGGUCCGACCGGUUGAACCUCGACCUUUUCACUUCACCGGUUCAAUUGACGGUCCGGGUUUUAAAACAUUGGUCCUAAGUAACCAAUCUGGUUGUCCGCCUUUGUAUCAACCUUCUAUUUGCAACCAAAUAUCCUUUCCAAAUCAUAUUAGUAGUAUUCUAUCGUUGCAAUGGCUGAAUUGUUUGUUCCAAAGAUAAUAGGUGAAUUGGGUGAUGUUGCCAUGAAGCAGUUUGGGGCGAAGGUCAACUUGGUGAUGGGGUCGAAGAAGAGGUGGCAAAUAUCUCCUCUAAGUUGGCUACCAUUGAAAAAGUGCUGCAUGAUGCAGAGAGACGAAGGCUGAAGGACAGAAGUGUUGGAAUUUGGCUACAAAAGCUUGAGGACAUAACAUAUGAGAUGGAUGAUGUGUUGGACGAAUAGAACUUCAAGAUUCACAGAGCAAAGAAUGAGGGAACUAAUCAGAAUGCCAGAAUGCAGCCUAUACUGCGGAACAAGGUUUGUUCCUUUAUCCAUCCCUUUGCUCUUGUCUCAAACAAGUUCCUGUGCGUAGCGAUAUAGCUCAGAAAAUAAAGAAAAUAAAUGAACAGCUAAAAUUAGCUUUGAAAGAGACAGAUCAAUUCAAGUUUAUUACAAGUGGGGGGAUUUCUGAUUCUCAUGAUUUUCAGCGAAUUAUGACUACCUCAAUCAUAGACGAAUUAGAGGUCUAUGGUCGAGCAGCUGAUAUGGAGAAGGUUCUUGACCAAAUUUUGUCCAAGAGUAGUAGUCAAGGAAGAGAUGGGGUUCAAAUUAUCUCUGUUGUAGGGGCCGGGGGUAGUGGAAAGACCACACUUGCCCAGCUGCUCUUCAAUAAUGAUAAAGUGAAGAACCACUUUGAACUUAGAAAUUGGACCUGCAUAUCAGAUCCUUUCGACCAGAAAAGGGUCGCGAAAGCUAUCCUUGAGAAUGCUGGAAAAAGUUCUUAUGAAGCAGAGUUGGAUCCGUUGAUCCGACGUAUAAAAGAAACUUUUUCCGGCAAGAGAUUCCUGCUUGUCCUAGAUGAUGUUUGGAUAGAGGACGACUCAAAGUGGAAACCUUUCAAAGACUCUCUUAAGGAUGGGGCUCCCGGAAGUGUAAUCUUGGUAACGACAAGGAGUCAUAGAGUGGCCACAGUGGUGGGAUCGACUGAUACUCACGACCUAGGCAUGAUCUCUCACUCUGAUUGUUGGUUAAUAAUGCAAAAGAUAACGCUUGCUAGAAAAUCAGGAGACUUAUGCAAGAAGGUGGAAAGAAUUGGGCAGAAAAUUGCAGAAAAGUGCAAGGGGUUGCCACUUGCAGCAAAGACUAUGGGAAGCUUGUUACGGUUCAAAGAUACCGUACAGCAGUGGCAGAAUGUUUUGGAAAGUGAGAUAUGGCAAUUGGAGGAAGCAGCUGUGGACCUUUUCCCUCAUUUGUAUUUAAGCUAUAACGAGUUGUCCCCGGAGCUGAAACGUUGCUUCUCAUAUUGUGCUGUCUUUCCCAAAG
This 119894-nucleotide long non-coding RNA is filed under the name Coffea arabica (coffee). RNAcentral describes it as "long non-coding RNA (CARA_LNC008251)". The record is from RNAcentral. Lineage: Eukaryota; Viridiplantae; Streptophyta; Magnoliopsida; Gentianales; Rubiaceae.